RNAcentral lists this long non-coding RNA (95932 nucleotides) under Ananas comosus (pineapple). RNAcentral's name for it is "long non-coding RNA (ACOM_LNC018974)". The stretch from base 668 to 770 matches the Rfam family "Small nucleolar RNA snoR99". The record is from RNAcentral. Lineage: Eukaryota; Viridiplantae; Streptophyta; Magnoliopsida; Poales; Bromeliaceae.
GGUUUUUUGGUUUAUCGCUUUUGCUAGGCGUUGCGUUCAUUGGGUCUUUUUCUGUAAUGGACGCGUCAACAAAAGCGUAAAUUAACAUUUCAAAAUGGCACAAUGCGGACUGUUUUUCUAUGACUAUUCAUUUUCCUAGUUGUUAUCACCCUGCUUGUGCUCAUUUCUAUAAUUUCUUCCAUCUAUCUAUUGCACAAAACAAAUGGGUUUUUGAUGCUCUUUAGUGAGUGAGAAGUUGAGCAUUUGCUUUAUUCCCUAGGUUAAGUGAAAAUUCACACAUGAUUUAUGAAUUUUACAAAUCUGUGGAGACUUUUUUGCUGCUUUUAUUCAAAUAGGUGAUUAAACGUCCCACGUCAGUCUUAUCUUUUGAAUCAUAUGUAAUGUUUUUUACACUUUUUUCUGGCCUGUUUGCAUGGGCAUCUAGUGUCUUUAAUAUUNGUGGGUCAACUACUCAGUAAGAAGAACCACAGCUUUGAGGACCAAAAUACCGAGGUUGGAUGCGCGUGAGAAGACCUACUCCUACUCAUCUUUUUUCGAUUCAUUCUAUUCCUUCAGACCCAGCAAUCUCCGAUAAAGACCCGAAAAGCUCCGCAUCCGCUAACAUUUUAAUAUUUUUUUUUUUUUUUUUCCUUUGAGACCGGAUGUCUGGCCCAUUGGCUGAUUCCCGGUACCUCUGGGAUUAACCGGUCUCGCAUAUGUGAUCUCCAUCCUCUUCACUUUGUCAGCUAAUGUAGUUCCAUUUUUAGCUGAUCAUUAAAGAUGGGACAUUUUUCAAAGGAAAAUAUUUGAAGGAAGUCCUUUCUUUUUGGUGAAGUAUAAUUCAAGCGAGGUCAAUCUCAUAACAUCUCUGUCGUUCACAGUUAUGUGAUCUCAACACAUCAUUGGCAAAAUAUUUUUUCUAAUUAAAACUUAUUUGGCAUAAUUGCAUAUUUAAUACAGCAGCGUCAAUUAUGUUCUUAAUUUAAAUUAUAAGAAUUAGAUCCUUGAGGUCUGCAAUAGAAUUGAGUCCUUCGGUUAGUAUACUAUAGAGUGGGCACCAUGUCAUUGCCGGAGGUUGCUGAGAUGGGAGGUUUUGAGGUAAUCAUUGAGAGCUGGUGAUGCUAACAUGUGAUCUCUUAGAUUGGUUGGUUAAUAAAAGGACUUUGUUGUUAUACAAAGCAAAUUUCUUGGUACAAAUUGCUCCAAGGACAUGGUGGCAACAGAAUAUUCCAUCAAGCAACAUAAUAUUCUGUUAGAUGAUAGAAUAUUCUGUCAAGUCUAAUAUACUACAAUAUUAGGCAUUACAGUCAAAAUUGUUGAAACUAAUGUUUCGAUUGUAAAAUACGUAAAGGCUCUGCAUUUUUAACUUAAUACUUUGCAUCCCAGGCUCAUAUAUAACAUCAAACUAUUGUAUUAUAUUUUGUAGGAUGAUCCAGGGAGGCCGGGGCAACCCCCACGUGCAGCUGGAGCUCCUACCGCCGCCCGCCCGUGAUGUUUCCUUGGUUCCAUGCUUGAUACCUGCUACAAGAUCAGUUGCUUUGUCUUUCAACUCCUUCCUGAAUCUUAAAAUUGUGUUUCGUGAGGGUCAAUUUUGUUUAGUGUUACAUGUGACAAAAAUUGAUUCUAUUCUAUUUCGUCAAAACCUGUUUUAUUGCGUUCAUGAUUCUUGAAGAUCUUGUUGGAUAUUUACUGGCUUUCUAAUAUGAUUUCGUCAUCCGUGUAGGAAUGGCUUGUAGAUUGCUGCGGGUGAAAUUUUGGUUAUGGAUGUUGAAACUAGUGAUCAUCUGUCCUUGUGUUUGAUGAUUCUUUGUUAGUUGUAUGAGAAGAUUGUAUUUUGAUCUCACUUGUGCUUUUAAAGAGAUCAAGCUUCGUGCGACGCAAGAAAUUUACCAUCAAGGUAUCUAGAGAAAAAAUAAAAAAUAAAAAUCACACUUAUCCACAAAUUAAAUAUUCGAGUAAUAAGAAGAUACUUAUACGGAGAGAGAUUGAAGUAUGAGACAUAACUAAUGCAUGAGAUGCAAUGUGAAAAGCAUCUCAAAUUGAAAGCAUCUGUUUAUUUUUAAUUCUGGCUUUGUUGAACUGUUCUUUAGAAACACAAUAUUUAUACAACAACGUGUACGUCAGUAUGUGCAAUUCAACACCAACAGGGAAAUUAAUUAAGCAUGGAUUAAUUGUUAUUAAUUGUCGUGCUGAUCCAAAACCAUUUGUUCUAUUUCUAUUCAACCCCCAGGAAUCUUUCAAACCUGCACCAUAAACGUACAAAAAUAUAUAUUAUGUAUAUUCAUCAUAAGGCCAUGUUAGCUUAGCUAAUAUCUCCAAAGACGAAGACAAAAUAUGUAGGCCCUUCGAUUGAUAAGUAAUUAUUAAACUAAAUUUCUCUAUAUAUGCUGGCACCGAGAGUUGAGUUGGUGCAUGCCCUUCAUUGCUUUAAUCUCUCAACACCUUCACAUUGCUAUUUCCUGUUGCCUUCUUUCUUUCUCCGCCCUUCGGUAUGUAUACAAUGAUUUAUUUUUCCUCGAAACAACUUAAAUUAUUUUGAGAUUAUCUUUUUCUGUUUAGGGAUAGGGAAUUCAAUUAAUUAAGUGCAUUUAAUUGCAUGCGCGCAUAAGCUAGCAUAUUAUCGUUUAAUUUGUUUGCCAUACAUAAAUAUGCUUUACUCUUGAGUUUAAUGGGAACUUGCAUACAUACGUAUGUAUACCAACGAAUGAAUAGUACAUGCAUGCAUGGCAUGUUCCUUUUCUCAAAUGUCAAGUAAUUAAAUGCGUAUAAGGGUGAACCAAAAAAAUCUUCGGUUUAUGAGCAAUUUGUUCAUAGAAAAUAGAAGAUUCAGAGAUUAAGGAUUUGAUGCACUUUGAUUACCUAUAUGUACCCGGUUGAUUGCUACUGUUUCCUCUAUUUGUCACCUUCUAACUUUUUUGUCAUUAAAUCAAGUAUCUAAUUUUUAUGUUUUAUCGCUUUCAUAUAUUCUUCAAAACAUCAGAGAAUAGUGGAAUAAAGAAUGUUGGUAGCCUCGACCCGCAAAUUAUUCAGUCUAUUUUGUGAUGGACAGUGUUUAUUAGAAAUUUACAUGUGAGUAGUUUCGCAUCACAUAACUAAUUUAUUAAAGAGUAAAUGAUUGAUAUAUCGUAAUGGAUCUUGACCUAAUAAGUUUUAAGCAUUUAAGGCUAGAUGAGUUACAGUAAAUAUGCCAUAUUCUUUUUCUUUUUCUUUUUCUUUUUUUUUUGAGAGAUAGGUAGCACGCUACCCGCUUCGUUUAUUUCAUUUAGAAAUAAACUUAGCUGUAAAUAUGAAUCAACUUAACUUGGGUUUCGGGUACCAAUCACUAAAUCCUUUGCCACUUGCUCUAGGGACAGUGCCAUAUUCUUGGAUCUAUAUUCUUGGAUCCAUGUGGACUUAGGAUGAAUUGCGACUCUCCUAAUAAGCAGUAUCAGAGGCGAUAGUUUGGCAAUUUUAGAUUACUCGCUUAUAUGGUAUGGUUGAAUCGAGUUACUAGCUCACAUGAACAUGAUGGACUAAUGGAAGGAAGUCAAUUUAUAUAAUGCGAUAUGAUGGCUUAACGCAAUCAAAAUAGUUGGGUCAACAAAUUAAGCAUGUGUUAGGCAUAUAAACUCACGAGAGGGGCGUAGGUUCGAUACAUCGGCUUGGACGAUGAUCAGUGGAUUCGCAUUAGGUUUAGUGCAAUGUUUGAGGAGAUUGUUAAAAAUUUAUACAUAAUCAGUCUCGCCCCAAAUAACUAAUAUAAAACGUAAAUAAUCAAUAUAUACAUACUAAUGAACUGAAAGCUAAUUAUACACCAAAAUUUUUUGGUUUAAUGUGUUCUGCUAAAUUUAUCACAAUCUUAGAUCUACGAGACUUUGAUAAGUAUCGCACAAAGGUGCUGGCAAUUGCAUGGUGGCGACGGCAAUCAAUUGAUCAUCUUAAUUAUGAGCGUAAUGCAUUGUCAUAAAAAUUUAUAAUCAUAUCGACCUACCAAUAAACUAAAAAUCAAACUGUUGCAGUCACAAAAGAUUUAUAAUCUCUAUGCUAGGCAAAUUAUAGGCAGCUAGUUUAAAUUCUUAAGAAAAUGCUAUUCUUACAAACCACUUCUACAAUAAAUUUCUAAUUUAAAAUUUAGUAGUUACGUUUUUAUUCUUUGUCUUACGAACUACAACAAUCACCUCAUGAAUGAUACCAUUUUGCCAAUUAAAAAUGGGUUGGUAAGGAAAUAUAUUAAAAAUUAUAAAAUUUAUCUGUAAGUAUAGCGUUACUUAAAUUCUUAGGAGCUGCAUAUAUGGGCUGAAGAGUGCUACAAUCAUAUUCACAGUUGCAGAGCACGUCGAGUGCAAUUUCGAAGUCCACGAAACCACGGCCCAUAAAAGACAAACAAGGUGGCCCAUUGAUGGGAGAAGAUUAGGUUGAGCUUAUGGGUCGGGCUUCUCCCACACAACCCAAAUUAAUGGGCCUAAUAUAUGUUUCUACUGGGUUGGAUCGACCACGUACAUCCGAACCCGAAAUUUAUUUAUAUAAUAAGCCCAGGCGUACGUGCUCUCGUUUUCACCAUGCAUGCAAUUAGCUUAAAGAGAAAUAAUAAUGCAUGCCCUAGCUAGCUAGGGGUUGCGUUGAUCAAGUAGAUCAACCUACCUGUGGAAGGUGCCUGAGGGGCCGGUGAGGGAUUCUCUCUCCCUCUCUCUCUCUCUCUUCCCCUCCCUAAAGGGUGAUAGAGACUCUCUCUCUCUCUCUCUCUCUCUCUCUCUCUCUCUCUCUCUGUGAGACACACACACGCUCUUCUCUAUAGAGAGAGAGAGAGAGAUCUCACAACACCCGCUUCUCUCUCUCUCUCAUACGCAAACACUUCUCUAGAGAGAGAGAGAGAGAGAGAGAGAGAGAGAGAGAGAGGUCACACAUGACACACCCACCCACCCACCUCUCUCUCUACCUCACACACACAUCUCUCUAUUGAGAGGAGAGAGAUCUCAAACAUACCCGCCUCUCUCUCUCUCUCUCUCUCUCUCUCUCUCUCUCUCUCUCAUAGGCACACACUUCUUUAGAGAGAGAGAGAGAGGGUCACACACACCCCCACCCACCUCUCUCUCUACCUGACACACACUUCUCUCUAUGGAGAAGAGAGAGAACUCUCACAUACCCGGUUCUCUCUCUCUCUCAUACGCAAACACUUCUCUAGAGAGAGAGAGAGAGGGUCACACACACCCCCACCCACCUCUCUCUCUACCUGACACACACUUCUCUCUAUGGAGAAGAGAGAGAACUCUCACAUACCCGGUUCUCUCUCUCUCUCCCUCCCCCCCAUACACACACACUUCUGUAGAGAAAGAGAGGCUCACACACGCACCCACCCACCUCUCUCUCUACCUGACACACACUUCUCUCUAUGGAGAAGAGAGAGAACUCUCACAUACCCGGUUCUCUCUCUCUCUCCCUCCCCCCCAUACACACACACUUCUGUAGAGAAAGAGAGGCUCACACACGCACCCACCCACCUCUCUCUCCCUCACACACACGCACACACACUCUUCUCUAGACAGAUAUCGAGAGAGAGAGAGAGGGAGAGAGAGAGAGGUGGGUGUGAGAUCUCUCUCUCUCUCUCUCUCUCUCUCUCUCUCUCUCUCUCUCUCUCUCUCUCUCUCUCUCUCUCUCUCUCUCUCUCUCUCUCUCUCUCUCUCUCUCUCUCUCUCUCUCUCUCUCUCUCUCUCUCUCUCUCUCUCUCUCUCUCUCUCAUACACACACACACUUCUCUAGACAGAUAUCGAGAGAGAGAGAGAGAGAGAGAGAGAUCUCACACACAUACCCCCACCUCUCUCUCUCUCCCUCACACACACACACACACACACAUUCUCUCUCUCGGAGAUUAAGUUGGUUGAUUUCUAAAUAGACACAAAAUUGACUCAUGCCCUAUCCUUUAUUCAAAAGAGAAGAACACUGCUACGCUUAAUUAUCUCAAGUUCCUUUAGAUAUGGAAACGGCAUAAUCAGUUAAUUAGCUAGUGCUUUUUUGGUAAACUUUUUAAAUAUUAAUUAGUCUUAUUCAACCACCGCGGUUUCUUACCUCAUCGAUAUAAUUGAGGGAAAGCCUUCUAGGGCACGCACAAUCUAAAAAUGUUACUUAUUCUCAAUUAAUCAUUAAUUAAUUAGAAGCUACUUUGUCAACACAAAUGCAUUGUCAUCAAACACAAAUAAUAAGAAAGCAAAGGACAAGUACUGUAAUCAAUAUUCAGUAAUAUUAAUUACUGCAAAAGACAAUGUAGUCAAGUUACAGAAUCCUGCAAACGACUUAGAAAUUACCACAUUUAUUUUUUCACCUAUAAAUUUGUAUAGAGCCCCACCACAAACAGGAUUACAAGACACUAACUAUACAACAACAAAGCCAAUGUCCUCCUAAAACCUUUCGGAAAACAAAGCCAGUAUUGAUCGAUCGCCUAUUAUAUGUGGAGACAGAUAAAAUAGACCAAAACAACAUUAACGAUGACAACAACAACAACAUAUCUAGCAAUCUUUCAGAAAAACUCUCUCUGAGAUCCCCCGUAGACAACAUUUUGGAAGUAAAUAAUCACAGUAAUUAUGUGUAGCUCGAAACCGAGAUUAUCACUUCCAUUCAUUUGGUUAUGUAUGAUGGAAGUGAUAAAUUGAAGUUUUGAUAGAAGUCCACUUCUAUCUGAAAAUUCAAUUUUUAUGUUAUGUCGACUUACCCCCAACGAAACGUUCCCUUGGCUAAGAUAGCACGAUGAAGAGCAUCACCGCCCCGGCCAGGAUCAUAACUAGCUGCAGCAACAAACUAACAGAGUAAAAUAUUUCAACGAUCGAAGCCCACAUUUCACCGUGCGGCGGUUCAAACAUGAGGCCUAUCCAGAUCAGGCCGGAUUCGAUGGCCAAUAGCUGGAAGAAUGCGCACACCUUUAGCCCUAAACUCAUGUAAUAUUGCUGUGGUGCAAUCCCCACACUCUCCACGCAUAUGAAUGCUAGUAGGCCACCAUUGACUGAGAUCAGCAUUGCAAUGCCGUUCCUCAUCACACCCGCAUAGCGUGGGUCAUGGUAUAAGGGUCGAGCACUAGUUGGAUUUCUCAGGCCGAUACCCAGAUACUCCUGGAUGAAGUAUACGAAGAUAGGGAUGAGCGCCAGCGAGAACACGCCCACGACUAAGGUUUCCAAGAACUGCAUGGCGAGCGCAGCGGCUGAUAGCCCGAGGAGGACCAAAAUAGCAGUGCUGCUGUAUCUCACAAAGCUUGAAAGGCUCCCUCUCCAAAAGGAGUAAUGAGCAGUUAAGGGGAUGGAGGUAACCAUCAUAACAAAGAUGCCAACCAUGGUGAUCAGGAAGAAGAGACUCAGCGCAAGUUGGAAACUUUGCAAUGCUUGGAGGGGAGGGCUUUUGAAGGAAGCAUAAAUCAUACCCGUUUGUACUGUGAUGGCCAUAGUUGCCAUAGCAGUAGCGAACUUGAAGGCCUUCUUUUGCUCCGGUUUGUAGCUGUUGAUCGAAGAUGCACAACAUGCAUGUUAAUUGAAAAUGUUGUUAAGCCUAGGCUUUUAGAGGCAGCUCCCAUCACCCCUCAAAAAUGAUAUAAAUAUUAGAUUAGCUGAUUCCGUUAUCUAUUAGUAAGUUUACCGAUGAAAAAAUGACCUAAGCUCAUGUAUAUAUGUUUCAAAUUAAAGAGAAAAUUACAGCUUACUUUUUACAUGAACAUGUAGUUCUUCAACUUUUCAAAGCAAAACUUAUUUCCAGCAUUCGAUACUUUUUUAACAAAUAGAAUUAGAGAAACAUGUUAAUGCCAAGUUUUUUUGUCAAAAAAAACACUAAAUUUAGUACCCGAGUCUUCUCUCUGAAUAAACUUGACACGCAAUAACAGCACAAGCUAAUAUAUAAUUUGAUACAUUUAUAAGAAGUUCAUGAGAUGCUAAUUCAGUUCACCUGAGAAGAUCAUUAAGCUAAUAGUACUAUCGAAAUGUAUAAAAACACAUAAUAUAUAUACCUUUCAUGGUUGGCACUGUCGUGGUCGUUAACAUUUUGUGUAGCCCUAUAUCCAAGGAAGCAUAUGAUAGCUAUCACAGGAAUUACAAUAAGACUCAUCCCUGCACUGUCCUUGCUCAGGAGUACUAUGGAGAAAAAGCUUGUCACAAUUAAAAGUACACAAGAUGUGGUAAUCCCGCCUAUGAGAUAUAUCUUCUGGUUUCGGUUGAUUCGAUUAUAAUGCCCAAAGAGAAAAAAUGCGUACAGCAACAACAAGAUGGGGGAUUGAAGAGUGGCCCAGAUGAGGAAAUUGUAGGCUUUGAUAACUGUGGAGGAAUGCAUGGCUCUUAUAUCUUUGGUUCCGUUCAAAAAUGCUAAGAGUAUUACAAAAGCCAUGGUUAUUUUCACACCCGAGAAAGCUAUGAUUCGCUUCAACUGGUCCCUAACUACUUUAAUUUUCUGUUCAUUUUCUCCUUCAUUGUCUUCUCCCUGUUGGUUUAUCUGCAGUUACGUCAAACAAGUAGUAAGUGUUUUGUAUAUACAUACAUAUAUAUGUAUGAUUAAUUGAUAUGCAAAUUAGAGGCCACUGGAAAUUAGCAAACAUAUUUAGAAGAUAGAGAUUGAAAGAGAGCUUCAUUAUAUAUUUAUAGAUUAGGCACCAUGAGAUAAUUCAUUAACCAAAAAAUUUACUAUUGGUAGGCUUAAAAGUUUUAUCACGAAAAUAAAGAUGAUGAUUUGAGAAAUAUAAAACUUAUAGAUGCAUCACAGGCUUAUUUUUACUACAAGACUCAAAGAUCAUCAUAUCACAAGCUUGUAAACCCACAUCCAUAUGGCUGUAAUUGAGAUGAAAAAUAAACAUUAACCCACCAGUGUAGUUAGCUUAGUUUUUGAUUGGUCUUGUCUCAUGAAAAAAGUUUUGGAUAUACUUAGCCACUAUGGCAGGGUAUAUAGUUUUAAGUAAUACCGCCAAAUGGUACCAUAAUAACCCAUACGAAUGGUGAAUUACGAAUUCAUAAUUAAUAUUAUUUGAACCUGCAGUGAUGAUGCUUAGGAAACAGUAAAUCUUAUCCUGAUAUAUUAAACAGGCCACAUAAUUUGGAAAAUCUUUUGGUCAAAAUCCAUUGGAUCUGAUUAUGGUGAAUUCGGUAUCGGAUGUGGCCAUAAGAGAGAACGAGAAAUUAAUCAGAUGAAAUACUAAAGAAAAGAGAAGAAGCACGUGUGAUGUGAGCUCGAGAAGAUCUUUAGUGAAGGGUUUAAUAAGCUAAAAACAAUACACAUAAGAGAGAGAGAGAGAGAGAGAGAGAGAGAGAGAGAGAGAGAGAGAUGCGCACGAAGAUAUAUAGCGACCUAAAACCCUACCUUUUCAAAAAAAAAAAAGAAAAAAAGAUAACAUAACUUGAUUUUGGAAAGAUUUUUUUUUCCAUUCUUUUGAUUGUAUUAACCUCAUAAAAGAAAAUGAUAAACAACUCAUGGAUGUGGAGCUGUUAUAAAUUCAUGUUUGGAAAGAAGAAAAGAAAAGAAAUAGCUGAUAAAAGAGAAAUAUCAGAUCUACAAUCAAACAAAGAAGCAGCAAGUGAGAGAUAAAGAGAGAGAGAGAGAGAGAGAUGCGCCACAAAAUAUAUAUAGCCAAUUAAAAUAAACCCUUUUGAAAAAAUUGAAAAAAACACCUAUAUUGCAGAUUUAUAUAUCAUCUGUGACCAUAACUUGAUUUUGGAAUGAUUUUUUUCUCUUUUUCUUUUGAGUGCAUAAACCUCACAAAAGAAAACAAAGAACAAUCAUCUGAUUUGGAGCUUUUAUAAGUUCAAAAAGAAAAAACCCCUAAAAACUUGCAAGCAAACAAAUAGCUGAUAAAAGGGAAAUAUGAUGAAACUUUUGAUGAAAUGAAAGAAAUCAUCUGAUGUGGAGCUUUUAUAAGUUCAAAAAAAAAAAAAAAAAAACCCCUAAAAACCUGCAAGCAAACAAAUUGCUGAUAAAAGAGAAAUAUGAUGAAACUUUUGAUGAAAUGAAACAAAUCAUCUGAUGUGGAGCUUUUAUAAGUUCAAAAAAAAAAAAAAACCCUAAAAACCUGCAAGCAAACAAAUAGUUGAUAAAAGAGAAAUAUGAUGAAACUUUUGAUGAAAUGAAACAAAUCAUCUGAUGUACGCUUUUAUAAGUUCAAAAAAGAAAAAAAAACUCCUAAAAACCUGGAAGCAAACAAAUAGCUGAUAAAAGAGAAAUAUGAUGAAACUUUUGAUGAAAUGAAACAGCAGCUGCAGGAGCAGAAGAACAAGACCUGCAGAGUAACUGAAUGAGAUUCCCGAGACAUUUGGUGAAAUGAAGGAGGCUCGCAAAGUAAAGGAAAAAGCUCCUCUUCCUCUUCUUCUUCUUCUUCUUCUUCCUCCUCUUCUUCUUCUUCUUCUUCUUCUUCUUCUUCUUCUUCUGCUAUUAAUUUAUAUGGUCAUUGUACCAAUUGCCCAUGGUGAGUGGUGGUGGUGGUGCGGGGGGGCGGGGGAGGGGGAAAUUAUGUGCGGCACAUUCGCAUGCGACGAAGAAGCUACCGCCGUCGGAUUGCUCCCACACGAAUCUCAAAGCACAGCGUGGGGCACGGAACGUGCCUCCCAUGGAUGCCUUCGCAAUUAAAUCUUUUCCUUCCCCUGUUGGUGGGUCCUCUAGCCAAUAGUCGGUGCGGAAAUUAAACCCCUUCUUUUGACCAUUAAUGUAUAUAUAUAAAAGAAUUAUGCUUUCGUAUAUCAACUUUUUAAUGUAUAUAUAUAUAUGUUACAAUUUACAGCUCAAAUUAAAACUAACUUCUCCAAAGUUCUUUCCCUUAUUACUUUUUAUUAAUCCAACAGGAAUUAAUAAUCUAAACACUAGAAGGGAAGUGUCGUAAUUAAAACAGACAUGCCAUUUUUCUCUAUAUAAAAUAAAACAAAAAUUUGAACACAAUUGAGCAUUGUUACGUCCAUAACCCACAGUGGAUUGUUAACCUACAAACAUCCAAUUCAAAGCCCACUUUUGCUCUAUAGGUCUCAACACUCUUAAUUUUAUUUUAUUUUUUUUAACUAAAAAGCAAAUUAAGGGAUUAGUAAACUCUAGAACCCUUGAAUAAAGAACUGCAGAUAUUACAACAUCUUUUUGAUUGUAGACUUAGCAUAUUAAUUUCUUAACAAUAAGAGCAUCUCACACCUCUCUCUCUCUCUCUCUCUCUCUCUCUCUUCUUCCCCUUGANUUUUAUUUUAUUUUUUUUAACUAAAAAGCAAAUUAAGGGAUUAGUAAACUCUAGAACCCUUGAAUAAAGAACUGCAGAUAUUACAACAUCUUUUUGAUUGUAGACUUAGCAUAUUAAUUUCUUAACAAUAAGAGCAUCUCACACCUCUCUCUCUCUCUCUCUCUCUCUCUCUCUCUCUCUCUCUCUCUCUCCCCCCCCUUGUUGCCCCUACAUAUUUUAGUUUGUUGACUCAUUCCGCAAAUCAUGUGAGAAACCCUAAUACGUUCUACUACAAGAUAAGGAUAAAUGUUUGUCUUGAAGUUAAUGUGUUGGUUUUAAAUAAAUUUGACUCAAAUUCGGUAACGAAUUAUAUAUUUUGAAAGAAAAUUAUUUUUCCAAACUACAAAUAGAAUAAAUAACAUCACAUAUUUGGAUAUUUUAGAAAGGAAAAUGCUUGGAUCCUCCAUAAUGUUGUACUUAUAUAUUACUAAUAUAUUAGCAAGUAUAAUAUAAUUUACAGAGAGAAAAACAUAAUAUAAAAAUUUUAAUUUGUUCAUACAUACUCUCAAAAUUUAUAUAAAUUUGUCAAUAAUAUAUAAGAACAAUUAAUAUUGUUUAUAGCAUAUAUACUAUUGCACUAGUCUUUUUAAAAUUUUCUUUUACGUACAUAUAUAGGUUGCAAAAGAUUGGCAUACAUUUUGCACGUAAUCGUGAGAUCAUUAAUAUAAUACACGGCUAUGAUUUCAUUUUUCUCCAGCUGAAGAAUAUGUGUACAACCUACACAUAAUAUGCAUGCAUCAAAAUUAUGUUAAUACAAAAGAAGAUUGGGAUUAAGCAAUAUGCUAGGUUUUCAACCCAUUUUAGGUUGCAAUUCUAUAUCUACUAUAAUCCCGAAGUCACUUUUUCUUUACAAGUCUUAUCAUUUUUCUUUUAAACUAAAAACCAAGAAAAGAAUAGUAAACCCUACAAUUCUCGGAUGGGGUUUUAUAGAGAUUAAAGACACAAAAGUUGAAGAAUCUAUAUGUAGAAUAAUAUCAUGGUUGAACAUACAUGGGUUCUGUCAUCUGUGAGGCACCUACUGUGUGCAAAUGUGAACAUGGACCCCCCACCCACACAUAAGAACAAGAUGAGGUGAGAGACUUUCACUGUGCGUUCCAACAUGGCUCUGAUUUUGUUUUCUCUCCUUUUCUUCUGCUUAAAAAUAACAAGAAAAGAUGGAACUUCAACAUCAAUCUCCACCUCCUCUUUUUUUUCUUUUCUUUUUUCCUCUGAGAGACUCUCCAUCAAUAUUGUUUUGAAAAACCAAAAAAGUCAAAGUCAUAGCUUUAAGAUUCGAGCCCAGGUCCAUUACUAGGUCGCUAGGUUGAAAAGCCAAAGCGCAUAAUUUUGAGUGAGUCCACGUACGGGCGUCACACAUGCAUCAUCCAUUUGAGUGUCCCUUCUAAGUAGGCGUCGUUGAAAAGCCAAAGUACAUAUUGAAACAAAAAGAAAUAAUUAGCUUGCUCGUGAGAGAUGUGGCAUCAUCUUCUACAUGCUUUGAAUUCCGAUCGAGUCGUAUUUGGUUUCAAGAAAAAGAAAUAAACCCGACUGGACUAGUGCUAUAAACAAUAUAUAUAUAUAUAUAUAUAUAUAUAUAGAGAGAGAGAGAGAGAGAGAGAGAGAGAGAGAGAGAGAGAGAGAAUCUUAUAAGCUACACAAAUUAAAAGAUUUUAAUUUAAUUUUUUUUUUUCCUUCCAAAAGUUUUAACUUCAAGUAUUUAAAGUUAUUUGCAAAAAUAAAAAAAAAAUCACGAAUUUUGAACACUUGCUUCUAUAGAUUAUUUUGUUUUGUUUUGUUUUCCUAAAGAAACCAGAUGCUUUGACAAAGAUAAAUAUAGGCUUCAAGAAAGCUAAGGUUGCUGAGAAGCUGGUUCAUUCACUAUGACCCAUCUUUAUCUUUGUUUUCUUCACAAGCCAAAAUAAUUCAACGCAAAAUCAGGCCCACUAAAGCUUUCAAAAUGGUCUUGUAUGACUAUGAAUUAGGUUUUACAUAUCUAAUCUUUCAUGCCUUUACAUAAGGAUAUAUUUGGGAAGUUUUUAAUUUGCUCUAGGUUACGAUUCGGUACUUAUAAUUAACGACAUCUUACUGUUUUUGGUUGAAUAAAUUAAGCUCUUCUUCGAUCGAUCAUAACCCUUAUAGAAGGGAAAAAAAAAAAAAUCCAAAUAGGAUCUUGGACACGAGAAAAUCUACAUUGUAACACUUACAUCACAUCAUCUAUUCUCAGCCAAUUACAUCACUUUUUUAAAAAGUAAAGUAUAAUAAAAAUAUUUUUUUAAUAAUUAUGAUGGAAUAGAUGAAUUUAAGAAAAAAAAUCUGAUUAAUUAAAAAUAUUAUAUCAGAAACAUCACUGGUAUAUUUUAAAAUUUUUUCCUUGGCCACACCAUACACGGAAGUACAAGGACGUGUAGGGCAAGAAAAUCAAGCAGGUAGAUGCUGCAGGGGUUGUUGGAUCUCUCGCUUUCGCGACUAAGUUACAUGUGGCAUGCAGCAUGGGAGGGGCCCAUUCUUUUGUCAAACUCCACCACUUGUAUUAAUUCCAUGAUGAAAUAGACUUCUUCUUUUUUUUUUUUUCUUUUUUUUUUGUGCCAAACUCCACCACUCGCAUAUUGAAAUAGAGAGCAGUACAUUAUUCAAGAAUAAUUUAGAGAAUGUUUUAGUAUGAUUUUAUGUAAGAAGUUCAAUAUUUUGCUUCUUUAAAAAUUUUACUGUCUAUGAUUUAUUAGGAUAGUAUAUUUUAUCUUUGAGGUGAUUUAUUUUAUUAUGAAAAAAUGACUUAAAAUCUAAACAUCAAUUUUCUUCUAAAUAUUUGAUCAUAAUCCUUAUUAGUCGAAAGAUAGUCAAGCGGGCCGUUAGUUUCAGUAAUUUAAUUGCAUGUUGGAACAACUUAUUCGGCACAAAGUUUUUCUUGUGUGCUAAAUUUAUUUUUACUUCUUGAUUGGAAUUUUCAUCCAUAAUAUAUAUAUAUUUUUUUUGAGAAAUAGGUAGCACACUAUCCGCUUCGUUUAUUUCAUUUAGAAAUAAACUUAGCUAGAAAUGUGAACCAACUAGGAUUCGAACUUGGAUCUCGGGUACCAACUACCAAGCCCUUUGCCACUUGCUCUAGGGGCAGUCGGUAUUUUCAUCCAUAAUUUGAUUAGAUAACAUAUUUCACUUGCAAAAUGAUUUAUUUUAUUCCGAAAAAUUGAUUAGAAAGUUGUAGUGAGUAUACAUUAAUUUCAUUGUCUUAUUUUAGGGUUUAAUCACAUUAUAUAUUGCCUUAUAUAUAAGGUCUUAUAUUUUAGGGAUUAGAAAGUUGUAGUGAUUCACUAUAUAUAUUGUCUUAUUUUAGAUGUUUAAUCACAUUUCUUAUCACCAAAUGCUACGAUUUCUUGAGAAAAUUAAAAUUACAUCCAGAAUAAGAACUUGGUGAUCGGUACCCGAGGUUCCAAGUUCGAAUCCUAAUUAAUUCACAUUUCCAGCUAAGUUUAUUUCUUAAUGAAAUAAACGAAGCAGGUAGCGUGCUAUCUAUCUCUCUCUCUCAAAAAAAAAAAAAGACCUUAAUCAAAUCACUAAUUAAUUUGCAGUGAGUAUAUAUAUAUACAUUAGUUUUAUAUAAUGUCAUCCUAACGAAGAAGAAUCCUAAUAACAACCGGAUAAUUAAGACAAAUUAAGACUCAACUUGUGAAUAAAAGAUACCGGCUAUGGGCGCACAAUAACCUGUAAGAUAAAAAUAAGAAACAAACUCUUUUAACUUAUAUCAUGCACCUAAUAAUUUUUUGACCCUAUCAAUAUCUUUUAGAUAAUUAACCAAGUGGCAAAGUACUGAAUGGUUCGUAUCAUAUUUCUAAUUACUUCAUAUUUUAAUUAAAAUUAUUUUUUUAAAAAAAUGAAUAAAAUAAUAGUAUGCUAUCAUUCUAGAAACCAUGCACGAAUCAGAUUCCGGCUCGAAUCUCUGAGCCCAUUGAGGUGUCAAUUAGAAAUUUUGGUUUACUUAAUUACCGUAUAGUAGUUUACUAACUCUACGCGGAGAGUGUGGGGACGUCGCACAUUAACAUACAAGACCAAAGAAAAUUUUUUAAAAAUGAAAAUAAUAAUAAUAAAAAAAAAAACAAUUGAAAGAUAUAGAGUAUGUGUCUCCCUCAGCGUCACGCGUAUACAAAUAUAGAGCUUUAAUUCUUUUUAUUUAUUUAUUAAGUGGUAUCUUAAUUAAAUUUUUACUAUUUUAACAGUCGAUCGAAUGAAGUUGUUAGUUUAACAAUUAAAUAUAAUAUUAAUAAAUUGAUAUUUUGUUAGACGCUGUGAUGCAAUUGAUCAAUAAUUAAUUACUAGCUUGUUUUCGUUAGGCCUUAUUUAUUCAACCUUAAAUUAUUAAAAAAAAAAAAACUUUGGGCUCUAUAUUCCACCCAAUUUUGUAACUAUAUAACCACAAUUGGGCCGUAGGCCAUAGUUCCAAAUGGGCUCGAUUAUACACGACCCUAACUUGAAAUUAAGCCCAACCAUAUGUUACUAACUUGAAAUGAGUCAAAAAGAGGUGUACAUCCUACACCUUGUCCGUUGGAUGGUGUACAAGUAGUAUUUUUCUACUCUAGUAACUAACGUCCUUGACGCGUUUAGCAUCUUUUGCUAUCCUAUUCAUGGAAAAGUUCCUCCAACCUAAUCUCCGGAUUUUGCUUUUUAAGUCCAAGUGAUCCCAAUUAGAUGCUACAAUUUUCACCAAUCAUCUCAAGGCCUUACUCUCUUAGAUCUCUCUCUCUCUCUCUCUCUCAUGUGUUGCCUUAAAACUUUUAUGCUAAUCUUUUCCCCAACUCCGAAAAAAGCUACUUAAUUAAUGUGACUCCAAAUUAAGAUGCAUCCAAUUCUCAAACGUCAGCAUAAACAGGAGAAGCACCAGCAACCAAACAAAAACCCACCAUUCCUUAAUUUGUCUCCACCUGCUUCUCAUUGUUCUCUUCCUCCCUUGUAUUUAUCUAUGGUUACAAUCCCAGGACCACACUCUCCCUUAAUACCUCUCCUUUUAUUUUAAGCACUAAAAAACAAACAAAGCAUCUAUAAUAAUCUAUAAUUAAAGAGGAUAAUAUAUAUUCAAUAAUGACAAAAAACCAAAACAAUUUGUGUUGAGAGUGGGAUUUGAACCCACGCCCUUUCGGACCAGAACCUUAAUCUGGCGCCUUAGACCAACUCGGCCAUCUCAACUUAUCUAUAUCAUUUCUUCGUACAUUUCUAAUAAUCUAUUUAUCAUACUCUAGUAAAUAGAAAUUCCCCAUGGAUAAGAAUCAAGUUGGGCGUGUUUGGUUCGCUUCUUUUUUACUCUGGAAUCGGAAUCGGAAUGGAUGAAUCCGUUUGUGGGUGUUUGGUACGCGGGAGUCCCAUUCCGAUUCCAAUUCCCGAGUGGAAUGGGAAUCUCCCAAUCACCCCUUUUUUCAAUCCGGCCUGGAGGCCGNCAGGUCUAAUUAGAGUAUACCGAAACAUUCGUCGUUUACAAUUAUAAGGAUACAUCAACGUGGUAUGUUUAUAGAAUCUAAAGAUGAACGAUUGACAUUCUUUUCUUUAAAGUAUAGUUUGCGUAGUGAUGAACCAGUAGCGAUAACGAUACUAAUAAAGUACAGCCAAGAGUAUAACUCAAAUCUUAAGAACAAAGGUAUCAACGCUCGUCAAAACUAGAAACUUCGGAUGCUCCCUACAUCCGAUAAUUGUCACCCCUCGGCGAGUGAAUAAAGGAGGAGAAGAAAAUACGCACUGUUUGGUUCUAAUUAUUUAGUUCGUAAAGUGUUCUCAUCUGGUAAAUUAAUGUAAUCCGAGAAGUCAUACCACUCUUCCUUUAACUCCGUGGAAUCAUAGGUUUUCUCUACUAAAUCAUAAUGUAAACAAAGAAGACUAUACAAUGAUACUUAAAAAAUACAGUGUGUAAAACAUUACAUGAUACAAAAAUUACGUAACGUUAAGAAUAAAACAGGAACUAUAAAUACGUCUUCGUCGCACUCUUAUGUAUGCUUCGAAGCUCCUUCGGCUAAAAUGGUGGUCUAAAACACCUCUUCGUCUCUCGCAUAAAGCGUCUCUAGCUAAGUAAGCUUGACGGCCUCCUCCUCCAGAGCCUCUCACUCGACCUAAUCGGCGCACUUUACUGCUGACACGUGAAGAUAUUGUACGAUCACGCCAUCCUUGAUUAGAAACAUGUCGUGUACAUAGUUUCCAUUGACCCCUAAAACCGGUACUUCCGACAACAUACGCAUGGGGUAACAUUUUAACGGUACAUUGGGAGUUGUAAAAACCUACAUAGGAGGUAGUUAAAGUAAGAUUAGGCACCCCUUAAAGAUAACUAAAUGAAAGGCAAGUCUCCUUAAAGUGACGCACCUCUUUUUAUCUAAUAGUACUUACAUGAACUGGUCCUAUAUCAACUAAGCUGACAUUUACCUCCUACAAAUCACUGAUACAAAUUAAAGCAAAUUUCUUGGUGCAAAUUGCUCUAAGGACAUGGAGGCAACAGAAUAUUCCACAAGCAACAUAAUAUUCUUGUAGAUGAUAGAAUAUUCUGUCGAGUCUAAUAUACUGUAAUAUUAGGCAUUACGGUCAAAAUUGUUGAAACUAAUGUUUCGAUUGUAAAAUACGUAAAGGCUCUGCAUUUUUAACUUAAUACUUCGCAUCCCAGGCUCAUGUAUAACAUAAAAUUAUUGUAUUAUAUUUUGUAGGAUGAUGCAGGGAGGCCGGGGCAACUCCCACGUGCAGCUGGAGCUCCUACCGCCGCCCGCCCGUGAUGUUUCCUUGGUUCCAUGCUUGAUACUGCUACAAGAUCAGUUGCUUUGUCUUUCAACUCCUUCCUGAAUCUUAAAAUUGUUUCGUGAGGGUCAAUUUUGUUCAGAGUUUCAUGUGACAAAAAUUGUGUUACGUACCUGACUCGGCGUAACCCCCAUCGAUGAUGAGAUCUCGCUGAGAUGAGGACGGCGUCGAGGAUGAUGGUCUUUGAUCCGACCCAGAGUAUUGCAGUACCAGGUAAGGAAAAGAGUAAGCUAAGAUGUGGAAGAACUUAAGAGGGAAGAGUUUGAGAAGGAGAAGAAUAAGAGUAGAUAAAAGAGGAGAAUAGAGAAGGAGGAGGAGAUUAAGUCGAGAAGAAAAUCAAUAUCAAUAUCAUUCAUAAUUCCUUCUAGGUUACAUCUGCCUCUUUUAUUAUCUCGUACAUCAUACUAAAAUGAAAAAAAUAUCAACUCCUAGGUAAUAAACUGAAAUUAAGAAAAAAUCAAGAGUGUGGGCCAGUUGGCCUUAAUUUGUAAGGCCGAUGCACUAUGUCGUCAAAACCUGUUUUAUUGCGUUCAUGAUUCUUGAAGAUCUUGUUGGAUAUUUACCGGCUUUCUAAUAUGAUUUCGUCAUCCAUGUAGGAAUGGCUUGUAGAUUGCUGCGGGUGAAAUUUUGGUUAUGGAUGUUGAAACUAGUGAUCAUCUGUCCUUGUGUUUGAUGAUUCUUUGUUAGUUGUAUGAGAAGAUUGUAUUUUGAUCUCACUUGGUGCAUGCUUUUAAAGAGAUCAAGCUUCGUGUGACGCAAGAAAUUUACCAUCAAGGUAACCAGAGCAAACAUAAAAAAUAAAAAUCAUACUUAUCCACAAAUUAAAUAUUCAAGUAAGAAGAAGAUACUUAUACGGAGAGAGAUUGAAGUAUGAGACAUUACUAAUGCAUGAGAUGCAGUGUGAAAAGCAUCUCAAAUUGAAAGCAUCGGUUUAUUUUUAAUUCUGACUUCGUUGAACCGUUCUUUGUCCGGAUUGAAAUAAAAUAAAACCAUAUGGAAACACAAUAUUUAUACAACAACGUGUACGUCAGUAUGUGCAAUUCAACACCAAUAGGGAAAUUAAUUAAGCAUGAAUUAAUUGUUGUUAAUUGCCGUGCUGAUCCAAAACCAUUUUAUCUAUUUCUAUUCAACCCCCAGGAAUCUUUCAACCUGCACCAUAAACGUACAAAAAUAUAUAUUAUGUAUAUUCAUAUGGGCAUGCAUGUUAGCUUAGCUAAUAUCUCCAAAGACGAAGACAAAAAAUAUAUAGGCCCUUCGAUUGAUAAGUAAUUAUUAAACUAAAUUUCUCUAUAUAUGUUGGCACCGAGUCUUUGAUGCAUGCGCUUCAUUGCUUUAAUCUCUCAACACUCCUUCACAUUGCUAUUUCCUGUUGCCUUCUUUCUUUCUUCCUCCGCCCUUCGGUAUGUAUACAAUGGUUUAUUUUUCCUCGAAACAACUUAAUUAUUUUGAGAUUAUUUUUUCUGUUUUCGGGACAGGGUAUUCAAUUAAGUGCAUUUAGUUGCAUGCGCGCAUAAGCUAGCAUAUUUUUGUUUAAUUCAUUUGCCAUACAUAAAUAUGCUUUACUCUUGAGUUUAAUGGGAACUUGCAUACAUACGUAUACCAAUGAAUGAAUAGUACAUGCAUGCAUGGCAUGUUCCUUUUCUCAAAUGUCAAGUAAUUAAAUGCGUAUAAGGGUGAAAACAAUAAAAAUGUUCGGUUUAUGAUCAAUUGUUCGUAGAAAAUAAAAGAUUCAGAGACUAAGGAUUUGAUGCACUUUGAUUGCUACUGUUUCCUCUAUUUGUCACCUUCUAAGCUUUUUGUCAUUAAAUCAAGUAUCUAAUUUUUAUGUUUUAUCACUUUCAUUUAUUCUUCAAAACAUCAGAGAAUUGUGGAAUAAAGAAUGUUGGUACGUAGCCUCGACCCGCAAAUUAUUCAGUCUAUUUUGUGAUGGACAGUGUUUAAUUAUUACAAAUUUAUAUGUGAAUAGUUUCAUAGCUAAUUUAUUAAAGAGUAAAUGAUUGAUAUAUCGAAAUGGAUCUUGACCUAAUAAGUUUAAGCAUUUAAGGCUAGAUGAGUUAUAUCAAAUAUGCCAUAUUCUUCAAUCUAUAUAUAUUCUUGGAUCCAUGUAGACUUAGGAGAUAUUUUGGCAGUUUUAGAUUACUCGCUUAAGUGGUGUGGUUGAAUCGAGUUACUAGCUCACACGAACAUGACGGACUAAUGGAAAGAGGUCAAUUUAUAUAAUGCGAUAUGACGGCUUAAUGCAAUCAAAAUAGUUGGAUCAACAAAUUAAGCAUGUGUUAGGCAUAUAAGCUCUCGAGAGGCGUAGGUUCGAUACAUCGGCUUGGACGAUCACUGGAUUUGCAUUAGGUCAAAAGUCAUUAAUGGCAUGGCGUGCGUAAAGAGUAUUGACUUAGUGCAAUGUUUGAGGACAUUGUUAAAAUUUUGUACAUAAUCAGUCUCGCAUCAAAUAACUAAUAUAAAACGUAAAUAAUCUAUAUAUACAUACCAGUGAGCUCAAAGCUAAUUAUAAACCUAAACUUUUUGGUUGAAUAUGCAUGAAUGUGUUCUGCAAAAUUUGUCACAUUCUUAGAUCUACUGGACUUGAGCUAGGGACCUCUUUUUACAUGGCCUGAUUAAUAUUGCUGGAAAAGCGUCUUUGUUGAAGAUAAUUAUCGCGCAAAGGUACUGGGAAUUGCAUCGUGGCGAUGCCAAUCAAUUGAUCAUCUUAAUUAUGAGCGUAAUGCAUUGUCAUGAAAAUUUAUAAUCAUAUUGACCUACCAAUAAACUAAAAUCAAAUUGUUGCAGUCACAAAAGAUAAUCUCUAUACUUGGCAAAUUAUAGACAGCUAGUUUAAAUUCUUAAGAAAAUGCUAUUCUUACAAACUACUUCUACAACAAUCUAUAAUUUAAAAUUUAGUAGUUAGGUUUUAUAUAUUCUUUGUCUUAGGAACUACAACAAUCACCUCAUGAAUGGUACCAUUUUGCCAAUUAAAAAGGGCUACAUAAUUAAGCAAAUAUAUUAAAAAUUAUAAAAUUUAGGAGUAAACUUCAAAUACUACUCCUAUAGUUUCGCACUUUCUCACUUUACUACUCUAUGGUUUAAAGUGUACCAAUUUAGUGUUCUGUGAUUUCAUUUUUUUCUUUUCGUCAGUUUCUUUGUUAAUAUUUUGUUAAAUUAUAUACAAAAAACUUCAGAUACCCAUAUAGAUUUAUCAAAUAUUCACUUUAAUACUCUUUAGUUUUAACUUUAUUACUGAUUUAAGAAAAAAAAAAUAAUAAAAUUGAUAAUAAAAAGAGAAAAUAAAAUCACAGGGUACUAAAUUAAUACACUUUAAACCAUAGAAUAGUAAAGUAAAAAAGUGUGAACCUAUAGAGUGAUAUUUAAAGUUUUUCCUAAAAUUUAUCUGUAAGUAGAGCGUUACUCAAAUUCUUAGGAGCUGGCCGAUAUAUGGGCUGAAGAGCGUUACGAUCCGGACCGUAUUCACAGUUCAAGAACAUGUAGAGUGCAGUUUCGGAGUCCACGAACCUACGGCCCAUUAGAGACAAACUGGAAGGCCCAUUUAUGGAGGAUUAGGCUGGGCUUAUGGGGCCGAGCUUCUCCACCAGAAGGUCUACAACCCAAAUUAAUGGGCCUAAUGUUUGUAGUGGGUUGGAUCGACCACGUACAUCCAAACCAGAAACCAAAUCUAUAUAAUUAGCCCAGGCAUACGUGCCCUCGUUUUCACCAUGCAUGCAAAUUAGCUUAAAGAGCAACAAUAUGCAUGCAUGCCCUAGCUAGCUAGAAGUUGAGUUGAUCAACCUACGUGUCAAACGUGCUUGAUGGGUGAGAGACUCUCUCUCUCUCUCUCUCUCUCUCUCUCUCACAGAGACACACACACGCUCUUCUCUAGAGAGAGAGAGAGAGAUCUCACACGCACCGGCUUCUCUCUCUCUCAUUCGCACACACUUCUCAAGAGAGAGAGAGAGAGAGGUCACACACACCCACCCACCCACCUCUCUGUGUACCUCACAAACACACACAUAGACUUGGCAAACGGGCGGGUUGGGUAAUCUGCGGGCGGGUUAUUGUACCCGCGGGUUACUUGGGCAUGGAUAAAAUUUAUCAGCAAAUUUUUGGGUAGCCAACAUCUUUAUCCAUACCCACCUGCGGGUGGGUGGCUGGGUAUGCGGGUUACCCAUAAUUUUUAUUUUAUUUUUUGCUCUUAUAUUUUUUAAAUGCAAAACACAAAUAUAUAAAUUUUAAAAGUGUAAUAUAAUUUAUUAUUUAAAAUAUCAUAACAUACAAUAAAAAUAUUUAAAGUCUUAAAGUAAAAAUAUUUCAUAAUAUAAAAGACACGCAAUGAGAAAUUAGGAUUAGAAUUUUUAUGAUGGAUAAAUAAAAAAAAAUAUUAAUUAAGAAAAUAUAUUUGUAAUUAAAAAAUAUGUGUGGGUACCUGUGGGUACCCGCGGGUUAUCCAAAAUACUCAUAGCUUAAUAGGUACCCAUCCGUUUUACCCGUAAUUUUUUGGGUUGGAAAAAUUAGUAUCCAUACCCGCAAAUUUGUGGGUAACCCGUGGGCACCCGCGGGUUUGGGUCGAAAUUGCCAGGUCUACACACAUACACACACUUCUCUCUAUAGAGAAGAGAGAGAUCUCUCACAUACCCGCUUCUCUCUCUCUCUCUCUCAUACGAACACACUUCUCUAGAGAGAGAGAGAGAGAGAGAGAGACUCACACAUACACACCCAACCACUUCUCUCUCUACCUUACACACACUUCUUUCUAUAGAGAAGAGAGAGAUCUCUCACAUACCCGCUUCUCUCUCUCUCUCUCUCUCAUACGAAUACACUUCUCUAGAGAGAGAGAGAGAGAGAGAGAGGUUCACACAUACACACCCAACCACUUCUCUCUCUACCUUACACACACCUCUCUCUAUAGAGAAGAGAGAGAUCUCUCAGAUACCCGCUUCUCUCUCUCUCUCUCUCUCUCUCUCUCUCUCUCUCUCUCUCUCAUACACACACACACUUCUCUAGAGAAAGAGAGGCUCACACACACACCCACCCACCUCUCUCUCCCUCACACACACACACGCACACACACUUCUCUAGACAGAUAGAUCAAUAGAGAGAGAGAGAGAGAGAGGUGGGUGUGAGAUCUCUCUCUCUCUCUCUCUCUCUCUCUCAAGGAGAUUAAGUUGGUUGGUUUCUAAAUAGACACAAAAUUGACUCAUGCCCUAUCCUUUGUUCAAAAGAGAAGAACACUGCUACGCUUAAUUAUCUCAAGUUCCCUUAGAUAUGGAAACGGCACAAUCAGUUAAUUAGCUAGUGCUUUUUUGGUAUAACUUUUUAAAUAUUAAUUAAUCUUAUUCAACCACGGCGGUUUCUUACCUCAUCGAUAUAAUAGAGGGAAGCCUUCUAGGGCAUGCACAAUCUAAAAAUGUUACUCAUUCUCAAUUAAUCAUUAAUUAAUUAGAAGCUACUUGGUCAACACAAAUGCAUUGUCAUCAAACACAAAUAAUAAGAAAGCAAAGGACAAGAACUGUAAUCAAUAUUCAGUAAUAUUAAUUACUGUAAAAGACAAUGUAGUCAAGUUACAGAAUCCUGCAAACGACUUAGAAAUUACCACAUUCAUUUUUUGACCCAUAAAUUUGUACAGAGCCCCACCACAACCAGGAUUACAAGACACUAACUAUACAACAACAAAGCCAAUGUCCUCCUAAAACCUUUCGGAAAACAAAGCCAGUAUUGAUCGAUCGCCUAUUAUAUGUGGAGACAGAUAAAAUAGACCAAAACAACAUUAACGAUGACAACAACAACAACAUCUCUAGCAAUCUUUCAUAAAAACUCUCAGCAAGGUCCCCCAUAGACAACGUUUUGGAGGUAAAUAAUCACAGUAAUUAUGUGUAGCCCAAAACCGAGAUUAACUUCCAUUCAUUUGGUUAUGAUUGAAGCGAUAAAUUGAAGUUGAUAGAAGUUCACUUCUAUCUGAAAAUACGAUUUUUAUGUUAUGUCUACUUAAUCACCCCAACCAAACGUUCCGUUGGCUAAGAUAGCACGAUGAAGAGCAUCACCGCCCCCGCCAUGAUCAUAACUAUUUGCAGCAGCAAACUAACAGAGUAAAAGAUUUCAACGAUCGAAGCCCACAUUUCGCCGUGCUGCGGUUCAAACAUGAGGCCUAUCCAGAUCAGGCCAGAUUCGAUGGCCAAGAGCUGAAAGAAUGCGCAGACCCUUAUCCCUAAACUCAUGUGGUCUUGCUGUGGUGCGAUCCCCACACUUGCCACGCAUAUGGCUGCUAGUAGGCCACCAUUGAACGAGACCAGCGUUGCAAUGCCGUACCUCAUCACACCCGCAUAGCGUGGGUCAUGGUAUAAGGGUCGAGCACUAGUUGGAUCUCUCAGGCUGAUACCAAUAUCCUGGGUGAAGUAUACACAGAUAGGGACGAGCACCAGCAAGAACACGCCUACGACCAAAGUUUCCAAGAACUGCAUGGCAAGCGCAGCGGCUGAUAGCCCGAGGAGGACCAAAAUAGCAGCGCUGCUGUAUCUCACAAAGCUUAAAAGGCUCCCUCUCCAAAAGGAGUAAUGAACAGUUAAGGGGAUGGAGGUGACCAUCAUAACAAAGAUGCCAACCAUGGUGAUCAGGAAGAAGAGACAUAGCGCAAGUUGGAAACUUUGCAAUGCUUGGAGAGGAGGGCUUUUGAAGGAAGCAUAAAUCAUACCCGUUUGUACGGUGAUGGCCAUUGUUGCAAUAGUAGUAGCGAACUUGAAGGCCUUCUUCUGCUCCGGUUUGUAGCUGUUGAAGAUGUGCAGCAUGCAUGUUAAUUGAAAACACCGUUAACCCUAAGCUUUUAGAGGCUGCCAUCACCCCUCAAAAAUGAUCUAAGUAUUAGAUUAGCCGAUUCCGUUAUCUAUUAGUAAGUUUACCGAUGAAAAAAUGACCUAAGCUCAUGUAUGUUUCAAAUUAAAGAGCAAAUUACAGCUUAGUUUUUACAUGAACAUAUAGUUCUUCAACUUUUCAAAGCAAAAUUAUUUCCAGCAGUCAAUACUUUUUUAACAAAUAGAAUUAGAGGAACAUAUUACUGCCAGGUUUUUUUGUAAAAAAAAAACACUAAAUUUAGUACCCGAGUUGACAUGCGAUAAACGCACAAGCUAAUAAUUUGAUACAUUUAUAAGAAGUUCAUGAGAUACUAAUUCAGUUCACCUGAGAAGAGUAAGAGUAAAAGUAAAAAAAGUUUUAGGCUAACAGUACUAUCGAAACUUAUAACAACACAUUAUGUACCUUUCAUGGUUAACACUGUCGCGGUCGUGAACAUUUUGUGUAGCUCUAUAUCCAAGGAAGCAUAUGAUAGCUAUGACAGGAAUUACAAUAAGACUCAUCCCUGCACUGUCUUUGUUCAGGAGUACUAAGGAGAAAAAGCUUGUCACAAUUAAAAGAACAGAAGAUAUGGUAAUCGCGCUAAUCAGAUAUAUCUUCUGGUUUCGGUUGAUUCGAUUAUAACGUCCGAACAGAAAAAAGGCAUACAUCAACAACAAGAUGGGGCAUUGAAGAGUGGGCCAGAUGAAGAAAUUGUAGGCUUUGAUAACUGUGGAGGAAUAUUGCAUGGCUCUUAUAUCUUUAGCUCCAUUUAAAAAUGCUAAGAGUAUUGCAGAAGCCAUGGUUAUUAUCGCAACUGAGAAAAAUAUGAUUCGUUUCAACUGGUCCCUAACAACUUUAGUUUGCUGUUCAUUUUCUCCUUCAUUUCCUGAUUCCAGUUGGUUUAUCUGCAGUUAGGUUAAACAAGUAGUAAGUGUUUUGUAUGUGCAUACAUAUGUAUGUAUGAUUAAUUGGUUAGGCCACAGCAAAUUAACAAACAUAUUUAGAAGCUAGAGAAGAAGAGAGCUUCAUUUUAUAUAUAUAUAUAUCUUAGGCACCAUGAGAUAAUUCAUUAACCAAAAAAUUUACUAUUGGCAGGGUCAAAAGUUUUAUGGUGAAAAUAAAGAUGACAAUUCGAGACAUAUAAAACUUAUAGAUGCAUCACGGGCAUAUAAUUUUUACUACAAGAUGCAAAGAUUAUCAUAUCACAAGUUUAUAAACUCACAUCCAUGUAUACAUCUCAUCAUGUCUGUCGUUAAGAUGACAAAUCAACAUUAACCCACCAGUGUAGUCAGCUUAGUUUUUGAUUGGUCUUGUUUCAUGAAAAAAAAAAAAAAAAAAAACUUGGAAAUACUUGGGUUGGUAUGUUGCAGCUACUAUAUAUGGUAGGGUAUAUAGUUCUAAGUAAUACCACGAUAUGGUACCAUAAGAACCAAUAAGAAUAGUUAAUUACGAAUUCAUUGUUAAUAUUCAAUGAACCUGCAGUGAUGAUGCAUAGGAAACAAUAAUCUGAUCCAGAUAUAAUUAAACAGGCCAAUUAAUUUGGAAAAUCUUUUAGUCGAAAUCCAUUGGAUUUGCAUGUGGUGAACUCGGUAUCGGAUUUGGCCAUAAGAGAGAACGAGAAAUUAAGCGCGAAAUACUAAAGAAAAGAGAAGAAGUACAUGUGUUAUGAGGUCGAGAAGAUCUUUUGUGAAGGGUUUAAUAAGCUAAAAACGAUACACAAAAGAGAGAGAGAGAGAGAGAGAGAGAGAGAGAGAGAGAGAGGCGCCAUGAAUAUCUCUAACUACCGAAAAACCUUACCUUUUCAAAAAAAAACAUCUGUACUCAUUACUUGAUUUUGGAAAGAAUUUUUUUUUCUUUUUCUUUUUCUUUUGAUGAAAUGAAAGCAAUCAUCUGAUGUGGAGCUUUUAUAAGUUCAAAAAAAAAAAAAAAAAAAAAACUAAAAACUAAAAACCCUAAAAAACCUGCAAGCAAACAAAUAGCUGAUAAAAGAGAAAUAGGAUGAAACAUUUGAUGAAAUGAAACAGCAGCUGCAGGAGCAGAAGAACAAGACCUGCAGAGUAACUGAAUGAGAUUCCUGAGACAUUUUUGGUGAAUUGAAGAGAGAUCGGCCUUUUGAUUAUAUGCGAAUACGCAAACUAAAGGUAAAAAGCUCCUCCUCCUCUUCUUUUCCUCUUCUUCUUCCUCUUCUUUUUCUUCUUCUUCUUCUUCUUCGGAUUAUUUAUGUUGGUCAUUCCACCUAAUGCCCCACAUGAGGGGAAAAAAAAAAUCCGCGACGACGAACUCGCAAGCGACAAAGCGACUACCGCUGUCGGAUAUCCCCUGAUGCGAAUCUCAAAGCACAGUGUGGGGCAUGGAACGUGCUUUCCAUGGACAUAUGCCUUUGCAAUUAAGAUUUUUUGCUUCCCCCUCUUGGUGGGUCCUUAGCUAAUGGUGGGUGGGGGGAACCCCCUCCCCCACCCACCAAUUAGCUAAGCACACCAAGAGGGGGAAGCAAAAACUUUAUUGCAAAGGCAUAUGUCCAUGGAAAGCCGUUCCAUGCCCACACUGUGCUUUGAGAUUCGCAUCAGGGGAUUCCGACGCGGUAGUCGCUUUGUCGCUUGCGAGUUCGUCGUCGCGGAUUUUUUUUUUCCCUCAUGUGGGGCAUUAGGUGGAAUGACCAACAUAUAAUCCGAAAGAAGAAGAAGAAGAAGAAAAGAGGAAGAGAAGAAGAGGAAAAGAAGAGGAGGAGGAGCUUUUUACCUUUAGUUUGCGUAUUCGCAUAUAAUCAAAAGGCCGAUCUUCUUCAAUUCACAAAUGUCUCAGGAAUCUUCAUUCAGUUACUCUGCAGGUCUUGUUCUUCUGCUCUGCAGCUGCUGUUUAUUUCAUCAAAUGUUUCAUCCUAUUUCUCUUUUAUCAGCUAUUUGUUUGCUUGCAGGUUUUUUAGCGGUUUUAGUUUUAGUUUUUUUUUUUUUUUUUUUUGAACUUAUAAAAGCUCCACAUCAGAUGUUGUUCUUUUUUUCUUUUGUGAGGUUUUUUACAUCAAAAGAAAAAGAAAAUAAAAAAAAUUCUUUCCAAAUCAAGUUAUGGGUACGAUGUAUAUAUAUGAAUCUGCAAUAAAGUUUUUUUUUUUUUUUUUUUUUUUGGAAAGGGUUUAGGUUUUUUUUAUUGGCUAUAUGUUGUUUUUGGCGUCGUCUCUCUUCUCCCUCUCUAGAUCUCUCUCUCUUAGAUCUCUCACUUUGCUGCUUCUUUUGUUUGAUUGUAGAUCUUAUAUUUUUUUUAUCAGAUUAUUCAUUUUUUUUUCUUUCGAACAUGAAUUUAUAACAGCUCCACAUCAGUUAAUUGUUCAUUAUUUUCUUUUGUGAGGUUUUCAAUCUAAGGAAGUGUGGAAAAAAUCUUUCCAAAAUCAAGUAAUGAUUAUAUUUUUUUUUUUGAAAGGUAAGGUUUUUCGGUUAGUUAGAGAUAUUCAUGGGCGCCUCUCUCUCUCUUCUCUCUCAUCUCUCUCUCUCUCUCUCUUUUGUGUAUCGUUUUUAGCUUAUUUAACCUUCACAAAGAUCUUCUCGAACUCAUAACACAUGUACUUUUCUCUUUUCUUUUAGUAUUUCGCGCUUAAUUUCUCGUUCUCUUUUAUGCCAAAUCCGAUACGAGUUCACCACAUGCAAAUCAAUGGAUUUCGCUAAAAGAUUUUCCAAAUUAAUUGGCCUGUUUAUUAUAUCUGGCAUCGAUAGAUUAUUGUUUCCUAUGCAUCAUCACUGCGGUUCAUUGAUAUUACAAUGAAUUCGUAAUUAACAUUCUUAUUGUUUCUUAGGUACCAUAUCGUUGGUAUUACUUGAACUAUAUACCUACCAUAUAUAGUAGCUGCAACAUACAACCCAAGUAUUUCAAGUUUUUUUUUUUUUUUUUUUUUCAUGAAACAAGACCAAUCAAAAACUAAGCUGACUACACUGGUGUGGUUAAUGUGAUUUGUCAUCUUAACGACAGACAUGAUGAGAUGUAUACCAUGGAUGUGAGUUUAUAAACUUGUGAUAUGAUAAUCUUUGGUCUUCUUAGUAAAAAUUAUAUGCCCGUGAUGACUCUAUAGUUUUAUAUGUUCUCGAAUUGUCAUCUUUAUUUUACCAUAAAAUUUUGACCUGCAUAGUAAAUUUUUGUGUAAUUGAAUUAUCUUCAUGGUGCCUAAGAUAUUAUAAAUUAUAUAUAUAUAUAUAUCAUAUAUACUAUAUAUAUUAUAUAUAUAUUAUUAUAUAUAUAUAUAAUAUAAAAUGAAGCUCUUUCUUCUCUAGCUUCUAAAUAUGUUUGUUAAUUUGCUGUGGCCUACAAUUAAUAUACAUACUAUGUAUGCACAUACAAAACACUUACUACUUGUUUAACCUAACUGCAGAUAAACCAACUGGAAUCAGGAAAUGAAGGAGAAAUUGAACAGCAAACUAAAGUUGUUGGACCGUUGAAACGAAUAUAUUUUCUCAGUUGCGGAAUAAACAUGGCUUCUGCAAUUCAUCUUAGCAUUUUUAAAUGGAGCUAAAGAUUAAGAGCCAUGCAAUAUUCCUCCACAGUUUAUCAAAGCCUACAAUUUCUUCAUCUGGCCCACUCUUCAAUGCCCAUUUUUUGAUGGUACUGCCUUUUUUUCUGUUCGGACGUUAUAAUCGAAUCAACCGAAACCAGAAGAUAUAUUCUGAUUGCGCGAUUACAUAUUCUUUCUUUUAAUUGUGACAAGCUUUUUCUCUUAGUACUCUGAACAAAGACAGUGCAGGGAUGAGUCUUAUUGUAAUUCCUGUCAUAGCUAUCAUAUGCUUCCUUGGAUAUAGAGCUACACAAAAUGUUACAGACCCCGCGACAGUGUUACCAUGAAAGGAUACAUAAUUGUUUGUUUAAGUUUCGAUGAUACUGUUAGCUAAAAUUUUUUUACUUUUACUCUUACUUUCUCAGGUGAACUGAAUUAGUAUCUCAUGAACUUUUAUAAUGUAUCAAAUUAUUAGCUUGUGCGUUUAUCGCAUGUCAACUCGGGUCAUAAAUUUAGUGUUUUUUUUUUACAAAACCUGGCAGUAAUAUGUUCCUCUAAUUCUUAUUGUUAAAAAAGUAUGACUGCUGGAAUAAUUUUUUGCUUUGAAAAGUUGAGAACUAUAUGUUCAUGUAAAACUUAGCUGUAAUUUGCUCUUUAAUUUGAAACAUACAUUGAGUGUAGGUCAUUUUUUAUCGGUAAACUUAUAAUAGAUAACGAAUCGGCUAAUUAAUACUGUUAGAUCUUUUUGAGGGGUGAUGGCAGCUCUAAAAGCUUAGGGUUAACCGGUGUUUUCAAUUAACAUGCUGUGACAUCAUUCAAGCAUACAACCGAGCAGAGAAGGCGACUUCAAGUUCGCUAUACUAUAUGCACAAUGGCCAUCACCGUACAAACGGGUAUGAUUUAUGCUUCCUUCAAAAGCCCUCCUCUCCAAGCAUUGCAAAGUUUCCAACUUGCGCUAUGUUUUUUCCAUUCCAUGGUUGGCAUCUUUUGUUAUGAUGGUCACCUCCAUCCUUAAUGUUCUCUAUCCUUUGGAGAGGGAGCCUUUAAGCUUUGUGAGAUACAGCCGCGCUGCUAUUUGGUCCUCCUCGGGCUAUCAGCCGCUGCGCGUGCCAUGCAGUUCUUGGAAACUUGGUCGUCAGGGGUGUUCUUGCUGGUGCUCGUCCUCUAUUGUGUAUACUCACCAGGAUAUUAGGUAUCAUCCUGAGAGAUCAACUAGUGUCGACCUUUUACCAUGACACGCUAUGCGGGUGUGAUGAGUGUACGGCAUUGCAACGUGGUCUCGUUCAAUGGUGGCCUACUAGCAGCUAUGCGUGGCAGUGUGGGAUCGCACCACAGCAAGACCACAUGAGUUUAGGAUAAGGUCUGCGCAUUCUUUCAGGCUCUGGCCAUCGAAUCUGGCCUGAUCUGGAUAGGCCUCAUGUUGAACGCCAGCACGGCGAAUGUGGGCUAUCGAUCGUUGAAAUCUUUUACUCUGUUAGUUUGCUGCUGCAAAAUAGUUAUGAUCAUGGCGGGCGGUGAAAUGCUCUUCAUCGUGCUAUCUUAGCCACGGAACGUUGUGUUGGUGGUGAUUAAGUAGACAUAACAUAAAAUGUAUUUUUGAUAGAGUGAACUUCUAUCACUUCAUUUAUCGCUUAAUCAUAACAAUGAAUGGAAGUUAAUCUUCGGUUUUGGCUACACAUAAUUACUGUGUUUAUUAUACUCCAAAACGUUGUCUAUGGGGGAACCUUGUCUGAGUGUUUUUAUGAAAGAUUGUAGAGAUGUUUGUUGUUGUUGUCAUCGUUAAAUGUUGUUUUGGUCUAUUUUAUCUGUCCUCGAUAUAUAUGGCGAUCGAUCAAUACUGGCUUGUUUUCCGAAGGUUUUAGGAGGAUGCUUUGUUGUUGUAUAGUUAGUGUUUGUAAUCCUGGUUGUGGUGGGCUCUGUACAAAUUUAUGGGUCAAAAAUGAAUGUGGUAUUUUAAGUCCGUUUGCAGAUUCUGUACUUGACUACAUUGUCUUUUUACAGUAAUUAAUAUUACUGAAUAUUGAUUACAGUUCUUGUCCGUUGCUUCUUAUUAUUUGUGUUUGAUGCAACUGCAUUUGUGUUGACAAGUAGCUUCUAAUAAUUAAUGUAUUAUGAGAAUGAGUAACAUUUUUUAGAUUUGUGCAUGCCCUAGAAGGCUUCCCUCUAUUAUAUCGAUGACGGUAAGAAACCGCCGUGGUUGAUAAGAUUAUUAAUAUUUAAAAAGUUUAUACCAAAAGCUAGCUAAUUAAGCUGAUUGUGCCGUUUCCAUAUUCUAAGGGAACUUGAGAUAAUUAAGUAUGAAGUGUUCUUCUUUUUUGAACAAGGUAGUGGCAUGAGUCAAUUUUGUGUCUAUUUAGAAAACCAACACUUAUCGUCCUGAGAGAGAGAGAGAGAGAGAGAGAGAGAGAUCUCACACCAACUCUCUCUCUCUUCUCUCUCUUUGAUCUAUCUGUCUAGAGAAGUGUGUGUGCGUGUGUUGUGUGUGAGGGAGAGAGAGUGGGUGGGGUGUGUGUGUGAGCUUCUUUCUCUAGAGAAUGUGUGUGUGUGUAUGAGAAGAUAGAGAGAGAGAGAGAGAGGAGAGAGGAGAGAGCGAGAAGCGGGUAUCUGAGAGAUCUCUCUCUUCUCUUUAGAGAGAGGUGUGUGUAGCGUAGGAAGGAGUGAAGUGGUUGGGGUGUGUAUGUGAUAACUCAUCUCUCUCUCUCUUCUCUCUCUAGAGAAGUGUAUUUCGUAUGCAGAGAGAGAGAGAGAUAGAAGCGGGUAUGUUGAAGAUUCUCUCUUCUUCUCUCUAGAAAGAAGUGUGUGUAAGGCUAGAGGGAAGUGGUUGGUGUGUGUAUGUGUGAGUCUCUCUCUCUCUCUCUCUCUCUCUAAGGAGAAGUGUGUUUCGUUGGAGAGAGAGAAGAGGAGAAGCGGGUUAUGUGAGAGAUCUCUCUCUUCUCUAUAGCAUGAGAAGUGUGUGUAUGUGUGUAGAUCUUGGGCAAUUUCGACCAAACCCGCGGGUGCCACGGGUUACCACACAAAUUUGCGGGGUAUGGAUACUAAUUUUUCAACCAAAUUACGGGUUAAAGAGAUGAGGUACUUAUUAAGUUAUGAGUAUUUUGGAUAACAGCGGGUAACCCAAGGUACCCACAUUUUUUAUUUACUUCAAAUUUAUUUCUUAAUUUAAUAUUUUUUUUUAUUUAAUCCAUCAUAAAAUCUUUAAUUCGCUAAUUCUCAAUUGCGUGUCUUUUUAUUAUGAAUAUUUUUACUUUCAAGCUUAAAGUAUUUUUAUUUGUAUGAGUUAUGACUAUUUUAAUAAUCAAAAUUACUAUUAACUUUUAAAUUUAUAUAUUUGUGUUUUUGCAUUUAAAACAUAUUAGAGCAAAAAUCUAAAAUACAAAAUUUAUGGUAACCCGCAAUACACAGCCCGCACCCGCAGAGGUUGGGGUAUGGAUAAAGAUGUGGCUAACCAAAAAUUUGCCUGAUAAAUUUUAUCCAUGCCAGUAAGCGCGGGUACGUACAAACACCCGCCGCAAUUACCAACCUGCCGUUUGGCCAAGUCUAUGUGUGUGUUUGUUGAAGGUACACAGAGGGUGGAGUGGCGAAUCGCAGGUGUGAUGUGUUUGACCUCUCUCUUCUCUCUCUUGAGAGAGUGCUGUGCGACUGAGAGAGAGAGAAGCCGCGUGGUGUGGAUUCUCUCUCUUCUCUCUAGCGGAAGAGCUGUGACUGUGUCUCUGUGGAGAGGAGUGAGAGAGAGAGAGAGAGAGGUCUCUCAACCCAUCAAGCACGUUUGACACGUUAGGUGAUCAAUACUUCUACGCUAGCUAGGUAUGCUGCAUUAUUGUUGCUCUUUAAGCUAUUUGCAUGCAUGGUGAAAAACGUAGAGGGCCGUAUGCCAUGGAGCUAAUUAUAUAGAUUUGGUUUCUGGUUUGGAUGUACUAGUGGUCGUUCCAAGCCACUACAAAACAUUAGGCCCAUCUAAUUUGGGUUGUAGACCUUCUGUGGUGGAGAAGCUCGCCACCAUAAGCCCAGCUAAUCCUCCUAAUUUGGCCUUCGUUUAGGUACACAUUCACGACUCUAAUUGGUAGCAAUCGUCCAUAGGCGCUUUCGGUUGUGGACUCCGAAAAUGCCACUCUACAUGUUUCUAUGAACUGUGAAUAGCGGUCCGGUGUACGCUCUUCAGCCCAUAUAUCGGCCAGCUCCUAAGAAUUUGAGUAACGCUCUACUUACAGUAAUUUUAGGAAAAACUUUAAUAUCACUCUAUAGGCUUCAACUUUUUUACUUUAUAUUCUAUGGUUAACAGUGUAUUAAUUUAGUACCUGUUGAUUUUAUUUUUUUUUUAUUAUCAAUUUUAUUAUUUUUUUUUUCUUAAAUCAAGUAAUAAAUUAAAAACUAACAGAGUAUUAAAGUGAAUUUUGAUAAUUAUCUAUGGGUAUCUUGAGAAGUUUUUGUGAUAUAAUUACAAAUUUAACAAAGAAACUAGGCGAAAAGAAAAAAAUGAAAUUCACAGAACACUAAAUUGGUACUAUUUAAACAUAGAGUUAGUAGAAUGAGGAAAGUGCCCGAAACAUAUGGAGUAAGUAUUUUGAAGUUUACUCCUAAUUUAUAAUUUUUAAUAUAUUUGGCUUAUUAUGUGUAGAGCCUUUUUAAUUGGCAAAUGGAUUACCAUUUUCAUGAGGGUGCUUGUUUGUAGUUCCUAAGGACAAAGAAUUAUAUAAACCUAACUACUAAAUUUAAAUUAUAGGAUUGGUUGUAAGAAGUAGUUUGUAGAAAUGAUUAUUUUAAGAAUUUAACUAGCUGUCUAUAAUUUGCCAAGUAUAGGUUAUCUUUUGUGACUGCAUACAAUUUGAUUUUAGUUUUUGGUAUAGGUCAAUGAUUAUAAAUUUUUCAUUGGACAAUGCAUUACGCUUUAAUUAGAUUGAUCAAUUGAUUGUCAUCCGGCCACGAUGCCAAUUCCCAGUACUCUUGCGGACUCACGGAUUAUUUCAACAAAGACGCUUUUUCUAGCAUAUUCAUCAGCCACUGUAAAAGAGGUCCCUAGCUCAAGUCAGUAGAUUCUAAGAAUGUGACAAAUUUUGCGAACACAUUUCAUGAUAUUCAACAAAGUUGUAGGUUUAUAAUUACGCUUUUGAGGCUCACUGGUGAUGUAUAUAUAGAUUAUUUACGUUUUUAUUUAUUGACUGCGAGGACUGAUUAUGGUCAAAUAUUUUACAAUGUCCUCAACAUUGACGCUAAGAUCAAUUAUCUAUUACGACGCCAUGCAAUUAAUGACUUUUGACCUAAUGCAAUCAGUGAAUCGUCAGCAUGUAUCGAACCUUACGCUCUCUGAGAGAUUAUAUGCCUAACAAUGCUUAUUUUUGUGAUCCACUAUUCUUGAUUGCCAUUAAGCCGUCAGUAUGCAUUAUAUCAAAUAUGACCUGGUUUCCAUUUAGUAUCCCGUUCAUUGUUGUGAUGAGGAGCUAGUAAUCGAAUUUCAACCACACCACUUAAGCCGAGUAAUCUUAAAACUGCCACAAAUAUUCCUAGUCUACGAUGGAUCCAAGAUAUUAUAGAUUGGAACUUAUGGCCAUAUUUGAAUACAUCAUCUAAGCCUUAGAAUGCUUAACUUAAUUAGGUCAGAUCAUUUCGUUUUCAAUAAUUUACUCUUUAUAAUUAGCUAAUGAAACUAUUCACAUUAUAAAUUUGUAUAUUAAACACUGUCCAUCACAAAAUAGAGGGCUGAAUAAUUUGCGGUGUCAGGGUACGUAACCAAAUUCUUUAUUCCACAAUUCUCUUGAUGUUUUGAAGAAUAAAUGAAAGAUUAAAACACAGAAAAUUAUACUUGAUUUAAUGACAAAAAAGUUAGAACGGUUGCACAAUAGAGGAAACAGUAGGCAUCAAAGUUGCAUCAAAAUCCUUAGCUCUUGAAUCUUUUAUUUCUGCGAACAAUUGAUCAUAAACGAAUUUUUACUUGUUUUCACCUAUAAUCGCAUUAAUUACUUGACAUUUUGACAGAAAGGACAUGCAUGCAUGAAUGUACUAUUCAUUCAUUCGGUAUUACUAUGUUUGCAAAGUUACCAUUAAUCAAGAGUAAACAUGUUUAUGUAUGGCAAAUGAAUUUAAACGAAAAAUAUGCUAGCUUAUGCGCAGCGAUGAUAACAUGCACUUAAUUGAAUACCCACUGUCCCGCAACAGAAAAAUAAUCUCAUAAUUAAGUUGUUCUGAGGAAAAAUAAACAUGCUAUAUACGUAAGGGUCGGGAGGAAGAAAGAAAGAUGGCAACAGGAAUAGCAAUGAUGAAGAGUGAGUUGAGAGAUUAAAGCAAUGAAGCGCAUGCGUUAUUUCAAAGACUCGAGUGCAACUAUAUAUGGAAAUUUAGUUAUACAUUAUCAAUUCGAAGGGCCUAUAUAUUUUUUUGUCUUCGUCUUUUGCGAUAUUAGCUAAGCUACAUAGCAUGCCAUAUGAAUUAUCAUAAUAUAUAUUUUUGUCACUUUAUGGUGACAGGAUUGAAGAUUCCUGGGGUUGAUAAAAUAGAUUAAAUGCGUUUCUGGAUCAGACGGGGCAAUUAACAACAUUAUCUCUGCUUACAUUAAUUCCUCAUUGGUGUGAAUUGCAAUAUGACGUCACCGUUGCUUGUAUAAAUAUUGAAAUGCUUUCCAUAUGGCUUUUUUAUUUAUUUUUCAAUCAGGCAUAAGCAACGGUUCAACGAGUCAGAAUUAAAAAUAAACGAUGCUUUCAAUUUGAGAUGACUUUUCACACUGCUCUCAUGCAAUUAGUAAUGUCUCUACUUCAAUUUCUCGCUUGGUUAGUAUUUCUUCUUACUUGAAUAUUUUAUUGUGGCAUAAGUUCGAUUUUAUUUUGUAUGUUUGCUCUGUGUUCCAUUGAUGGUAAAUUUUUGGUCACACGAAGCUUGAUCUCUUUAAAAGCAAUGACAAGUGAGAUCAAAUACAUCUUCUUACAAUAACAAAGAAUCAUCAAACACAAGGACGAUGAUCACUAGUUUCACACAUACAUCAAAUUUCACCCGCAGCAAUCUACAAGACCAUUUUCCCAUCAUGGUGACGAAUCCAUAUUAGAAAGCGGUAAAUAUCAACAAGAUCUUCAAGAUCGAAUAAACGCAAUAAACAGGAUUUUGACGAAAUUAGUGAAUCGGCCUUAAAUAUAAAGGACACUGGCCUCCACACCUUGAUUUUUUUUAAUUUCAGUUUAUUACUAGGAGUUGAUAUUUCUUUUAGUAUGAUGUACGAGAUAUAAAAGAGGCAGGAUGCUAACCUAGGAUAGGAAUUAUGAAAUGAUACCUUGAUAUUGAUUAUUGUUUUCGAAUUAAUUCUCCUCGUCCUUCUCUAUUCUCCUUUGUAUCUAAUCUUAUUCUUCUCUUCCAAAUUUACUCUUAAGUUCUUCCAAUUCUUAGCUUACUCUUUAUCCUUACCUGGUACUGCAAUAUGGGUCGGAUCAACGGCUCAUCCUCGAGCCUCCUCUCUCAGCGAGAUCUAUCAUCGAUGGGGUUACGCGAGUCAGGUCGUACACAAUUUUUGUCACAUGACACUCUGAACAAAUUGACCCUCAGCGAAAAAUUUUUAGAUUCAGGAAGGAGUUGAAAGACAAGCACUGAAUCUUGUAGCAGAUCAAAGCAUGAAGACAAGCGAAACUCACGGGCGGGCGGCGGAGGGAUGGGCUCCAGAUGCAAGUCGGAUGUUGCCCGCCUCCUGCAUCAUCCUACAAAUAAUAAUCAAUAUUAUAUGUAUAUUAAAUGAGGAGCCUGGGAUGAACGAAAGUAUUAAGUUAAAAAUGGCAGAGCCUUUACUAUUUUACAGUCGAAACAUUAUUUUCACCUAAUUUUUGAACCUAGAUCAUGGCCUAAUAUUACAGUAAUAAUUAGUCGACGCAAUAUUCUUCACUUCUACAGAAUAUUAUGUUGUUGUUGGCAAUUUCUGUUGCGGGUGCCUCCAUGAUAAAUUCGAGCACUUCGCCUACGCAGCUCACGACUUGCUAACCUUAUCCUCUCAGCUGCAUGGUCUUCAAUNNNNNNNNNNNNNNNNNNNNNNNNNGACCCCCCCCCCCCCCCACCCUUCACAGCCGUUCUCCAUCUUUGACCUGUGUAUAUAUUCGCUGAAAGAAAACAAGGUUAAGUGAGAAUCCAAAUGGACAGAGAUCGAAAACAAAAUGAUAAAAUUUUUCAAUAUGUUUGAUUCGGAAUAACAAUUGGAAGAAUCAGUAUGCUUGAUUCAUGCUUUCAAUACUUAAAAUAUUUUGAUUAUGAAAAAUAAUUAAAAUAAAAAUAAAAUUAAAAUACAAAAUAUAAAAGUAAAUUAAAAUUGAGUUUGCACCUAAAAAUAUAUAAUUUUUUAUAAUUUAAACUCAAAGUAAAAGUUAAAUAUUAAAAAUUUACAUCAAAAUAUUGAAAUGAUAAGCCAAGAUUUUAAAUAUUAUUUUUAUAAAAGUUAAAAUUUAAAAUUGAAUGGAUAAUUCAAAAUAUAAAACUAAUUUUUGAUUUGAUUAAAAUUCAAACUUACAAUUAGAUAUAAAUAUAAAUUUACAGAUCAAAUUUAAAAUACUUGAUUGAAUUUAUAUUUUAAUUUAAUUUCUAAUCCAAAAUCUAGAAUUAAAAAUUUAAUUUCUAAAUUUAAAUUUUAAUUUUAAUUAAAAAUUAAAGACAAAAAAUUAAAAUUAAUCUUAAAUAAAAAAUAUAGAAUAUUAUCGAGAUGUUUUUAUUAUAAAGUGGAUUCUUUUCGUGUUGGUUCAACUUUCAAUCCGACCUAAGAGGCCGGAUUGAAAAACAGGUGACCAGGGUAUUCACAUUCAUCCAAAAAUCGGAAUCGGAGUGGAGCUCCCAUAUGUCAAACACCUAUGAAUAGAUUCGUCCAUUCCGAUUCUAAUUUUUGAAUGAAAAAGAUGCAAAUCAAACAUCCUUCUAAAGGCCUUUAAAUAAGAAAUGGCAGAUAUUAUAACCAAUUUUUGGAUUGUAAGCUUAGCAUUUCUCUUAACAAUAAGAGCAUCCCACACUUCUUAAUUAGUAGUCUUAUAGUUAACUCUAUAGGAUUUUUGUGCUUCACCCCUCUCUCUCUCUCUCUCUCUCUCUCUCUCUCUCUCUCUCUCUCUCUCUCUCUCUCUCCCCUAGGAAUUUUAUUUUGUCGACUCAUCACCAAGUUCGGUCCAAUUAUUCCAUUAAUCAUGCGAGAAACUCUAGUACAUGAUAAGGAUAUAUAAAUGUUUAUAUUGAAGUAAUAAAUGUGACUCAAAUUCGGUAAUGAAUUAAUUUAGAAGAAAAUUAAUUUUCAAACUCAUAAAGCCAAUAGAAAAACAUCACAUAUAUGACCCACACGUAAGAAUGAGAUGAGGUGAGAGAGACUAUCGCCGUGGGUUCCAACUGUUAAGAAUAUGCCUUUUUUUUUGAACUUGGAUUGAAUCAAAAUAAUUAACCCAUUAAGUUGGUUCAUAAAAGAUGGCGUAGACUAGCUAGGUCCGCAGAUUACAUCAAAUUGAUUUUAAGUUUAUUCUAUUGGUGCAAGAUUUUAUGUUUAUCUACACGAGUACUAGUCUAAUUAGCAUGUUGAGGCGUGUUGCAUGUGUGGGAAAAUUAAUUAGCCUUGGGCUAAUUAAUUCACAGCCUUUCGGAGGACGUACGCAGCAAGGAGGAAAGACCUUAAUUAAUUAAGAUGGUCCAUCCGUACGGUAGAAGACCGCACCUUUGCAUGCGACAUCGGAUGGAGUCGGCACCUUUGAAUGCGACAUCGGAUGGAGUCGGCAGCAGGAGCGGAGGUUCUCGACCAAUUGUCUGAGCGGUUUGGAUUUUUCGAAUCAACGACAAAAGGAAUUUGUUCAGAUUUUCUAUACUAUCUCAUUUUUACGAAAAAGAAAAAUCGGUAUUUUUUUGGAGUUCUUGUUGGAACAAAAAAGGUAGAAUUUAUUAUAAGGUUCUUGAUUUCUAUCCGGAGAAGGCAUAAGGUGUAAGCUUGUAUUUCUAUUUUUUCAUACAGUGAAAUAUAUCUCUUUCGCUUUUUUCGUGAACGUAGGCAAUUGCUGAACCAGAUAAAUUUUGGUUUCUUCUUUCUGUAUUUAUUUUUUUUUAUCGUUUGUUUGGUAUUUUUUUUAUUUUUUGUAUAUCUUUGUUGGUAGCGCAUGACGGAUGAUCCAUCCGGCCGCGGUUCACACCAACGUGGCUGUGAUUUGUUUUACUUCCCUCUUUUUUCCUUCAUAAAAAUAACAAGGAAAUCAUUAUGGACCUUCUCCAUCAAUCACCACUUCUUUUUUUUUUUUCCUUUUUCUUUUUUUUUUGAGAAAAUCUCUAUCAAGGUUUUGAAAAUCCAAAUUAAAAUGUCAUAGCUAGCUUAAAGUUUCGAGCACAGUCCCAUUACUAGAUAGCUAGGUUGAAGAAGCCAAAACAUAAUUUUGAACGCGUCCAUGGACCGCGCAAUAGAAUGGACGUGAGACACGCACAACGUAUGUGAGUAUAAGUCCAAUUAAGCGUCGUUGAAAAGUCAAGUACGUAAUGAAACAAAAAGAAAUUAGCCUCUGGUAGUGCCAAUGAGAGGGCAUCGUAUAUCUUCUAUCUGCUUUGAAUUCCGUGAUGUAAACAACAUAUAUAAAUAUAUAUAUAUAUAUAGAGAGAGAGAGAGAGAGAGAGAGAGAGAGAGAGAAGAGAGAAUCUAAGCUACACAAAUUAAAAGAUUUUAAUUUUUCAAAAGUUUUAACUUCAAGUAUUUAAAGUUAUUUGCAAAAAUAAAAAAAUAAAAUCUCGAAUUUUCAACACUUGCUUCUAUAGAUUAUUUUGUCCCUUUUCUUUUUUCUUUUUUUUUAACCUAAAGAAAUAAACCAUAUAUAUAUAUAUGUAUAUGCUCUGAUAAAGAUAAGUAUGAGCAAAAGUUGGCUCAAUUUAUUAGGCUUCGAGAAAGUUAGGUUGCAUGCUAAGAAGUGGGUGGGUUCGUUCUCUAUGACCCAUCUUUAUCUUUGUUUUCUUCACAAGGCAAUAUAAUUCAAUGCAAAAUAAUUCAAAAUGGUCAUGUAUGAGUAUGAAUAUCAGGUUUUAUCUAAUCUUAUACGCCAUAUAAAAGGAUUUGGGCGGUUUAUAAUUUGCUCUGAGCUAUGACUUUGUGCUUAAUUGUAACGACAUCUUACGUACCGUUUUUGAUUGAAUAAAUUAAGUUCUUCUUCGAUCAUUAAAAGAAAAAAAAAAAAAAGAAAAAAAAAGAAAAAGAAGAUCCAGCUGGGGCCUUGGGCACACCAUGCACGGAACUAAGUACGAGGACGUGUAGGACAAUAAAAUCAAGCAGGUAGAUGCUGCAGGGGUUGUUGGAUCUCUCUCGCUUUCGCUACUAAUUAAGUUACAUCAUGGGAGGGGCCCAUUCUUUAAUUUGUCAAACUCCACCACUCGUAUUCCACGUUGAAAUAGACCUCUCUCUUAGUCAAAACUCCAUCACUUCCACUUGCAUUAAUUCAAUGUUGAAAUAGAGAGAAGUAAGUUAACUAUUCAAGAAUAUUUUAGAGAAUGUUUGCGUUUGGUUAUAAGUAAGAAAUUUUAUUUUUUGCUUCUUUAGAAUUUUUUUUUUUUUUUUUUUAUUUGCAGAGAUAGCACGCUACCCGGCCUUCGUUUCUUUAGAAACUUGCUGUCCAUAAUUGUUAGAUGACGGCAUAUUAAUUUGCAUUCGAUGAUAAUUUAUCUUGUAGAAAAAUGACUUGAAUUCGACUAUCAUAUAUCUUUUUUCUCCUAAAUAUUGAUCAUAAUCGCUUAUCAAUUAAAUUAAUGUUCAAACGCUACAAAUUUUGUUGAGUAAAUCAGAAGAUAAACUGGCACACGAUUUUCACGCAGAGCGUUAGUUUCAGUUGAAUUUCGGAACAACUUAUCGGUGCAAAGUUUCUUGUGUGCUAAAUUUAUUUUACUCCCUAUAGAAUUUUCAUCCAUAAUUUAAUCAGAUAACAUAUUUCACUUGCAAAAUGAUUUAUCUUAUUUUUACUCCUGAUAGAAAUUUCCAUCCAUAAUUUUGAUAGAAAACAAUUCGCAUGAAAAAAAUUAAUUUAUUCCGAAAAUUGAUUAAAAGUUGAAUAUGUUGUCUUUAUUUCUAUGUUUAAUCACAUUCUUAUCUACAAAAUGUACAAUUUUGAGUAAAUAAAAUUACAUCCAAAUAAGUAUAUUUUAUAAUUCCAAACUGACCUUAAUCAAAUCACUAAUAAUUGCAAGUGCGUAUAUAUACAUUAUUUUAUAUUAAUGUAUCACUCAGAAGAAGAAUCUAAUCCUAAUAACCGCAUGGUUAUUAAGACAAAGACUCAAACUUUGUGAUAAAGAUACCACAUGGCGCGCACAAUACCUCUAAGAUAAAAAUAAAGAACAAACUCUUUUAACUUAUAAUCAUGCGAACCUAAUAAUUUUGAUCCUAUCAAUAACUUUUUAGAAGACCAUUAAUUGACCGUUACUAACCAAGCGGCAAAGUGCUGAAUCGAUUCGUAUAUCCAAGAUGUUGCAAAAUACAAAUCUAAUUUACUCAAUAUUUAACUUAAAAUUUAUUUUUUUAUGCCAAAAUAAAAUAACAAUAGUACGUAUAUUCAUUUCUACGAAGGCCAUGCACCCGCGGGGAAAUCCAGAUUCGCGCUUCGAAUCUCUGAUCCCAAUGACGGUGUCAAUUAGAAUUUUGGUUUACUUAACUCUACGCGGAGGUGUGGGUUCAUGAGUCGACGAUCGCAGAUUUAAGCUGUGGACAAGACCAACAGAAAAUUUUUAAAAAUGAAAAAUAAUAAUAAGAAAAUAGAUACAAAGAUAUUAGAGUACUAGUGUGAAACCGCGCGAUGCAGCGCGGUAGAUAAUAAAAUUUCAACAUUUAAAAUUUAAAAACUAAAAUUAUAUUUUAGAAUUUAAAUACUAAUUUUUCUAAAUUAUAAAAUUUGGAAUGAAAGUUAUAUGGCUCCAAAACAUCACUAUUCUUCAAUAAAUUGUGUCUAGAAACUUUAAAAUUUUACCAAAUUCUAAAAUUCAUACUAUAAAUUUCAUGCUAUAAAGUUCAAAAUAAAAUAAGUCUCUUACACAUAUCUAUUAAAUAUCUUUCAAAUAUUAUAAAAAUUAGAUCUUAUGAUAGUUUUGCUGGAAAAAUCUUCACUUCUCUUCUUCAUCCGAAUCAGAAGACUGGAUUAAAAUGCAAAUAAGAGUACACAUUCAAGUUAUUUAAGGUAAUAUUUUAAAACUUCUUAUGAACAUAAUUUUGAAAAGUAUAUAUAGAAAACAAUGUUAGUAAUUAAAUUUUUCCUGAUGAAACAAUUAAAAUUACUAUCUACUAUGCUUAAAAAAAAAAAAAAUUCUAUAUUACCUGAGCAUUCUUUUUUUUUCCUCUUGAUUUCCUCGCAGUUUUCUCCAACUUGUUAUUUGAGCUUCUCAUUUGAUAAUUUCAAAAUUGUACAUACAAAAUAAUUAAAAUAAAUAAACAAAUUAAACUUGACGAAGAUGGAUUAAUUAGAAGUCUUGUGGAGGAAAAGUGAAGGAUCAUAAUAAAUUAAUUAGAAAUAAAAUGGUGAGAAUUAUAAAUGACAGGGGGAAUAUUUAAAUACAUUAAUUGGAAGUUUAGUAGUGGGCCAUUUUAGAUGUAUUAAUUAGAUACGUUAAUUAAAAAUUUAAUAGAGAAUUUAAAUACAUUAAUUGGAAGUUUAGUAGUAGACCAUUUUAGAUGUAUUAAAUAGAUACGUUAAUUAAAAAUUUGAUGAAGAAAAGGCGAAGAAUCACAUGGUAGUGAAGGUGAAAAAAAACUUAACAUGGAACCAUUUAAAUACAUUAAUUGAAAGUGUAGUAGUAGGCUAUUUUAGAUGUAUUAAUUAGAUACGUUAAUUAAAAAUUUGAUGGAGAGAAAGAGAAAGAAUCAUAUGGUGGUGAAGGUGAAAGAAAACUUGCCACGUGGCAAAACGUAUUGUGGAUUCAUAUAAUUUAAUAGAUUAAUAGAUGUCUCCCUCACAGUCACGCGUAUACAAAUAUAGAGCAUUAAAUCUUUUUAUUUAUUUAUUAAGUGGUAUCUUAAUUAAAUUUUUAUUAUUUUAACAGUCGAUCGAAUGAAGUUGUUAGUUUAACAAUUAAAUAUAAUAUUAAUAAAUUGAUAUUUUGUUAGACGUGUUGAUGCAAUUGAUCAAUAAUUAAUUACUAGCAUGUUUUCGUUGGGCCGUAUUUAUUCGACCUUAAGUAUUUAAAAAGAAAAACCCUUUGGGCUCUAUAUAUAUACCACGCAAUUUUGUACUAUAGCUAACUACAAUUGGCCCGUAGGACCUAGUUCCAAAUAGGCUCGAUUAUACACGACCCUAACUUGAAUUUAAGCACAACCAUUUGUUACUAACUUGAAAUGAGCUGUACUGGCUCGCCAAAAGCCAAAAGGGGACGUACAUCCUACACCUCGCCUACUGGAUGAAUAGAGUGUAACUUGUACACCUCUGAUGGAGUGUACAAAUAGCAUUUUUCUUCUUCAGUAACUAACGUCCUUGACGCGUUUAGCUUCUUUUGGUAUCCUAUUCAUGGAAGUUCCUCCAACCUAAUCUCCGGAUUUUGCUUUUUAAGUCCAAGUGAUCCCAAUUAGAUACUACAAAUUUCAUCAAACAUCUCAACGCUUUACUCUCUUAGAUAUCUCUCUCAUGUGUUGCCUCAAAACUUUUAGGGUGCGUUUGGUUCGCAUUAUGAAAAAUUACUAGGAAUAAAAGAUAUUCUAGAAUCUUAUUUCUAUUCAUUCUAUUACUAAGAAUGUGGAAUUUUUAUGUUUGGUUCGCACAGUAAUAUUAAUUAGCCAUAUUAUUUAAUAUUACAAAAAUUAUAUAAUUAAUUAAUUAAUUUAUUUAAUUAAUUUUAGAUAAUGUUACCAAAAGUUUGAAUAUCUUUUUAGAAAAAAGGGAGAAAGAGUAUAAGUUAGAGAGAGAGCAUAAUUAAAAAAAUAGAAAGAAAAAUAUAGUCGAAAUUAGAGAGAGUGAGAGAGUUGAAAUUUUAGAAAGGAGAGGGAUGAGAGAAAGCUUAGUUUAGAGAGAGAAAAAGUUGAAUUUUAGAGAAGAAAAAUAAGUUUAGAGAGAGAUUAAGUUAGAGUGUAACGAAAAAUAAUAUCAAUUAGCGGCGGGUAAGAGAAAGAAAAGAUUAGACAUAUUAUGAUUAUCUCAAUCCAUUAAUAUGAGGAUACCCACCACUUCCCUCAAAGGAAUGAGUUAGUAUCUUUGGGGUGAUCUUAUUCCCAAUGUGAUCCAAUAUUACCAACUAGGAUUUACUUAGUGCGUUUAGCCAAUACCGUCAUAUUUUUUUAUUCCAUUGGAUUACUAGAAACUUUUAUAAAAAAUAGCACGAACAAACUCACCUAUAUGGUAAUCUUUUUCCCGAAGACUGCUGAAAUAAGCUUUCUUAAUUAAUGUGACUCAAAUUAAGAUGCAUCCAAUUCUCAAAGUCAGGACAUAAAACGAGAAGCCGCAGCAACCAAACAAAACCCCUUCCUUAAUUUAUUUGCCACUGCUUCUCAUUGUUCUCUUCUUCCUUGUAUUUUUCUAUGGUUACAAUCCUAGGGACCACACUCCCUUAAUACCUCUCCUUUUUAUUUUAGCACUAAAACAAACAAAGAUCUAUAAUAAUCAUAUAUUAAAGAGGAUAUAUAUUUUAUAUAUGACUCAAAAAAAAAAAAAAAAAAAUUGUGUGAGAGUGGGAUUUGAACCAGCCCUUUCGGACCAGACCUUAAUCUGGCGCCUUAGACCAACUCGGCAUCUCAACUUUCCUGUAUAUUGUUUUCUUCGUACAUUCAUGAUAAUCUAUUUUUUCACGCAGUGAAAUUCUUGAACGGAAAGUAAAUCAAUAGAAAUUCCCACGGAUUAGAAUGAAAUUGAUGGAGGAUACAUCCAAAAAUGUUGAGGGUUACAUGGCAAUUUUACAAUGGGGUACGCAUACAACAGCCUCAUGGCAAAAUCCCCAGUUCCUUUGAUACAUGUGUGUACAAAGAUUAGUUCCUACGCACUAGCAUGUUUAGAAGUGCACAGUCUAUUUCACGCGGCUAAUCAGCUCACUCUCCGAGACCUCCCUCGGGCAGUUCGAAUGAAUCGAUCUCUGCGAAAUACGCUCUUGUUCUCCACAAAUCUGGUGGUAAAAUCGGCUUCCUCGAUAGCUUCGUAUGUAUUCUCACGCUGCUUCUGCAUAAAUAUCAGGCAAAAUAAGAAUUGCCAAUGCAUUAAAACAUAGUACAUUACCAAAGUGAUGUGACAUAAAAAUUCAUAGAACAUAUCAGAAGAAACAAAUGUAUACUAAAUUAUCUCUUUUGGAUACUAAGGUGCCUCAAUUUCCUUCUCACCAUACUGAAGAGCUAAUGUAAUUAAAUGGUCUACUCUUGUGAAAUGUUGAUUUAUUAAUCUUGGUUUGUCGCUCAUAAAGAGAGGAGGAAAUAAGUUGAGCGGCUCCCACUGUUAAUAGCCUACAUCCCUCGUAGGCUCAAAGAUCAAACUGCUCGCAACUAUGUGAACAAGAAUUCUAAACGUCAAUAUGAGAACCGACAUGAAAUAAUCAUAGCAAUAGCGAUGACCAAGUAGUGAUGCGUUUGAUUGAAAUUUCUUUUUUUACAGUUAGCAGUAGAAUCUAGAUAUUUGUAUGGUGAACUACAUAGAUAUUAACAUUUGCUGUUCAAAGCAUAUGAGAUUCAUCUGGACAACUGGACCUAUAUCAACUAAUCUGACAUUUACCUUCUACAAAUCACUGAUCAACAUUUUUAUGCUCCCUAUCUUUAUUGCAAAAUAAAAAAAAAUUCUAAAAAAGACUAACGGAGGUUUUAAUCAGAAUAUCUUAAUGUUGCAGAUAUUUAAUGAAGCUUAUAUAAGCCAUGUAAUCAUAACCAAAAGGCCUACACUAUCGCUAUAGUUUCUAGAAGAUAACAAUGUUUUUGACUGUUUAUCACUCACAAAGCUUUCUUACACACAAGUUUUAUCUGAUAGUAUUUUCAAUUCAAGAAAGCAGCCUAAAGCAUUAAAUUUGCUUUUUUCUUUUUGAGAGAGAGAGAAAGGUAGCAACUAUAUAUAUAUAUAUAUAUAUAUAUAUAUUAGAGGAAGAUGAAUAGUAGGACAGCAUGCUUCAAUAGUGCAAUGUAGCCAAGCAACAAUCCAUAACAUCUCCAAUUUUAAUUCUCCCUUUUACUCUAUGGACGGAGAUUAAUUGAAGGUGAGACAUAAUAAAUAUUGAUGUACCGAUUGGUCUCCAAGAAGCAGCGCAAAUAUGUUCAAAUGCCCGCAUGCUGCUAAUUGUUUCUUGAUAUCUAAUGAAAGCAUCCCUUUAUUUUUAAUUCGACUUUGUUGAACUUUCUAUAUAUUCCGGAUUAAAUAAAAUAAAAACCAUAGUGUAGCUAGCUAGAAACGCAAUGUUUAUACACAGGUGUACGUCAGGGAAAUAAUUUAAGCAGAAAUUAAUUGUUAUUAUUAAGUGUCGUGCUGGUCCAAACCAUUUCUCUCUUUCUAUUUCAAUUAACCCCAAGUUUUUCUACAGGAAUCUUUCAAUCUGCACAUAGAUUAGAAAAUAUCUAUUAUGUAUAGUUACUAAUUGUCACUGUAACUAUCGCUUAGCAUAGUAUAAUCCAAGACAAGGAAGAAUGAAUUAAUAUAUAGGCCCCGCGAUUGAUGUAUAGAUCUAUUUGUCACUCAGCUAAUAGCAAUAAAUCCAAAGACAAGGACGAAGAGUAUAUAUAUAUAUAUUAUUAUAUCUUAUAUAUAUAGAGUGAUCUAGGAUACUUUUAUAAGUAUAUUCCCCAUGUUGUAUAUUACGUUUUUAGCAUUGGAUUCUAUUUUGAUUACAAAUAACUUGGAUCAACACUAUUCCCUACCACACCUACUCCCAUAUCUCAACCUCACAUCUCUCCAUCCAAGGGCUAAAAACACAAAGUAUCACUUGGGUGAUACUUGUAAAAGUAUUCUAGCCUACUACAUUAUUAUAUAUAUAUAUAUAUUAUAUAAUAUAAUAUAUAUAUAUAUAUAUUAUAUAUUAUAUAUAUAAUAAUCUGGACUAUAUACUAUUAUGAGUAUUGGAGCCUCGUACUCAUAAGUUGUUUUCGAUGAUGGAGCUUCCGAAUCGACGAUCCACUUGUUAAAUAUGAUCUAAAAUAUUUUGAAAUUUUUAGAAAUAAUUUCGUAACUUUUCGAACUAUAAUAAAGUCCAUCAAGCGGGCAUAAAAUGAACGGUCAAAAUCAAACGACGUCCUAAAAGGAUGAUCGAUCCUUCAAUUCAAGAUCGGAGUUAUUGAUCUUUAUCUAGGUAUUGAAUAGAAUUUUUUUAUCAAAAAUUCAAUAAAUUCCGAUUCUUUUACACCAUUAAACUAGCAAGUAUUCCAUACCGACCAUUAAAAAUUGUCCAAAUUUUGUGACCUUUGAUAGUGAGGUAAAUGAUGUCGAAAAUUAUAAAAUUUGAUUUUUAGGAGUUUUAAAUACUGUAAAUAACGUUUUAACGGUGUGGAUCGUCGAUUCGGAAGCUCUAAUCAUCGAAAACAACAUUAUGAGUACGAAAACGAUCGUACUCAUAAUAGGUAUAAUAGCCAGACCCUACAUAUAUAUAUAUAUAUAUAUAUAUAUAUAUAUAUAUAUUUAUUAUAUAUAUAUAAUUAUAUUAUAUAUAGGCCCCGCGGUUUCUCUAUAUAUGUCGAUGGUACCAAAAAUUGAUUCAUGCGCCUCAUUGCUCUAUCUCAACGUUCCUUCACAUUGUUAUUUAGGUAUGCUUAUUCUUUCAUCCUUUCUCCGCCUUUGGUAUGUAUAAAAAUUUAUUUUUUUGUCCAAGGAAAUUAUUUUUCUCUUUGGGCAUAGGUAUUCGAUUAAACGCAUUUAGUUGGCAUGAAUCUAGCAUAUUAUUGUUUAAUUUAUUUACCGUACAUAAAUAUGCUUUACUCUUUGAGUUUAAUGGGGAGACUUUUGCAUACAUACAUACAUAUAUAUAUAUAUUAUAUAUAUAUAUUAUAUAUAUAUUAUAUAAUAUAUAAUACUUAUUAUAUAUAUAAUAUUAAUUAUUAUAUACUAUACAACAUGCCGAUGAAUGAAUAGUACAUGCAGUUCCUUUUCUCAAAAUAUCAAUAUUCAAGCGGUAAAAGGGGGGGGGGGGGGGAAAUUCUUGAGUUAUGAGCAAUUGCUCGUAGAAAGUAAAAGGUUCAGAGAUUAAAGAUUUGAUUCACUUUGAUUAUAUAUAUACCUUCAUGUACCCUGGUAAUCGCUACUGUUUCCUCUAUGGCUUAUCUUUAGGGAUGCCAACAGGACAGAUUUAGGGGCUGGCGCUCCGCCUCCUGCCCGAUUAUCAAAAUUUCGCUCCGCCUUUCGCUCUGCAUUUGUGACAGGUUAAAAAAAUAUAUUUUAAUUAUAAACCAUCUUCUGCCGGCGCCCCGAAUCCGUCCAAGCUAACUAUUAAUUUUUUUUUACAAAAUAUAAUAUUAUUAAUAUUUUUUAAUAAUAAUGAAUAAUAUUGUUAAAUUAUAUAUGUAAUUAACAACAUCAAUUAUAAAAAUAAAAAGUAUUAAUUAUAAUUUAAAAUAAAAAUUCAAAUAUUUCAAAUACAUGAAAAAUAAGUGUGUAAACUUAUUUGUAUUUUAGACUUUUUUUUUUCUGAAUACAUUAUUUCUUGGGAGUAUUUCCUUAAAAUAUACACGGUUUUGGGGGCUAAUUCGGGGUGGCGGGGCGGAUUCUGAGAGGAUUAAAUUUUUUUAUUUUCUAUCCCGAAUCUGUUGCGGAUCACCAAAAUCAUUCCAAUUUUCUAUCCGGAAUCUAUUUAUUUUUUUUUUAUUUCCUUGCCCCAUUCGGAGGAUCGGGGUAGGAGCUGCACCGCAACCGGAAUCCCUUUGCAUCCCUAGUCACCUUUUUAAGCCUUUUGUCAUUAAAUCAAGUAUCUUUACUUUCUGUUUUAUUGCUUUCAUUUUUCUUCAAAACAUUAGAGAGUAGGGGAUCGUAACUCUCCGAAAAAAUAGCAUCGGAUGUGAUGGUUUGGUGACUUAGGUUGCAUGCUUAAGUGGCGUGGUUGAAUUGAGUUACUAGCUCGUGUGAACAAGAUAGGCUAAUGGAAAGAAGCCAAUUUAUAUAAUGGGAUACAAGUAUGACGGCUCAACGCUACCAAAAAAAUAGUUGGGUCAUUGUGUCGUGCGUGUAAACUCAGAUGAUUUCCGAGGGGGGCAGCUUAAGAUACAUCGGCUCGGAUGAGUGAAUUCGCAUUAGGUCGGAAGUCAUUGAAUGGCAUGUCUUAGUGAGUGACCAAAAAGGUCUACAGAUCUUGAUUGUGACUCGGCCGAACUAGCCUCACGCCACUUCUUCGAAUAUGACAAAGUUCAUCCCCUUCAGUGUCUUUGGCGCUAAUCAUUAAUUCCAAAAAUUCGAACUAUUAGAAAUACAUAGUUAACACCACAUCUACGGAUAUUAAUUAUGAUUCAGUCCAAUCAACUUCAUGCCAUUUCGAGCAUGAUUUGAUUUAACCUGACAUCCUGCCGUAAGAAAGAAUGCUGGCUUAUUAAAGCCAACAAUUUAUGCAUAAAAAUAUUGCCGCAUAAUAAUUAAUAAUAUAAAAUAAAUAAAAAAAAUAAACGAACUAACGUGCUCAGAGCUAACAGACCUAAACUUUUUGGUGAAUGCGUUGUGGCAUCCUAGUAAUUAAAUUUUGUCACAUUUUUAGGUCUAUGUGGACUUGAGUUAGCCUUGGUCAGCCAGCCAUCGUGGACUAACAGUACAGGGUCCCACAUUGAUGGAAAUGUUUUUUGAGAAAAAGGUAGCACGCUACCCGCUUCACACAUUGAUGGAAAUGUUGAAGAUAAUUAUUGAACAAAGACACUGACAAAUAGCAGUUGGAUGGUGGCCACGCUGGUCAAUUAUCAAUUUACAGAUCUAGUGAAAUUAGUGCAUUAUCAUAAAAAUUUAUCAUCAUAUUGACCUGCCACUAAAACUAAAAUCAAAUUGUUGCAGUCGCAAAAGAAAAUCUCUACACAAGGCAAAUCAUGGACGGUGAGAUUACUUUGUCAGAAAAAUGUUAUUAAUUCUUACAAACAACUUGUACAAUAAUUUAUAAAAUUUAAAUUUAGUUGUUAGACUUCAUUCUUUGCCUUGUAAAUUACAACAAUGACCUCAUAAAUGGUACCUUUUUGCCAAUUAAAUAUUGCUACGUAACCAAAUGUGUAAAACGUUGUAAAAUUUAUUUGUAAAUAUAAAAUUAUCCAAAUUCUUGAGAGGUGCAUAUGAGGGGUAGGGGUGGAAACGAGCCGAACUCGAGCGAGCUUAUGUCAGCUCAAAUUCGGCUUGAAAUUAAUUUCGAGCCUAAAUUUAGACUCAAGCUCGGCUUGAAAUUAAUUCGAGCCGAGCUCGAGCGAGCCUAAUUUCGAGUCGAACUGAGCUCGAGCUCUAAACGAGCCGAUUGAAAUUCUCGACAUUAUAUAAUCAAUAGUUUAAUUUUUAUAGAACAUUACCUACAAUUUGAUGCAACAUGUCCAAUAGUUCAAAAUACAAAAUAAUUAUAAGAAAUGUGAGCUAGGGUGACUUCUUGACUCGAUGAGGGUCUGAGAGAGAGAGAGAGAGAGAGAGAGAGAGAGAGAGGAAAAAAAGUAGGGAUUUGAAAAUUUGAAUGUUAUCAUGUUUUAGGGUUAUGUGCAACAGUGAAAGUCUGAAAGAGAGAGUGUGUUAUGUAAAUUUAGAGUUGGGCUCAAUUGCACGUUUGUACUUGUUAGGUUUAUUUUAUGGGCCAACAAUAAUGGCCCAAAUUAAAUUAAAGCCUAUAUAUAAUUAAAAUACAUUAUAUGUAUAAAUAUUAUAUAUAUAUAUAGAGUCCGGCUACUAUACUUUUAUGAGUAUUGGCUACUAUACUUUUAUGAGUACUAGGGGACCACUAUCAUUCUAAGUGGGGACCACCAUCAUCCUAACCACACAUCCCAUCAAUCAACGGUUAAAAAUUUAUGAGUACAAGGGGGUCUAUACUCAUAAGAGUAUAGUAGCCCCGGCCUAUAUAUAUAUAUAUAUUCGAGCUUUUCGAGCUUUUCGAGCCUAAUUCGAACGAGCCGAGUAAUACUCAAGCUCGGCUUGAAAUGAAUUUCGAGCCUUUUAUUUUGUUCAAGCUCGGCUUAUUUAAUUUCGAGUCGAGCUCGAGCGAGCCGAAUAUCGAGCCGAACACGAGUCGAACGCGAGCCGGCUCGCUCGUUUGCCAGCCCUAAUGAGGGGCGAAGAGUGUUGCGAUGUGGACCAAAUGCAGAGUUUAAAAAACAUGUUAAGUGCAGUUUCGAUGUCCACGGAUCCACGGCCCAGUAAGAAAACCGGAUGGCUCAUUGAUAGAAGAUUAGGCUGGGAUUCUGGGGGCCAAAGUGCUCCACUAAAACCCAAACUAAUGGGCCCAACAUCCACCAGAGGAUACACAGAAGCCCACACAUACGUGCAAGGAGUUGAGUUGAGUUGAUCAACCUACGUGCAUGAAAGGUGUUUGGUUAAUUGUGGGGGGGGGGGGGGGGGGGGGGGGNACACGCGUCCUCUCUCUCUUUCUCCGCCCCGAUUCACACAGUACACACUAGAGAGAGAGAGAGAGAGAGAGAGAGAGAGAUCUCUUCACACGCACGCACACUCAUACACAGAGCUCUCUAGCUCUCUCUCUCUCUCUUCGUCCACAAUAUAUAUCUCUUCACACACACACUCACUCUCUCUCUCUCUCUCUCUUUCUCUCUAUCUCCUCGAAGGAGUUAUACACUUUCUUUUUGUUCAAACGAUAAAUGAAUAUUGCUAAGCUUAUCUCAAGAAGUAUCUUUAGAUAUGGAUGACAUAAUCAGUUAAUUCGCUAGUGACUUUUGUCUUAACUUUUUAAAUCUAAGUUUUAUUCAACCACGGCGGUCGCUUACCUUAUCCAUAUAAUUGAGGGAAACCUACCAGGGCAUGCAUGUUGGAAAAUCUUUCUGAUCUCUUAUUUAAUAUUCUUUAAUAAUAAUUAAAGAAUAAAUACCGUAAAGAAAAAGAUUAUAAAAGGCAUUUGGAUCGAGGCGUGCAGACCACUGUUGUAAAAGCGAAAUUGGCCCUCUACGUGCAAGACUUUUCGACAAUUACUUAUAGUGAUACAACGUCCACGUUCCACCUCGUCGGCACGCUUCCAAGGUGACACAAGAUGAACCCAACAAGCUUUGGGAGAACCAGUGAAAAUAGUAGAAAACUCGACGAAAACCAGUGUAAAAUAUUAAUAGCGGGAAGAAGCAUAAGUAGUGAUUAGGGUAAGCUCUCAUUCUCUAUUCAACUCAUCCACCCUCCUCCAAUAAAUAUAUACAAGGCAAAAUCUUACUCCUACUCAUUAAUUCCGUGUAGCAUAAGAUAAGCCUACGAGAUACGGAUACGAAUACGGAUUAGGAUUAGAGCUUACAAAAAAUAAAUAAACUCGGUGCCUGGACCGCACGCGUCGCCCGCCCGCCCCGGCUCGUGCUCGCAUGUGUUUAGCCGAGAGCUCUACUCUGAUGUUCUCUCAAACAACUAGCUUGAGAAUAAGGGAGUAUAUAAAGAGCCACACCAUGCCUUUGGUUUUCAAUGUAGUAUUAAACUUCUCAUGUGGAAACCCAAGCACGGACUCCCAAGCAAGGCUUAUAGAGAGUUGGGCUGCCAGGAACCCCAUGGGCAAAUUAGAAGUUUUAAAUCACUUUUAAUACCAACAAUGCAAGCUUUAAAAUGUUACUUAUUCUCAACUAAUCAUAUAUUAGACGCUACUUGGUCGAUACAAAUGCAUUGUCAUCGAACACAAAUAGUAAGAAAGCAAAGGAUAAAUACUCUAAUCAACACUUCUGCAAUAGUACCGAUUGUCCCUAGAGCAAGUGGCAAAGAGUUUGGUGGUUGGUAUCCGAGACCUAAGUUCGAAUCCUAGUUGAUUCACAUUUCUAACUAAAUUUAUUUCUAAAUAAAAUAAACGAAGCAGUUAGCGUGCUACCUAUCUCUCUCAAAAAAAGAAAAAACACGUCCGCAAUACUGCUGUACGUAAAAGACAGCAAAGUCAAGUUACAAAAUUAUGCAAACGACUUAGAAAUCACCAUGUAUAUAUACUUUUUCACCACAAACCGGAUUACAAGACACUAACUAAACGUGCCCUUGGCCUAAGAUGGCACAAGGAAGAGCAUCCCCGUCCCCGCCAUGAUCAUAAAUAUUUGCAGCAGCAAACUAACAUAGUAAAAAACUUCAAGGAUCGAAAGCCAUGCUUCGUCGUGCUGCUGUUCGCCAUCCUGCGGUUCAAACAUGAGGCCUAUCCAGAUCAGGCCGGAUACGAUGGCCAAGAGCUGGAAGAAUGCCCAGACUCUUAUCCCUGUACUCAUGUAAUAAUGCUCUGGUACGUCCCCCACACUCGCCACGCAUAUGGUUGCGAGUAGGGCAACAUUGAUUGAGAUGAGAAUUGCAAAGCCGUCCCUUAUCACACCCGCAGAGCGUGGGUCAUGGUAUAAGGGUCGAGGGCUAGUUGGAUCUAUCAGGCCGAUACCGAUACGGUCCUGGGUGAAGUAUACGCAGAUAGGGGCGAGCACCAGCAAGAACACGCCCGCGACCAAAAUUCCCAAGAACUGCAUGGCCAGCGCAGCGGCUGAUAGCCCGAGGAGAACCAAAAUAGCAGCGCUGCUGUAUCUCACAAAGCUUAAAAUGAUCCCUCUCCAAAAGGAGUAAUGAACAGUUAAGGGGAUGGAGGUGGCCAGCAUAGUGAAGAUGCCAACCAUGGAGAUCAGGAAGAAGAGACUUAGCGCCGAUUGGAAACUUUGCAAUGCUCGGAGCGGAGGGCUGUUGAAGGAAGCAUAAAUCAUACCCGUUUGUACGGUGAUGGCCAUAGUUGCAAUAGUAGUAGCGAACUUGAAGGCCUUCUCUCGCUCCGGUUUGUAGCUGUUGAAGAUGUGCAACAUAUAUGCAUGUUAAUUGAAAACCCCACCAUUAACUAUAACUUAGCUAGAGGCUGCCAUGCAUCACCCCUCAAAAAUGACCUAAAUAUAAGUUUAAUUAGCCGAUUCCGUUAUUUAUUUAGUAAGGUUACCGAUGAAAAAAUGACAUAAAUGUUAGAUCGAGUAUUCUUUAAACUCACGUAUGUAAUUCAAAUUAAAGAGCAAAUUACAGCUUAGCUUCAACUUUUCGAAGCACAACUUAUUUGCAGUAUUGAUACUUUUUUGACAAAUAGAAUUAAAGGAACAUUUUAGCGCCAAGUUUUUUUUUGUCAAAAAUCAUUAAAUUUAGUACCCAAGUCUUCUUUCUCUCAAUAAACCUAACAUCCAAUAACAGUGUGAGCAAAUUUGGUACAUUUACGAGAAGUACGUGAGAUACUAAUUGAGUUCACCUUAUAAGAAUAAGAGUAGAAGUAAAACUUUUAUCCGAAAAAAAAGUUCUAGGCUAGCAAUACUAUCUUUUUUUGGAGGAAAAAAAUAUAAGAUAUAUAUACUAUCUUUUCUCGGCUAACAAUACUAUGGAAACUUAUAAAUUAAAACAUAGGAUAUACCUUUCAUGGUCGGCACUGUCGUGGUCGUUAACAUUUUGUGUAGCCGUAUAUCCAAGGAAGCCGAUGAUAGAGAUCACAGGAAUUACAAUAAGACUCAUCCCUGCACAGUCUUUGUUCUGGAGUACUAAGGAGAAAAAGCUUGUCACAAUUAAAAGUACACAAGAUAUGGUCAUGGCGCUUAUCAGGUAUAUCUUCCGGUUUCGGUCGAUUGGAUUAUAACGCAUUGUGUAGAACAACAACAAGAUGGGGGAUUGAAUAGUAAGCCAGAUGAGGAAAUUGUAGGCUUUGAUAACUGUGGAGGAAUGCAUGGCUCUUAUAUCUUUGUCUCCCUUUGAAAAUGUGAAGGGUAUCGCAGAAGCCAUGACUAUUAUCGCAAGCAAGAACAAUAUGAUUUGCUUCAACUGGUCCCUAACCACUUCGGUUUGCUGUUCAUUUUCUCCACCAUUUCUUCCUCCCUGUUGGUUUAUCUGCAGCUAGAUUAAACAAGUAAGUGUUACAUAUAUAUAUAUAUAUAUAUAUAUAUAUAUAUUAUCGCAAGCAAGAACAAUAUGAUUUGCUUCAACUGGUCCCUAACCACUUCAGUUUGCUGUUCAUUUUCUCCACCAUUUCUUCCUCCCUGUUGGUUUAUCUGCAGCUAGAUUAAACAAGUAAGUGUUACAUAUAUAUAUAUAUAUAUAUAUAUAUAUAUAUAUAUGCAUGAAUUGGUAUGCAAAUUAUGGGCCACAGGAAAUUAGCAAACAUAUUUAGAAGAUAGAGAAGAAAGAGAGCUUCAUUAUAUAUAGAUUAGGCAUCAUGAGAUAAUUCAUUAACCAAAACUUUCACUUUUGGCAAGCUCAAAAGGUUUAUCACGAAAUGAAGAGCACAAUUCGAGAGAUAUAAAACUUAUAGAUGCAUCACAGGCUUAUAAUUUUGACUAUAAGACGCAAAAGUUCAGCACCACCCGCACCCCCCCAAACGUUCAGCACCAUCCACACAUCCCCCACCCCCCCAACAAAAGUUCAGCACCACCACAACCCCCGCCCCCCAACCCACCCAAAAGUUCAGCACCGGCCACCACCACCCAACCCAAAAAAAAAAAAACCCUAUGAUGAAAUGAAACUGCAGGUGCAGCAGCAGAAGAACAAGACCAUCUAGCUCUCUCUCAAAAAAAAGCGAAGAACAAGACCUGAGUAGUAAUUGAAUGAAAUUCGUCCGGCAUUUGGUGAAAUGAAGGGAGGCCUUCUGAUUAUCUGUGAAUACGCAAACUAAAGGUAAAAACCUCCUCCCCCUCCUCCUCCUCCUCUUUUUCUUCUUCCUCCCUCCUUCUUCUUCCCGAUUUGUGGGGGGUGGCUUAUAACAGAAGCAAAGUCUGAGUGUACGAGUGAGCAUUUUCGUAUAGCGUACGUCCGUGGGCCACUGGUUGGUGGGGAAAACUACGGGUGGAAACGAGCCGAGCUCGAGCGAGCUUAUCUCAGCUCAAAUUCGACUUGAAAUUAAUUUUGAGCCUAAAUUUAAGCUCAAGCUUGGAUUGAAUUAAUUCGAGCCGAGCUCAAGCGAGCCUAAUUUCAAGUCGAGCGAGCUCGAGCCCUAAACGAGCCGCUUGAAAUUCUCAACAUUAUACGAUCAAUAGUUUAAUUUGUAUAGAACAUUAUCUAUAAUUUGAUACAAAAAUAUGUCUAAUAGUUCAAAGUACAAAAUAAUUAUAUGAAAUAUAGUAUUAUAAUAUGAAAAAAAAUAAUUUAUGAGUUGAAUAUCUAAUUUUUUCAGAUUCACAUAUUUUUUCUUCCGCCUUCAAUCUCUAUAUUAUUCAUUUUCAUUUAUGCAGUCAAAAAUAAAAAAAAUUAUAUAGAUGAAUAUUGAAUUAAAUUAUCCAAUCAUAUAUAACUAAAAUUAAAAUUUUAUAUGAAUAAUAAUUUUUUACUUUAAAAAUAUUCUUGUAUAUUUUCUCAAGCAUACAAUUAUAGCAGGUAGGCAACGGCGGGCAUAUGAUGUUACGUGGUAACUUAGAGGGCUUCCGACUUGCUACUUAGGGUGAGAGACAGAAAAGAGAAAGAGAGAAACAUAUUGAAAAUUUAGAGCUCUGUGAAAGAAGAGUAAAGAAAGGAAAAAAUAUAUAAUUUAGUAAAAUUUUGCUCUUUUAUUUGUCUAUUAGGUUUGUUUUUAUGGCCAAUAUUGGCCCAAUUUUAACUAACUCAGAUUAUUCACUCAGCAUAUAUAUAAUUAAAAUAUAUUAUAUUUAUAUAUUUUUUAAUUAUAUAUAUAUAUAUAUAUAUAUAUAUAUAUAUAUAUAUAUAUAAUAUAUAUAUAUAUAUAUAGUGUAGAACUAUUAUGCUAUCGAAAAUAUAGAGGAUUUGAUGUUUUUGAAUUUUGACCCUUUGAGUAAAAAUUGUAUGGUUGAGAUGAUUGCGGUCUCCCUAGAAUUAAAUAAUACUAUUAGAAUUGAGUGGUCCCUACAAGGUAAUAAUAAUAUUAAUCCAAAGAUAAGAAACGAUAUAAGGGAUUGAUCUAAGAAUCAAAAAAUCGAAAGCACCAGAUUUCUAAUACUUCGAUAGCAUAGUAGCUAUAUAUAUAUAUAUAUAUAUAUAUAUAUAUAUAUAUAUAUAUAUAUAUAUAUAUAUAACACACUACAACAAAAACGUUCUAUAGCGACACUUUAAAUGUAGGUAUGUGUCAAAAAAGUGCUGCUAGCUAAAAUUAGCGACACUUUUAAAAAGUGUGGCUAUAUGUGGGGUCGCUAGGUAUAUAGUGACAGUUAAAGAGUGUCGCUAUAACCUAAAAGAGUGCUGCUAAUUUACCAAAAACUUAUUUAAGCAUUUAGCAACCGCCGAAAUCUAUCUCGUUGGCUGCGGUGGGGAGGGGACAACAGGAAAGGCUACUUCGUCUAGAAUUUCAGUGGAUUGAGUAAAGAGAGAUGGAAAGAUGGUAAUUAAUUUUUCUUUUUUUUUUCUUUUCUGUUUGUAAUCGGGUCAAAUGGAAUGGGUGUGGUGGGUUGACUAGAGCAAUCUUUUAUUUUUGGUUGGAUUGGGCUUUAUAUUUUGGCAUAAGUAGAUAUUUUUUUAAGUUUUAGCGUAAAUGGGACACUUACUCAAAAGUGUCCCAAACAUGUGUCCCUAUAACCUAAUUCUGUUGUAGUGAUAUAUAUAUAUAUAUAUAUAUAUAUAUAUAUAUUAGAGCUUUUCGAGCUUUUCGAGCCUAAUUCGAACGAGUCGAGUAAUACUCAAGCUCGGCUUGAAAUGAAUUUCGAGCCUUUUUUUUUGCUCAAGCUCGGCUCAUUUAAUUUCGAGUCGAGCUCGAGCGAACCAAAUAUCGAGUCGAACGCGAGUCGAACACGAGCCGGCUCGCUCAUUUGCCAGCCCUAGGGAAAACCCCUUUUUUGACUAAUGUAUACAAAAGAAUUGUGCUAAUCGGAUGAGGUGAGACACUUAAUUUGACUGUGGGUAUACACAUGUCUCUGAUUUGUUAUCUCUAUUUUUCUUCUGCUUAAAAAUAACAAGAAUAUAUGGAACUUAAUUCACCGUCAAUUAAUCUGCACCUCCUCUUUUUUUUUUUUUUUUUUCUUUGAGAAGAUCUCCUUCAUUGUUUUGAAAAACCAAAAAAGUUAUAGCUUUAAGCUUCUAGCACAGGUCCAUUACUAGAUCGCCAAGUUCAAAAGCCAAAGCGCAUAAUUUUGAAUGAGUUCACGGGCGUGGAGUUGAGCUAGAAUACUCUCAAAAGUACCAAGAGGGUGGUGCUUUUGAGUUUUUAGCUAUUGGAUGAAAAGAUGCAAAUUUGGAAUGAUGAUGGUAGAUAGUGAUAGAUGGUGGUGGGUAGAAUAGUGUUUAAUCCAAGGGCUAUUAGUAAUUUAAGAAUAGAUCCAAAAGCUAGAAAUUUAGAAGCACCAAAGGGUUGGUGCUUCUAAAAGUAUUCUAGCUCAAUUCACGGGCGUGACGCUUAUAUGCAUGCAUCAUCCGUCUGAGUGUAAUUCUAAUUAAGCGUUGUUGAAAAGUCAAUUAAAAUACAUAUGUUGGAAAAAUCUUUCUGAUCUUUUAUUAUAAUAUUCUUUUUAAAACAAUUUGAAAAUUCAAUUUCAGAUAUAGAAAACUUCUAAAACAAAAUUAAACAAAAAUAUUGAAAGAUAAGGUUUAGAUAAAGCCUGUGGAUCGAGACGUGCAGAGCACUGUCCUAGAAGCGAAAUUGCCCCCUCCACGUGCGAGGCUUCCCGGCAAUUACUCCUAACGAUACAACGACCACGUUCCACACCGUCGGCACGCUUCCAAGGCGGCGCAAGACGAACCUAACCAGCUUUAGAUCCAGCAACAAAAACUAGGUAAAAAUUAAUAGCGAGAAAGUAGAAAAAGACGAGAGGGUUUAGGUAUGCUUGGAUUAUUAUUAUCCAUAAACUCGUGCAACCUCACCCCAUAUUUAUAAUCAAGGCGAGAAUCUUGUUCAUCGCGUCAAAUCCGAGUAGGACAAGAUAAGCCUUAGAUUAUAUGAAAAAGAUUAGGAUUAGAAUAAAGAUAAAGAUAAGGAUUAAAAUAAGAUAAAAUCGAAAAAUAAAAUCUUAACAAGUUUUAAAUCAUAAAUAAAUCCAAUAAAAUCCAACAAUCCCCCACAUGAUUUAAAACUUGAAAUAAAGAAAGCAAAUAAACUGAAAUUCAAAACAAUUCAAAAGAAUGCUGAAUCUUUUAUACCAUGUAUUAGGUAAAGGUACCUUUUGGGUUUGAACCUUCACUUAGUGCUUGUCUAUGUACAUCCGAGGGCACAAUGGUGGACUUCGCCUUGAACCAAGGCUGGUGAAUCGGAUUUCCAUAAACAGCACACAUGGUACAGCUGUUUAGGUUCUAAACGGGUGAGCGCUUUACCGCCAUGCGUUAGUAUGACUUCGUGUGUGUUUUAGGGAAUCGCCCUCUUCCCAUAGUCGUAGCCUCACGACUCCACACAUAUAGUAAGUCCUCAAAAGGUAUCUGUAAGGUCAUACCCUGCCUUAUAGGUCUCGGAGCCAUUCAGGGCCAAUGCCCUUCCUAUCCACUUGCAGAUAUGAGCACUGUCGCCAUAGGGAUGAGGAUAUAAAAACAGUACUCCUCACAGCUACCUGUUCGACUUGUUUCUAUCCAUUGAAUCUGCAACAGAUUAGGUUGCCGUUGCCGGUAACUUCUAUUGUGGGCUAAGCCCCAUCCCCCUCGACGAUUCUAGGAUCACUGUUCUAGAUAAUCCCUUCGUAAGCUGAUCAGCCAAAUUUUUUGUAGAUUUCACAAAUUCCAAUUCAAUCACAUUUUCCUUCAAAAUCUGAUUGAGGAUAGCAUAUUUCACAAAUUCUAAUCCAAUCACUGUUCUAGUUUAAUUUUUUGCUUCUUCAGAAAUUCAACUAUUUAUGAUUUAUUAGGAUAGCAUAUUUCACCAUUGAGGUGAUCGAUUUAUCUUAUUAUAAAAAAUGACCUGAAGUCUAAUUUUUUUUNCACAUUUUCCUUCAAAAUCUGAUUGAGGAUAGCAUAUUUCACAAAUUCUAAUCCAAUCACUGUUCUAGUUUAAUUUUUUGCUUCUUCAGAAAUUCAACUAUUUAUGAUUUAUUAGGAUAGCAUAUUUCACCAUUGAGGUGAUCGAUUUAUCUUAUUAUAAAAAAUGACCUGAAGUCUAAUUUUUUUUUUUUUUUUUUUAUUAAUGAUCCUUAUCAGCAAAAGUUGAAAUUUUACAAAUUUGUACAUUUCAACUAUUUAUGAUUUAUUAGGAUAGCAUAUUUCACCAUUGAGGUGAUCGAUUUAUCUUAUUAUAAAAAAUGACCUGAAGUCUAAUUUUUUUUUUUUUUUUUUAUAUAUGAUCCUUAUCAAUCAAAUGUUGAAAUGUACAAAUUUGUUGAGUAAUUCAAAAGAAUAUACCAAAUAAGAUAUUUAACCAGCGUUACAUUAAAAACUAAUUUGGUAUAAAAUUUUUUAUCUACGGUAAGAUAUAAAAAAAAAAUAAUAAUUUUUGGUCCUCCAUAGGUUUUUCCAUCCAUAAUUUGAGAUCAUAAUAUAUUUCACCGACAAGAUAAUUUAUUUUAUUUCAAAAAAUUAACUAAAAAGUAAAUAUGUUAUUCCAUUUUAUACGUUUAAUCACACUUCUUAUCUACCAAAUACUAUAAUUUUUUAAAUAAAUCAAAAUUAUAUUCAGAAUAAGAUAUUCAUAUAUCUGAACAGGGCUUUAAUCAAACCACUAAUUUGCGGUCAGCAUAAGACAAAGGUUGAUACUAAGCCGAGUUUCAAAAUACUAAAUGGUUGGUAUUCAGGGUUUCAAAUGCUUCAUAUUUUAGUUAAUUUUUUUUAAAAAAAUGAACAAAUCAGUAGCAUGUUCUCAUUCUCUUAAAAAAAUUGAAUCAGACUCCGGUUAGAACAUGUAUGAAUCAGAUUCCGGUUAGAAUUUACGGACCCAAUGAGAUGUCAAUUGACCAAAUUUUUGGUUACCUGUUAAUAGAAUAAUAAUAAUAGUUUACUAAUUCUACGCGGAGAGCGGAGCCAUGCAUGAAGACAAAGGAGCCCACGUGCCCCGUCACGCGUCUACAGAGAUAGAGCUUUAUUCUUAUUCUUAUUUAUUUAUUUAUCAAGUCAUAUUAAUUAAAUAAAUAUUUUUACUAUUUUAACAGUCAAGCGAAUGAAGUUGUUAGUUUAAUAAUUAAACUAGUGUAGGUACCUGCGUGAUGCGGCGGAUAGUUACUGCUAAAGUAAAAAAUUUAUAAAUAAUAAAAUAUGAACAUAAGUAAAUAAAAUUAUAGUAUGCCAGUAUUAAAAUAUUAGUUCACAAUGGAGAGCAUUAUAGUAAAAUUUUAGAAAGAGUAAAAUAUCAACAAAAGUAAUAGUUAUAUGCAGUGAGCUAUAGCCAACACCAAAACUUGAGUGACAGGCAAGAAAAACAAAGACAAUAAGAACCUUCCUAGCAGUUUACCGGAUCGACUCGGAUUGUCCAUGGAACGUUUCAUAUCGUCAAUCUCUCAAAUCAAACAUUAAAAAAAAAAAAAGAAAAAAAAAGAAGAUAGUAUUAGUUAGUGAUCCCGUUAGCGAUCCUGGCUCUGUGAGUCCUUUCUUUUGUGAUGAACUGAAAAUACAAAACCAACUUCUGGUCUUUUUGCAAUGGUUGGGCUCAGAAUCAUGACAAAAAAGCUAUUAAGAACAAAGAGAAUCGCCGAAAAAGAAAAUCUAAUUACUCUUGUGGGGUCAAGAAAUGCGAAAUCAGUUCACUCUGAUGGGUGCCAUGGCCUAGCUUGAAAUAAAAUUCAAAUUUGAUUCAAUCCCGGCAACUGCUUCACAACUUUGAAUAUAUAGCUACCAAUUUUUGACUCAUAAACUCACGAACAACGUGCUGAAUUCCCAUCCAUGCAUAAAAACCAUCCAAUUUAAGCGCGCGUACAUCUCACGAUCAAUCACAUUCCAACACUAUUUCCAACUGCAUAAGCUUAGAUUUUCUACAAUUUACAAAAUAAAACGAAGCAAAUAUUUUGAUGCUACAAAAAGAAUAGGACAAUAACAUGAGAAGUAGACCAUCAAGAAAAAAUAAUAAUCUGGAAGAAUAUUCCAGGAGCCAACCAUCAAGAUUGACGCUUCCCCCAAUUCCUCUCAAAAAAGAAAUAUCUUCAUAGCAGAACACAACCUAUAGAAUAAUCAAAGCAUUUUUUAAUGAUCUUCAAAAUAUCUAUUUAUUUUAGCAUAAAGAUAGAUAGAGAAAGAAAACAGAACAAUAAAUAAAAAUAAAAACACCAAUUACUUUGCCAAAUAGAUUUUUGAAAUAGACAACAUUAACUUUCAAUUAACUCAAAAUAGACUGCAAAUCCAGAAAACAAAAGUACAAAUUUUCUUGCACAAAUUACAGCAAACAAUAAUAGAAAGAAAGUAGUCACAAGAAGUGUUGGAUCUUGGCAUUAAUGUUAUUGAGAUCUUAAGAAAUGCAGAGCUCUUUUAUUUUUUUCUUCUUUUUUUUUUGUAAUUUUUCUCUGCUGUUUGAGGGGACUUAGAAAAGAGGAGGAGAAAGAUGAUUGGAUCCAUAUAUGCAAAAUGUUUAGCAUCUGAGAAUAAAAAUGCUAAGUUUACAAUCAAAAAAGGGUGAGAGAAUCGUCAAACCUCUCAUCCAAGGGCUGACUAAAAUCUUACUCAAAUCCUUUUUGGAUUUUAGUUAAAAAAUAAAGAGAAAGUAAUAAGACGAGUCGAGAAAAGUCAGUCCUUUGAUGAUAGAGUUGUAGAUUAUAACCCUACCGAAAUAAAUGAGCUGUACGACGUACCUUGGCCAACAUAUACUCCAGUAACCUAUUAACGUCCUCGACGCGUUUAGCAUCUUCUGGUGUGCUAUUCGUGGAAAAGUACCUCCAACUGAAUCUCCGGAUUUUUGCUUUUUAUGUCCAGGUGAUCGCCAUUAGAUACUACAAAUUUCAUCAAACAUCGAUCUCAACGCCUUACUCUCUAAGAUCUCGAUCGAUCUCUCUCUCUCUCUCUCUCUCUCUCUCGCUCAUGUACUGUUGCCUCAAAACUUUGUAUGGUAAUCUUUUCCCCGACUCUGAAAUUAGCUUCUUAAUUAAUGUGACUCCAAAUUAAGAUGCAUCCAGUUCUCAAACCUCGGCAUAAACACGAGAAGGAGCAGCAACCGAACAAAAACCCACCAUUCCUUAAUUUGUCUCCACCUGCUUCUCGUUGUUCUCUUCCUCGUAUUUUCCUAUGGUUACAAUCCCAGAACCACACUCUCCCUUAAUACCUCUCCUUUUAUUUUAAACACUAAAAAAAAAACAAUUUGUGUCGUUUGAAAGUGGGUUCAAAGGGCAAAAACUUAGCAUCUAUAAUUAAAUAGGAUAAUAUAUAUUCUAUAAUGACCAAAAAAUUAAAAAAAAAACAAUUUGUGUUGAGAGUGGGAUUUGAACCCACGCCCUUUCGGACCAGAACCUUAAUCUGGCGCCUUAGACCAACUCGGCCAUCUCAACUUGUCGGAUGUGAUUUCGACCUACAUUUAUAAUAAUCUAUUUAUCAUACGCUUAAUAGCUAAGCAUCACACAGUGAAAUUCCUCUGAACGGAAAGUAAAUCAAUAGAAAUUCCCCACGGAUUAGAAUGAAAUUGAUGGAGGAUACAUCCAAAAAUGUUGAGGGUUACAUGGCAAUUUUACAAUGGGGUACGCAUACAACAGCCUUCAUGGCCAAAAUCCCCAGUUACCUUUGAUACAUGUGCUGUACAAAGAUUAGUUCCUACCGCACUAGCAUGUUAUAGAAGUGCACAGUCGUCAUUUCACGCGGCUAAUCCAGCUCACUCUCCGAGACCUCCUCCUCCGGCAGCUCGAAUGAAUCGAUCUCUGCGAAAUACGCUCUCUGCUUCUCCACAAAAUCUGGUGGUAAAAUCUGCUUCCUCGAAGCUUCGUAUGUAUUCUCACGCUGCUUCUGCAUAAAUAUCAAGGACAAAAUAAGAAUUGCAAUGCAUUAAAAACAUAGUACAUUACAAAAUGUGUGACAUUAAAAAUUCAUAGUAACAUAUCAGAAGAAACAAAUGUAAUACUAAAUCAUCUCUUUUGGAUACUAAGGUGCCUCAAUUUCCUUCUCACCAUACUGAAGAGCCUAAUGUAAUUAAAUGGUCUACUCUUGUGAAAUGCUUGAUUUAUUAAUCUUGGUUUGUCACGCAUAAAAGAAGAGGAGGAAAUAAGUGAGCGGCUCCCCACUGUUAAUAGCCUACAUCCCUCGUAGGCUUCAAAGAUCAAAACUGCUCGCAACUAUGGAAACAAGAAUUCUAAACUCAAUAUGAGAACCGACAUGAAAUAAUCAUAGCAAUAGCGAUGACCAAGUAGUGAUGCGUUUGAUAUGAAAUUUCUUUUCUUACAGUUAGCAAGUAGAAAUCUAAGAUAUUUGUAUGGUGCAACUACAUAGGAAUAUUAACAUUUGCUGCUUACAAAGCCAUAUGAGAUUCAUCUGGACAACUGGACCUAUAUCAACUAAGCUGACAUUUACCUUCUACAAAUCACUGAUACAACAUUUUUAUGCUCCCUAUCUAUUGCAAAAUAAAAAAAAAUUUCUAAAAAAAGACUAACGGAGGUUUUAAAUCAGAAAUAUCUUAAUGUUGCAGAUAUUUAAUGAAGCCUUCAUAUAAGCCAUAGUAAUCAUAACCCAAAAAAGGCCUACACUAUCGCUAUAGUUUCUAGAAAGAUAACAAUGUUUUUGACUGUUUAUCACUCACAAAGCAUUCUUACACACAAGCUUUUAUCUGAUAGAUAUUUUCAAUUCAAGAAAGCAACCUAAAGCAUAAAUUUGCUUUUUUCUUUUUGAGAGAAAGGUAGCAAGCUACCUGCUUCAUUCAUUAAGAAUCCAAAAGCAUAAAUUUGCUAAUUUGACGAAUUCAUCGCCAACAGAGAAUAUCACUAGGGCAACGCAUGUAUAUACAAAAAUUUAAAUUAAGAUGGAGGGAAAAAAGCAAGGGCAAACCUUUUUGGCUUUUCGACAGGGAACUGAGGAUGUCAUAGGUCGAAUAGAGUUGCCAUCUCCAGCCAUCGAGUUUUCCCUAGUUGAAUGACGUAAAAUGUACAUAAUUCUGUUAAUGCAGUUGCAACAUUACUAAUACUAAGAGACAUCAUGAUGCUCGCAGGUUUUAUUCCUCAAGAGCUCCUAAGUAUCAAAUAGCCUCCUUUAAAGUAUAAAAUACCACAAAUGCUGCCGUAACUUACAGACACUCUAAUAUAUAUACACCCUUGCUGGAGGGUGUUUGUGAUAUUUUAAACUUUUUAUAUGAUGUUACAGGUAGCUGGACAAGAAUGCUUGUUAUAGAAAGAGGUUUUGGGCAGCCAAAUUCCCACAGGCAUUUUUGCAAACUGUCCAAGGAGGAAAUUUGGUGUCAUUCAUAGAUUCCACCAGAUCAUUCCUGAUGGACUGCUUCCUGACAACUAGAGUAUUUAACAGAACAGAAGAAAAAAAAGGUGAACAACAAAUAUUCUCCAACAUAUUGGGGAAAGCAUGAGAUAUGUAUUUCCAAGGUUCUCUGAUAGGACAAUACCUACGAGAACCACCCCUAGUUACAUUUACACAAUUCUCACCAUCUUUCCUCUUUUGUCCAAAUUUAAUAAAGCAUAACCGGAAGCAAAGGUAGUUCUUUGAUUCGUACAAAUCAAGAAUACUUACUUGGUACUUUUGACUCUUCCAAUAGGAGGACAACUUGAUGACCCUGAGAGAACUGCUUUGCUUGUGGACUUUCUUUUAACUGUCUUUCGCCGUGUGUAAAUUGUAGAAAUAACUACUUUCUCAAAAUCUGAAUCAUCACGAACUGCAAAUAAAAGUGAACGGUUUUGACAAUAAUUUAACUACUGUCGCAUUCGCUACUCGCUAGUGCUGGUGAGAACACGAUAGACAGGAAGAUUAUAAUUUUGGGUGCAGAAAGAGAAGAAUCAACCUCAUUAAAUGUUAUAAGCACGUGGUCAGAAAGUAUAAGCUACCAAUUCAGAACUAGAAAAAUUAUAUGGAAAGUCGACCUUGGAUCGUAAGUUAAAAUUGUCGGAAGUUGUAGAUAUUUCAACUGAUAAUCACAUAUUUUACAAAAAUUGUGUCUUUAUAUAAAUAGACAUAAGCAUAACUAUAAUGCAAACAUGCUAUGCACUAAUAUACGCAUAUAUAACUGACCAAAUCAUGCAAGAGUAGGAUAGUAGAGAGACCAAAUCCUCAAAAAUUAGCUAAAAAAAGCCAAUUCUCGUCACAUUGAGUACAAAUUAUUCUCAGCUAAAUCAAGCCUACCUAUUAAAGUUCAUAGAAUGCCUAAUCCAUGAAUCUUCUACGAAUCACAUCACUAUACCAUCACCCCCAGCAGUCCGAAGAACACCAAUGGCACCAAAAUCUGGUUUUUACACUUACUCAAUCGAGCAUUACCAAUUAAUUCCAAAAAUGCCGCUAACAACACAACAUAUCAGGAACGAUUAUCCAAAUCCAAAACUCCACAAAACCCUAAAGAGAGGGGGAGCUCACCAGAAUCCGAGGAGAGGAGGCCUUUAGCUCUCGGCGUAGAACACGAAGAAGAAGUGGGAACGCUCGGAUUAUCGUUGGGCCUGGGGGAUGGGUUAGGGUUUGGUUCGGAUGGUUCGGCUUGGGGAUUCGAUUUGGGGUUGGGUUCGAGGAGAGAACGGCUAAGGGCAGAGGUAGAGGCAGAGGUAGAGGAGGAUGGGGCGUUGGUGAGGUCGGAGAAGGGUUUCCGCUUCGUCCUCGACCUUGUCUCGCUCCCACGGCUCGCCAUUGAUGGGGUGCAGGGAGAGCUCGAGAGCUCAAUAAAGAGAGAGGAGGCGGGAACCGGGGUUUGAGAGAGGAAGAGACUGGAUUGUUGGAGAAGGAAGAAGAAGAAGAGGAUUUGGGUUGGGCUAGCAAAAGACGUUUAUUUCUAUUAGCCCAUUACGGGCCCAGUAAUCUCAGUAAUAUCCAUAAACUGGGCCGAGUCUCAGCCCAAUUAGGCCGAUUUCGCCCUGUUGCACGGAAUUAUUAUGUGAACUCUGUCCACCACGUCAUCUGUGGACCACCUCGAGCGGUUGACCUUCCAAUCCAUCUCUUAUUCAAAUAACCGCUACUAUUUUGAAAAAAAUAUAUUUCUAAGUUUCAUAAGAUUUAAAAUUACAUAAACCACGUCACAUUUCAUAUUAAAAUAAAAACACCCAAAAAAUAGACCAUUUCAGUAUAUACACCAUCCGAAGAAACUCCCAUUAAUCAGUAAACAAUGUUUCCAGGAAAUAAUCCCAGCUAAACCGUCAUACAUGUUCACUGUAACUACAGGAUAAGUAUUAUAAAUACAGAUAAAUGUUAAGAAAAUGUAAUAAAUAUACAUAUAAAAAUCAAAUAUACAUGGGAAACCAUGAAAAGAAAACUCGCCAAUCCAAUUGUAUCAUACGCGAACGAGAAUUUUCAUUUCCGUCCACCAAUCAUCGGUUGACCAGACGCGCCCGACAUGCCAGUCGACGUGUUGCUCAUCUUAUUCCCACUUCUUACGCUCUUUAAAUCAAUCAAAUCCUCAAAUAGCCUAUCGGGCAUAUAAUAGGGUUUCGAGUUGACGCUCGCCUGAGGUUCUGGUGCUGUAGUCUGUACAUUAUUUACGCCCGAUGAUCCAAAUGCCGCGCCUGAUGAUCCAAAUGAAUUGUAUCGCUGCAUAGGCUGAGGUGUGGGGACUGUAGUAGAAGCUGGGACUUGAUAGGAAGAAGUUGAUGGAGUAGCACUAGGGUUCGAGCUUCCGGGAUAAGCCCAUGGCGGGGGAGGAUAGCUGUAUGUAUAAUAAGGUUGAGGCUGAGGUGGUGGAAGGGCUUUUUGAGCCCAAGGUGCAACAUAACUGUUGUAGGGAUUGUAUGCUUCGUUUUGUGGGAAAGGCUGGGGGCCGGAAGGUUGCCCUACCCCGAUCGGGGGAGCUGAAGUUGGAGAUUCAUUUGGGAUUGGUGCUGGAGAAGGAUUAGGGUUUUCGGAUAGAGUGAUGGCCAAGAAGUCGAUCAUGUCUUGUUCUUUGUCGAUAGUUUUAACUGGAGAAAUAGGUGGGUCGAGCGGGACCAACGCGUUGCUCGCAACAGAGGAUGAGGCUUCGUCCGAAGUGCUUGCAUUGGUGCUUAAAGAGGUAAGGUCGCUCUUGUUCGAUGAGACUUCAUGAUCAUCAUUUUGUGCAGAUUUGUUUGCCCUCAAGUUCCUGCAUGUAGAAUCAAACAUCGGAUUUAGAAGAAUUCAACGACAGAAAUUAACCAAGUGGUCAUCUAACUCGGCUUAGCUCCUUGAACCGCUUCUCUACUCCAUAAUGCAGAAAAUUCUUUGAAGCUUUUGCAGCGGCAUAAAGCUAAAACGAGCUUUCCGGACCCCAAAAGUAAAAGCUCCAAUUUGGUUCCUCUACUUCUGCUGCAGCAAGAAGCCGCAGAAGAAACUUAAAUUAAAAAAGCUAAUUGCUCUUCUUUCAACAGAUCCUUCAAACUGCACUUUUGCAGGAUAUUCAGGUGGGCGAAACAAGCCCAAAAGUAUUCCAAAAUAAGCUUUGUAGACCUUUGAGCCAACUGGGCGAAACCAUCAUCGUCAUCCGCUUCAUCUUCAAACUUCUUGAUUGCAGGAGUGGUAAUCUUCACAGGUUCCUUUGGGAUCGGCCGAUGCACAGGUGCUUCGAUUGGUAAAGGUGAGCCGGAGGCUAUUGCAUCAUGCUUUGCAAGUAGACUUUGUAGGCUAUCAUUUAAGGCAAGGCCUUCCCCCAGGAGCUCCUCAUCACUGUCAAUUAAGCAAUAUAUGAACGCAAGCAAUAUAAAAGUGAAAGUACUAAAUAUGUAUAUAUAUAUAUUAAACAUCACAUUUGUAUAAUACAUGAUGAGUUAUUCUGUUGCCUAAAAUCUUCUUUUAUGCACUGAUACACCCUGGCCCUUCUUGUGAUAAAUCCCAGAGUUCCAGCCAGGGUUAUUCUAGUUCAUGAAAGGAUUUCUAGUCAAAAAUUGCAAAACAAAAAAAAAAAAAGCAGAACAAAAUAAUACAAAAUUGUAGAUCAACUUCCCAAAAUUGAAAAAGGGUGAAUUUUCAUGAAAUGAGCUUGUUCUACUUAAUAUAAAACUUUACCAGUACAUAUAAAAGAUGAUCACCCGUAGAGGUCUUACAGAAAAGAUAAUCAUCCAAAGAGGUCUUACCCUGUUGAACUAACCAACUCCAUUAUCUUCUUUUGGUUGGUACGACACUGAUUGACAAGAUCCACUAUUACUUCAUCUUUCACAGACUGAAAAGUGUGGCAGGAGAAGGGGAAGUUAACUAAUAGAACUGGGUUAUAUGCGAGAUAAGACUUACUUGCAAUACUUGGUAUAAAAAAUUUUAAUGGAAAAGGAAUAAUAGAAUACCUACCUCCCGAUUAUUUGGGUUCACCUCUCGCAACAUUUCGUUUAAGAGCUCCGACACAUUUCUAAUGUUCUUCAAGUGCGAUAAACUGAGAUAAGAGGAAUAAAUCAAGCAAAUAUAUCGUAAAGGAAUGUGAUUUUAGACACAGUAGGGAAUAGCAUAAGAAAUAAUGCAUUAAUAUGAACAGGGAGCCACCUCAGAUUUGCCACAUCUGAUGCCAUUACUUCAUUAAGACUUCUAGAAGAAUUGCUCGAUGAACCAUAGGGAGGCUGAUAAUAUCUUGGUGAAGUUGUUGAAAGUCUACUAGGAGUAAGUAUUGGCGGGGAAUUUGGUGGACGGUCAGGGAACGCUACUCCGUAUCUCUGCAUCACAUUUUAUGAAUAAAAUAGUUGCAUUUUGGGUUCAUUUUGAUGAGAUUGACGCUGGCACGAUCUUCGCAAUAGCAAUGAAAGAUGUUAACUUGAGAAAAUUGAAUUUAAGAAAAUACAAAAAAAAAAGGAGCUGAUCAAAGCCACAGCCAAGAACAGAUUAGAAACUUUAAACAUCACUAAACAUUCAAGUCAGUCCUAGUAUUCUUGAUAAGAAGAGAGCAUCUGAUUAGAGUAAACAAAAAUGAAAUUUCCAAGGUUAAAAACCAUAAAAUACUACAGUUUGUAUUGCAAGAUUUUUAAUGAACACAUGGAUUAAUUUGGUAACAGUCAUAUUAAAAUAGUAACUAAUGGAUGCUAAUUAAGAAUGAUAACAAAUAUAGGGUAUGAUUACAGUUACUUGAGAAGACAAUUAAAUAAGUCCUAAUUUCUACCAUUUAAAUGUCUCUACCAAGGUUCAUUAUUAGGAAUAGACAUCUAUUUGAAGGAUUCAUAUUUAAGAAACUAAAACUUUAAAGAGUUGGCAGGAAAGCAAGAUAACAGUUGCCGACCUUCAAUUCAACGUAUGCCCAGUAAUACUGGGGGUGCCUCCCUCCAGGUCCAAAUGCUUCUUGCCAAGAAUCCAAAAGCAAUAGAAUUUUAUGCCUCACUUGCCCAUCAGACUGUGAAGGAUAUUCAGAAAUUAAUUGAUAAGAAACAGUAAUAUCUGGACAUUCAAAAUUACGAGAAACAGAUAAACUUGUCCCACUAUGUGUUUACAGCCACUUACUCGAACCGAUUCAUCUAAAUAGUCCAUUCAAAUCCUAGAAAAUAAUAGGAUUUACGCACAUUCAUUGCGAAUGAAAUAUUGACCUUCCAUUUUGAAGGGGUAAAAAGUAGUUUAACUUUUGAUUAUUUAGCACAAUUUUGUCAGAUAACGCCUGCUAUUUUAAACAAAGGGUAUUCGUAUCGAAGGACUAAGAUAGAAGUCAGAAAGGGAAAGUGAAACCUCAAGGAAAGGUUAAAAACCAAGUAUGAAAUGAAAGACCCAAAAGGAAUUUCAGACAUUGUUUAUAAAAUUUUGAUCACGUAAAUGAAAAGUUGAGUCAUAACAAAUGAUGACUAUAUGAUAAUGAAAAAGGAGAAGCAAAUGACAAGGCUUACUGUUUUCAUGGCAAUAUUAAUCAUCUCUUGGAGAAUAUCGCGCCCGACAACUUCAGAAUGAACAUAAUCACCACAGUUCUUCAUCAUUGUCUCCAAAAGCUGCAAUGACUUCCUUAGUUAUUAGAAGAAAAUUGAGCUGUCUGAUUCAAAAAACCACAAACUAUUGUCAUAAAGAAAAUUUGCAUGAUCGGCUACACUUCAUCCAAUAAUUAUACUAUAAGUUACCAGUAAUGCCAAGAUUAGUUUUUUUUUUUUUUUUCCUCGGUGAAACCCUCAAUUAGAAGUUUGCAUUUUAAUCACACCCAAGAUAUGUAAAUGAACCGUCGAGCAUUUGCAAACAUUAACAUACAGUUUGAUAAAUAGCUUGGUCCAUACCGUUAAAGCGAGAAACUGAACCCUAGGGUUCUUACUUUGUAGCCGCUUCUUCACAGCUUUCACCACGUCUUUUGUUUGCCUGAUUCAUGAACAACAACAGAAAACAUGAGUGUUCCACUCGUAAUCUAACUAGUUAUGAAUCUAACUUCAUCAAAUAGUGCAUAAAAAUCAACUCGGAAAAUACAUAGCAUGCGAAAUGUACCUAGAAAUAUCAAAUAGUGCAUAAAAAAUUAAUUAGCCCCAAAAUUACAAGUUUUUCGUAAUGAAACUUAUUAUUUGAUUAAUGAAAAGAAACAUGAUUAAUGAAAACCAACCCCCACCCCAGAAAAAUAAAGGAAAAAUAAAAGGUCGACGAGAGAGCCGAUUUUGACUAAGAAUUAGGAUUUAUUCUCGGGCUACACCAUUAUCAUCUUAGCACAAAUUACAAUUUUCCCCCCUAAAUAAAAAUCCUUUUUUUUUUGCCAAAUUCUAUCAGAAUAUGACAACAGCAAGCUCAACAACCAAAACCCCAUCACAAUUAAUCAAAAAAGGUCAACGAUUUUGACCGAGAAUCAUCUUACCACAACCAAUCAAUUAACCCCCAAAACCAUAUCUUUUCCAAGUAAAAAUCCUUCCUUUUCGAAUUACAUCGGACUAUAAUGCUCACAAUCACCAAAACCCCAUCACAAUCAAUGAAAGCCAAACCGCACGGACGAAAAAACAAACAACCAAAGCCGAUUUUGACCGAGGAUUAGGGCACCCUCCUAGGAUUUGAGAGAGAGAGAGAGAGAGAGAGAGAGAGAGAGAGAGAGAGAGAGUUCGAUACCAGUGGUUGGAAUUGAUCAAGUCGCAUAUCUCCAUGUUCAUAGCCCAAUCGGGGCCAAGCAAGAGGUUGCUCGUCGCCUUGUCCACGAGAACGCUCGCCGACGCCGCCAUCGCCGCUUCUCCUUCGUACCCCCCGAGAAUCGGAAGAGGAGAGAGAGAGAGAGAGGGAAAGAGGAAGAAGAAGAAGAAUAAGGAGACGGGGUUUAGAAGCUUUUUUAUAUAUUGGGGGAGAAAAUAACAAGAGGAGGAGAAAUAAUGCAUCGACGAUUUUACGUACAUACCCUCACAAAAUCAUAUAUUUGUAUGGACUUUAUUACACCACCAGCUAGGCAGUUAGUCGAACUCUUAUUUUUUGAUUUGUAAAACUUUGAAAUUUGAUGUUCCAAAUCACAAACUCUUAAUAAAAUUUUACUUCAUCGCAUUUUAUUUUAAUUAUUUUGUCAUUAGCGCUAACCUUUAGGUCUAAGACAAGACAACCAACCAUUCAUUUAAAAUUUACAGUACGUAAGAAUCAAAUUCGUAAGAUCAUUUAUUGUUUUAAGAAUUUGAGUUAUUGAAAAAGAGCAAUCAAUUUACUUUAAACAUAAACACACAGCAUCGAUAUGUCUCAAUUGUGACUCGGUUCAACCCCUCUUCUUAGCAACCUAUUUAUGCCAAUAAUAAAUACAUAAUAAUAAUGAUUGUACUAUUGAGCUCGAAAGUUUGACAAGCAAAGUAAAAUUUGACCCAAACUUCUCUCUCUCCGUGUAUAGCCCGAUGACUUUCAGUAUACAAAGUAAAAUAGAUAUUAAUUUGAGUACAUUUUCUGUACUUUCAAAAAUAUAGAAAACUCGGUACUUAUAAAUUAUUUUCGAAAAUAGCAUAUUUAAUUUGACCAAUCAAUUCUGUUAAAUAUAAUUUAUGUUAUUGAAAUUAUUUAGAAACCAGAUCAAAAUGUGUCAAGAAUUAUUAUUUUACCGAUUGAUAUAACAUGUUUUUAAAUUCAACGAUAUAAAACAAUCUAAAUUAUAUAAAACUUUAAUAGAAAAUUUUAUUUAAUAUCAAUAGUAAGAUUAAUAUUUUUGAUUUAAAAUUUGAAUAUUUUAUCAUUAUUUUUUAUGCGAUUUUUAUUUUCAGUCGUUCAUUUUGAAGCUACUCGUUCAUUAGGCAAAUGAAGUCAAAAGAAUUAUAAAGUUUGAUUUCUAGAUAGUUUUAAUAGUGUAUAUUAUAUUUAACCGAACCGAUUGUCGAAUCAAAUGUUUCAUCAGUGAAAACAACGUACAAACACGAAUACCUCCGUACUUUCGAAAGCAUAAGAGUAGUCUAGUUCUACAAAUUUAAUAGAACAGAAUAACUUUUAAAUAAAAAAAAUAUAUACAAAAUUAAGGUAUCAUAAAUAUAAAUUUAAGUACCACUAAUACGACUUUUUAUCUUUAAAACUGAGACAGAGAAUAAGGAUAAGAAUAAUGAAAGGAUAAUAAUAAGCUGGAAAGAAUAGAAUAGAAUAAAAUGUAUGGAAUAAGAGUAAAAGGCGGUUUGUGAGCAUGGAUUCGCGGGUUUGCUCAUUCCACUCGACAGCUUUUCGGGUCAAAAAGUUUUGUUUAACGCCAUUACAGUUUUAGGUUUUGACUUUUCCUUUAAACAAUGGAUUAUUAGUUAUAUUAUAUAGAUUCAAAUUUUAAAAUCAGGUUAACGCGGAGAGCAUCCAACCGCGUUUUCUUAUCCUAUUUUUUAUUGUUUUAAUUCUUUUUAUUAUGAGAGAAGAGUUGAAAUUAUUUUUACCUCUAAAUGCGCACUUUCGUUGUUUGGUUUAUUGUAAAUUAAAUUUAUUUGUAACUUGUGACGAAGUCAAUUACGAGGAAAAUGGAUAAUUUAAAAGAUGUUAAAAAAAAUUAACUGUUGAAGUUUUUAAGUUCACCCUCUUAUAUAUUUAACGAAAAGUUUUUAAUAAAACAAGCGGAGCGGAAAAGGUGGAAUAAGACUUAGUUUUGUGUUAAGGUCUAUCAUACGCUGCUGUUAUAUAAAAUGGAGUUAUGAAAAAAAAUAUAUAGAAAUACUUCUGUAUUCUCCGAUGGGACCGUAGAACCGUAGAAGAUAUAUCAUAACCGAUUCAUCGUAAUAUGCGGAACGCAAUAUUACGUACGGAAACAAAUAUAAUAUUUUUUCAUCGUACUUUCUCACAACACGUAAUACAAUCUUCUCGUAAUCCAAAACGAAGCUUAAAAACAAUUCCGAAAUCAUUUAUUUAUUAUCAAACAAACAAUGGUGAAAGAAUAAUUUCGGCACAAAAACUUUAACAAUGCCGAUUGGAAACAAAGUCAUGAAAGAGUUAGUUUUCAGAAAAGAUAAAAAAGAAAAGAAAAUUCCAAUGGGAGCAAUUUUCUGGUCACUUGUGCAAAGCAGAAUAAUCUCUCUCCCCCCAUAUAUGUGGUUUAAAACAGACACUUUUCAUGUGAUAAAACUAACAGAUUAGCGAUGAAGUAAGCAACCCUCAUAUUGACAAGUACAUCCCCAUUUCUUUAAGUAUAAACAACAUACCCUUCUGAGUUCACAUUUUUUUGUUCUCUCCCAAGUUACUCAACCAAGUUGCAAAAGCAAGAAAUUAAGCACCAAAACAACAACAAAAAGAGAACUUCUCACUAGAGUUGGAAGCUGAAAUAAACACUGAGACUCCAAAAGCAAAAGCAGAAAUUCAAAACUUCUACUUUGGAAUUCAAAGAAGAACUGCUUGGACAAACAACUAUACUCAAACAGCUCUUCUGAAAAAUUCCAGGGAGACAGUAAAGUCGACCAUUAAGUGCAGAAUCAGAGUAGGACCAAAUGUCGAACGAACAGAUUUGACAAUGCCAUAGUACCAAGUCGUAGUAGCGAGGCGAAUUAUUAUCAAGGUCAAGUUUCCAAUUUUACAAUCCUGAUCACUCACCAUAAGAGAAAGCAAAAGCAAAAGCAUCUACACUACUCACACAUGAAGGUGCUUCUAAGGGUGCUUCAACUAUAACAUUUUGCCACACAAACUACUGCAACUAAGGCGGCUUUUACAUGACCACAUCUAAUCUAGCUAAUGUAAUGUAGCAAAGCAGAAACUAACUGCAGCUCUGCAAUGAGUAAUGAUGUGAAGAACACAAAUACUUAAUCGUCCCUGCCCUCUCUGUAAAUUUCAUCAAGAAUCACUGCCCUCUCUGUUGAUUUCAUCAAGAAUCACGAUGAGGGCCGCGAUGAAGACGUAGUCGACGUUCGGAUACACCGUCACCCCGAAUGUGUCCCUCCCGAGUAAUACGUUCUUGACCGUGUACUGACGGCUUACCUGCAGCAUCGAUUUUUCGUGAUCUUGAGAAUGAACGAUAAAACAAAUUUAAGUAUAGCUUAAGCGCGUGCUUCUCGGGAAAUUCGUUUCACAUUUUGAGGCAAAUGGGCACUAACCUGGGCAAUUACGGUGUCCGACGAACCGAGGUAGAUGGCGACCGAUCUCUCAAAGUAGCUUCCUUUGACCUUAAAAUCGCAAACUAGCUCGCUAGUAUUCGCAGCUAAAAAGACAUCCAGUUCGGUUUUAAAUUGGAUGACCGCCGACUUCUUCACGCUGAAGAGCAAAUCUUUCUCGCUGGAGCUGUCUCCUCUGAACACUUUCCACCGAUCGUGAAUGCUUAAUAUCUACAACAACAUACCAACUAAGACUCAGUAACAGUUGAAACAUCGGCAUAACCUUUUAAUCAUCCUAAACUUAGAUUAUUUCUCAAAAAUUAAGCUAAUGAGCAUCAUAAUUUCGCAAAAAAUGUACAAAUACAUAAAUCUGAAGUUCAGUAAAGUUCCCAAUUUCAGGGCUAUAAAGAUCAUUGCCAAACAAAUGAUUGCUGCUCCUCCACAACAAACAAGGACUAAAUCUGAAUCCGAUUAACUUCGAGCAAUCGGUACAUUGAUUGAACACUAUGAUUUUUAAAACUAAAAAGUGCUAUAGAGAAGCACGAUCAAAGGGCAAAUGAAGAAUAAUUAGCAAGAAAUUGACUUAAAUUUCUUUUUAUUUUUGUUGGAGAAAACAAAAGACCCCAAACUUAACAACUGCAAAUGAUAUCAAACAAUCAGAAUCAGUUGAGCUUCUGAUAAAAUUUUUUAUUAACUAUUCAUAGCAAAAUCAAUCAAUAACUCUCAUCUUCAAUCGAAGAACUCGACCCUCUAGUUUUAAAAAAUUGUUCGAUUUUGACCGUUUAUUUUAUAUUCUUGUUGACAGGCGUGACAAUAAUUUUAGGAAAUAAAAAAAUUAAUUUUUAAUUAUUCUGAACGCUCUAAACGUCGAAUUUACAGCUCUAUUGUCAAAAUUGACUUAAUUGAGUAAGAAAUAGCAAGCUAUCAGAAGAAAAGAAAAGAAAAGAAAAAAAAAAAACAAGGUAAACUACAAUUUUGGAUCUCCGUAUUAAUUUUUUUUUUUUAUUGAACUGCACUAAGUAAUGAUGAUAUGAUAAUAUAUAUCGGUAAAGAAAUAAAGAGAAAAUGUUUGUUUGUGUAGUGGACCUUGGCCUGCAUGGAGAGGAGGCGGUUGCCGGCGGCGUCGAGGAGGAGGCGGCGCUCGCGGAAGGCGAAGAACACGCCCUUCACCUUCAGCAGGACGGCGCCGUUACCGUCCAUCACCACGAAGUCGCCGUCCGUCAAGCUCAACGCCUUCUUCGUCACCGUCAACGGCACCGCGUACGGCGCGCAGAACUCCAGCCCCACCACCGCCACCGGCCCCAUUAACGGCGCCGCCAUCCUCCUCCCUAACGGCGUCAAUAUCGGAAAUGGAAACGCAAAACGUGUGAAUUGACCACCCAGGAGGUUUGUGUGUACAUAUAUAGGCGCUCAAAUCAAUCCCCCGCGGGGGGCAAAUUCGUAAAUUUGUGAAAACAGCAGGGGCAAAAUUGUAAAAAGAAAAGUAGAAGGAUAAACGAAAUGGGAGACCUCUUCUGGUCCACGCGGUUGUCACAGCACAAGUGGCGAUUUUUUUUAAAUUUUUUUAGAUAAAAGAAUUAUUUCUAUUCUUUACUUUAUUUAAACUAUUUAAGAAAUAUAAGUUUUUUUUUUAAUAAGUUGAUCUUGCUUUAUAAAUAAAUAAACUAAUAGAUCAACAAAAUAUAAACUCUGUGGUGUACUCGCACCCAAGCAAAAGCUUCAGCUAAAAAAUAGAUAAAUAAAUAAAUAAAUAAAUGAGAACAACUUUGCCCAUCUUUUACCGUCGAAAUAUAUUCUCUAUUAUCGACCGUUCUUAGAGCAAAUGAUAAAAAAUUGAUGGUGAUAUCUGUGGUCUCAAGUUUGAAUUCUAGUUGAUUUAUAUUUUCAACUAAAUUUGUUUUAAAUAAAUAAAAUAAAAUAAACGGAGCUGAGUAACGUGCUACCUAUCUCUCUCAAAAUAUAUAUAUAUAUAUAUAUAUAUAUAUAUAUUCUCUAUUCCAAUGUAGGUGGGCUUUAUUCUAAGUGGUGGUGAUCUUUCCUAGGCUAUCAAUAUCUUUAGAAAAAACUUCAAAAACCCCCCUGUAGUUUUAUAGUUUCUCACUUUGCCUUCCUGUGGUUUAAAAUGUAUCAAUUUGCUCCGCUGUGGUUUCUUUUUUUUCUUUUUCUUAUCAAUUUCAUUAUUUUUUUUCUUAAAUCAAUGAUAAAGUUAAAAUUAAAGGGUACUAAAGUAAAUAUUUGAUAAAUCUAGAUGGAUAUCUGAAGUUUUUUGUAUAUAAUUUAAUAAAAUAUUAACGAAAAAGCUACCGAAAAAAUAAAAACGAAAUCACAGGAGGGCAAUUUGAUACAUUUUAAACCACAUGGGGCAAAGUAAGAAACUACGGAACCAUAGGGGGGUUUUGAAGUUUUCCCAUUUCUUUUAUUAUAGGGCAUUUCUCUAAACAAAUAAAUAAAUAAGUAAUGAAUGAAUAAAUAAAUAUCUUCAGAGCUGUGCAUUAUUGACCAAUGAAAAUGUUCCAACUCCUUAAUCAAGUGUGGGGGAGGGCUCCUUCCGAAAUGUAAUAAUUAUGAUAUAAAAAUAAUAAUAUUAGGAUUUCACAAAAAUUUAAUUUUUUCCGUAACAUCCGUAUCACGCUUGCACAGAUAUAACAUAAUGUGUUAGAAAAAUAAUCAACAACUUACCACUAAUGUUUUUUUUUUCUUUUUUUCAAUUAAGACAUUGAAUUUUAAUUAUAUGAUGAUUGGAAUUUUGACGAAAUGGUGUCAUAUGCAAAAUAUAUAAUAGGUCAAAUGCUUGCCCUAUCAAUAAUUGUUUCAUUAGCGUCAUAAUCAAGUAACAUCAUCUUCAAAAUCAAUCCCACCAUUUAAUAUUUUCAAAUCAAACGAUUGAUUAAUGAGUUUAAUAAUAGGGACAAGAACAAUUAUUGUACACAUACAAAGAUGAAUAACUACUAAGGCUUCGUUAGGGAUUGCGGAGAGAUUGCGUUACGUGCGGUGAGAAACGACGAUGGAAAAAUAUCCCGUUUGUUUUCGUACGUAAUAUUGCGUUCCCUAUAUCGUGAUGAGUCGAUUACGAUAUAUUUUCUGCGGUCCCACCGGAGAACGUAGAAGCAUAUUCCUAUAUAUUUUUUUCUAACUCUAUUUAAUCUAAUAACGUUAGAUAAACCUCAAUACCAAACUAAGCCUAACUAGUCUAUACAUAACACAAGUGAUUAUAAUUAAAAUCAUUUUAGAUAAAUUAUUUAAUCAACAUUUAUGGUUGAAUAUUACUACUCUUCCUUUUAAUCUCUUGAAUAAUUAGUUUAGACCUGAGCUUAAAAGGUAGUAAUCCUACAACGACAACGGGCCAAAAAAUGUGGCCUAUUGGGUUUUGAAAUUGGGCUGGGUUCGAGAAAGAUCGAGUGCAAGCUAGCCCAAAGUAUAUUCGGGUUGGGCUUGGGGUUUAGAUUGACCCAAUUUGAAUUUCUGAAAUUUUGUAACCGAAAUUAAUUAAUGCUAGGAGUACACAUUUGGGACAUGUAAAAUAUAUAUAUGAUAAAUAGGUGUCACAUUUUUUACAACAUAUAUGGCUUUACAUGAUCACACAACGAAAAGUUUAUUUUUUUUUUUUUUUUUAGAGAGAGAGAGGUAGUAUUUUACAUGCUUCGUUCAUUUUUUUUAGAAAUAAACUUAACUAUAAAUAAAUGUGAAGCAACGAGACUUCGAACUUGGGACUUCAGUACUAAUCACCAAUUCCUUUGCCACUUACAUUUGGAAUAGUCGGUAUCACACAACGAAAUGUUAUGCAAACCCAUAAAUAGGAUCGUAUAAAAAUGUGUGCGAAAUGAGAAAGGGCUUGGUAGUUGGUACCUGAAGUCCUAAGUUCGAAUCCUAAUUGAUUCCCAUUUUCAGGUAAGCUUAUUUCUAAAAGAAAUAAACAAAACGGAUAGCAUGCUAUCUUUUUAUAAUAAAAAAAAAUGCGCGAAGAACUCAUUAAUCCGAAUCCUUUGUGUCAAUCUCAUUGACGAUCACGAUCGAUGAGAUAAUAUGAUAUUAGAGUCAGUACAAAAUCCUAUAAGUUCGUAUGAUCAUGAGUUUGAUUUGCCUGUUUAAAGUGCAUGUGUUCUACUUCUCGAAUAGAAAAGCUGCUUUAUAACUCAGAACCAAAGAAAAAGGCACUUGUAUGAUAACGGUGUUCGUUCUACCGAGGUAGAUGGGGAACGAUCUUAUGAAAUAGCUACUGUUGAUCUUAAAAUCGCAGAUUUCUUCGCUUGUUUUCGUGGCUAAGUAAACAUCUCAGUUUUAAACUGAAUUUCUGCAGAUUUUUUCACACUAAUUAAAAUGCAAAUCUUUCUCUUCAGUGCCUUUUCCUCUAAACACUCUCCAUCGAUCGUGCCAUGCAUGUUAAUAUCUAUAAGAUCAAAACUAAAUAUUAGUACGAGUCGAAAAAAGAAUUAGUGAGAGUAUUAUUUUGCUAAAAUAUAGAAGAAAAAAAAAAGAGAGAGAGACCUUGGCUUGAAUGGAGAGAAGGGAGUUGCCUGCGGUGUCGACGAGGAUGCGGUCCUCAUGGAGUGCGAAGAAGACGCACUUGACCUUGAGCAGCAUGGCGCUGUUGGCGUUCGUGACUGCGAAGUCGCCGUCUGUUAAGCCGAUCUGCAAAGGAGCAUGAUAUUUCCAGUCUAUUUCUUUUUCUCGACAAGGAUGGAGCCGUCACAGAAAACUUAGGAUUAAAGAUGUUCAAUCAUGCCUGUUCAUCAAAAUUUUGUUCAGAUAUAUACACUCCAAUCGUUGAAUCGACUAUAUUCUUAAAAAUCACCUUGAAUAAAUCAUGGAAGCCACAUCCAAUAUUCUUAAUGGCAACGGUGAAACCGACAACAUCUCCGAGAGUACUACAUGGUUGUGAAGCACUUGAAGUAUAAAUGGAGCAAAAAUGGCUGGAGAGGCAUUUUUAGGGUUGAUACGUAGAGUUUAAUUGGAAAUGUUUAUCGACUUGGUCCAUGCAAACAGCAGAAACAAGAAGAAACAAGGGGCUAAAUUAAAUAAGUUGUUUGUUUGACUUGAAAAUUGGAUAAAUAUCCUAAUUGAAUAAUGCAACCAAACAAAGAGUAGUACUGGGUCUAAACAUAUAUGGGUGCAUUCAUACCUAUAAUUAAACUGUAUAUGCCACUUUAAAUUCCCAUAGUUAUGUGCUUGUCCUUAAUGUAUCAAAAGUUGAUAGAAACCUAAACUUCUUGACGAAUGUGAUUGUUUGAUUUAACAUCUCUACUAUUUAGAACAGUCGGUUGAUAUUUUUUAUAGUAGAGUUAGGUCGAUCGUGAUUCAAAUCGAAAUCCCACUUUGCUCGAGAAUAAUCGAUUCUUGCUAAAAUAGAAUGCAAUGUUUUGUAAGAAUAAGUAUGUAAUUAACGUUACCAUUCAAUUAAAUUUGGUAAGUGUAUAUAUAUAUAUAUAUAUAUAUAUAUAUAUAUAUAUAUAUAUAUAUAUAUCAUUACUUCUCUUUCCUUGCCCAUGUUCAACAUCUUUCCUGCAUGGGAUUGAGUUUUCAAAGAAUUGGCUUUUUAAAUGCAAAAAAAUACAUUAAUUUUCUUAAUCAUUGUGCCAAACAAUAACUAAGUCCACUCUCCCAUCUCUCGAUCUCAUAGAACCUAAACGUUAAAUCAACUGCAUAUUAUUCGCUUGUUUAUAUUCUACCUGUACCUUAAAUUUAGGUAAAUUAUUAUAAAAAUGUACCACUAGAUUGAUGAUUAUUAGUUAAGGAGUACUAAUUAACCUGUUUAAGAAAAAAAAAAAGUAAGGUUUAAAUUUUGCCAUAUAUCCAACGUUUGUCUAUGACAAAUAUAUUUUAAAUGCAUAAGAAUCAAGAUUCUAUUCUUCUAAGGAAAGAAGAAAAAAAUAACCAACAAUUAAUUUAAUAAGUUUUAAUUUAAUUAAAUUUAUUGACUUUGGAGUUCAUUCACUAUGUUUUCAUUUUAUUUUUUUUUUUGAAAAAGUGAGUUAUUAAUCAUCAAGUUGCGUCAUUUGUAAGAUUUUAGAAGUAGUAGUUAAUUACAAGGUUUGAUUAAUAGAUCAAGAAUAUCCCAAGUGCAUGCACGAUCUCAUGAUCGCCAAAUAUUAGAUUGAUAAUUCGCAGCGCUUGAUACUUUUUUUUUUUUGAGAGAUAGGUAGCUCGUUUUGUUUAUUUCUGUUAGAAAUAAAUAUGUUGAAAAUGUGAAUCAAUUAGGAUAUGAACUUAGGACCUUGGAUACCAACUACUAAACCCUUUGCUAUUUGCAGUGCUUGAUACUAAUUCAAGAAGCAGUAGUUAGAUACUUAUAGAGAAUAAAAUGUCAAAACUUUUAUUGGAAAUGUGAUACAAAUUUGCAAGCCCUCGAAAGCAAAAUUCUAAUUAGUAAUUCUCACCAGCUGCAGCAGAAACCUAUUAUAUUAGCUAGAAAAAAUUUCCUCCUAAUAUUGGUGAUUUCAAGGCAAUGAACACAACAUCAUUAUCAUUAACAAAAUGGGAAGAUAAUUAAAUUUUGAAUCAAAAAUUCGAAAAGAACUAGCAUUUGGGCAUGCCCAUCGAACUCCGACUAGGCCCUUUUUUUUUCUUUUUUUUUUCUUUUUUUUUUCGCUUUUUCGCUUAUUCGCCCUUCUCGAGGCCCUACUGUCUCACCCAUGUAGCUUAGUUCACGUUUAAUUGAAUGAAGCGGGUAGCGUGCUACCUUUUUCUAAAAAAAAAGAAGAAAAAAGGUUAUAAUAUAAUUAAACAAAAGAAACGAUCAUGAAUAAAAAAAAACAAGCAAUUUACGUGAUUCACUCGCUGAUAAAGAUGGAUCAAAAAUUUCAUAAGAGUAGAAAAGAUGAUAGUGACGUAUCACAAAAAGACCUUAGUCCUCGAAUAAACCUAGUACCCUCCUACCAUGAAUCACCAUAAAAAGGGGAACAUGCACCAUAAGUCGGGUCCAGGAAUUCGAGACACAUUUAAAUUAUGUAGAGAGAGUUUUUUCUUUUUUUUUGAGAGAUAUAUAGGUAGCAUGUUACUCGCUUCGUUUAUUUCACUUAGAAAUAAACUUAGCUAGAAAUGUGAAUCAACUAGAAUUCGAACUUAGGUCUCGGGUACCAACCACCAAGCCCUUUGCCAGUUGCUCUAGAGACGGUCGGUAUUAUAAUAUGCAAACUCAUGAGCAGCACAAUUAUCAUCAUCAUUUUAAAACCGCAUAUUCUCUUUAUUUGAAAAAAAAAAAAAAAAAAAAGCACCAUGCAUGUUGCUCAGAGAAAGGAUAAAUGAUGACUUGCUGUGAUUGGUCAACCAAAAAAAUGGUAGUUGGCCGUGCAAUGCUAGCUUGAAUGGUAAAAAUGAGCAUUUUAUUACAUGGGCCCAUUUUAUAAUCUUUGAAUAGCUAGAUCGAGCACUACUCAAUACAAAUAUAUUCAUUAUAUAUAUAUAUAUAUAUAUAUGUAUAGGGAGAGAGGGAGAUGGUGAAGUAACAUAGCUACCAGGCAUCUUUUUAUCUUUCCUAAGUUAUUAAUUCCUGAUUUUAAUAAAAUAAUAUAACUCAAGUAUCAUAAUAUUCCCCUCGAUCAAGGGGAAAAAAAGAAAGAAAGAAAAGAACACGAAAAAACAUUGGGAUGUAUAGAAUCAAGAGUACAUUAGCUGCGCUUCCUCGAUCAUGGUCAUGAUGCAUGUAUGCAUGAAUUAUUGAACUCUAAUGUUUAACAAGAGUAACAAGUUUUUACUACAUAUGAUCUUACCGCGGGGCAUGUCGGCCGAACAUAUUCGCGGUGAUCGCAAUGCGGAGAUCGAUCAGCUGCGCUGUAGAUUAGGUGGGGUGUGCUUGGUGGAAAAGCUGGGCACAUGAAGAACUAUCUAAUAUAUAUACUUCAUUAAUCUGUGAUGAAGAUGUUAAGUAGAUAGUAAUGCACGUGCCCUGCUUCUCCAUCCUGCACAACUCACCUCCUCAUCAAGCCUUUUUACAAAAAGAAACUAGAUAUAUAGCUAGGUAGUACAUAUGUACAUGUAUUUAUCAUCUGUAGAUCGAACAUAUUAUGCUACUCAGCAUAUCUUUAUAUAGGGGUGAGUUAGGGCACAACUCUCUCUCUCUCUCUCUCUCUCUCUCAUGGUUUCAUGUCUUUUACUAGAAUGGUAGGAUCCAGGCCAGCAAAAAAGUUGUGGUAGGGACCAUGGAGUGAGAACAAAUUAAAUAAGUGAUGAUCAGGUUCAUAUUUGUUUCUUUGUUUUUUGAUAUUCCCUCUAUGAUGUGGCAAUUAACAUGAAAGUGUACACAUACUCUAAACUUUGGUAGUGAUGGGCUUGGAUAGAUCACAGAAGUGAUGGACAUGCAACCCACUGGGGAAGGAGUUACAUGUAUCACAUGCUGAUUGGGUUGAUGCAUGUGCCUUGAAGGAAAAAAAACAAGGGAAAAAAAGAGAAGAAGACAAGAUGGAGGAAAUUAAUUAAAUCACAACUUUUAAUUAAUCACACUUAAUUUACAGUUAGCUAGAUAUAUCUAUAUACGAAAGAAUUUUACGCUGUUUCUGUGACUCAAAUGCACACGAAUUAAAGCUAAAUGUUUCGACUGAACCAUUAAUGUGAUAUUGAAUAUUCCAAACUACAAAACAAGAAUCCAUCCUAUCAAAUUCCAACCCAACACAGUAGGUUCUGGCCAUUGAUUUUUUGUUGACUUAUGGUUAAAUACUUAAUUGGUAAACAACCACUUCGAGUCGAAUACCCCAAGUAUAUAUAUAUAUAUAUAUAUAUAUAUAGUUGCUGCAUACACAUAGUUGCAAUAUGCAGGAUGAUUCAUUGAUUUCAGGGUAGUUUCUCUAGCUACCUCUAUAUAUGAAUAUGAUACAAAGAGGUGGGCAAGGUACUUUUUUUAACAAAGCUACAACCACCUUAUUUAUUUGCACUGGCCAUGGAGAACAUGUGGAGAGCAUCUUCAAUUUACCACCUACAAAGCAUUUCUAGCCCUGAAAUGACAAAAUAUUAAUAAAUUCAUGUGUCGCCUUACAUUUGUGCAAAAGUGAAAGAAAAGCGAAGAAAAUAACUUCAAUAAAUUCAAGAUUAUUAGUAACAGAUAAAUUUAUCAAAUUUGGUCGCUAUUUAUUGAUUGAAUUUGACACGAUUCUACAAAUCUGAUUAUCUCUAGUGAAAACAUGGUACCAAAAGUUGCACUUGCUACAGCUUCUUCUUCUUUUUUGUUCUUUUUUUCUUUUUCUUUUUCUUUUCUAACCAUGCAUUACUGCGUGUACGUUAGGGAGAUGAGUGUGAUCACUAUUAUAUAUCCGAGCUCUAGAAAAUUUUACUAAUCACUUGUAAUUAACUUAACAAAUUAAUAUUUACCAAAGUGCUAAAAUCACAGGGAGCGUGAUCUUAAGACAACUGUCGACCGAAGUUGAGGCCCAUCGGAUCUUGAUCUAAUAAUUAAGGAAUGCCGUCCGACAAUUUGUGAAUAAAGUUGUAGGGGCUAGGUCCCAUAAGUUCAUUAAAAAGGGGCGGUCCGACAUUUGGACAUGUGCCGCGAAUCGAAUGAUAAUAGAUUAAUCCUAAUGACAUAACUAAAGUGGUUUUAUUUGCUAAGGUGAGCCAAAUUCGCACAUAUAUAUAUAUAUUUUAAACUACAUUUGGUUAGAGUUAACUAAGUNUAUAUAUAUAUAUAUAUAUAUAUAUAUAUAUGGUACUUAGUUAACUCUAACCAAAUGUAGUUUAAAAUAUGUGACUGCUCAGAUUUUGUACUGCGUCUUUUGAUAAUUAGGUUAGGUUUCCUUUAGUUGGAAAUUUCUUAUAUUGAUUAGUGUUAACAUAAUGAGGACUUAGAAGGUCUAAAGGACAAGAAGAAAUAAUUUGUGACUCAUAAUUUCUUCUACAAAGGACAUAUUAUUGGGACCAUCAAAACUAAGCAAACUCUAUUAAGUUAAAAGCAAACUAUUUGACUCCCAUGAUCUGUUGAGUUGAAUCCAUAUAUCAUUAUAUUGAUUCUCAUGAUUACAAGGAUCAUAUAUAUAUAGAUCCAUUGGUGGGUAAGUAAAUUCUAGAAAUUAGGGGAAAAUUACUGUGACUAAUUAAUAAGGAAAAGAAGGUAGCUUUGUAAUAUUUGAAACACAAAUUAAGUUGAAAAUAUAGUACCCAUUGUAAGUAUCACCUAAACCUACUAAUGUCUUGUAAUAAAUUCACAUACAAUUUCAUGUUUAAGUACAAAGCUAUAUACGCAAUGCCAUUAUUUUCCUUAUUUGGUCAAAGAUCCUCCUAGAACUGUAAAAGAUAAAGAUCAAGUACUGAGGUACCAAAUAAAAGAGCAGACAAAUUAAAUGAGAAAAUGUAUAGUAAAUAACAAAAAUUUUAGUUGUUCACGUGUGAGAAAUAAUUUGUAUAAAAUAAAAAUCAAGAGUAUACGUACGCGUACUUGGUGAUCAAGUUAUUCAAACUUAUUAGAGUUUAGCUUUUACGUUACUAGUAUUCACACGUGAAAGAUAGCCGUAGAAUAAAAAUCUAGAAUACAGAGCUGAUAUGUACCGAUAAAUCUAAACCAACAGAAUUAAUUAGCUUUUAUAUUUGAUAGCUUGCAGUAGUUACUUUAUUAUACCCAUGAUAUAUGUCAUGUUUGGGCUUCAUAUGUCAUGCCUACCACACAAAAAAAGACAAAAACAAAUGUAAAAAUAAAAAUCUUCCUUUUUUAUGCUUUCAAAAAAGAAAAAAAAAGAAUCUUUUUUUGAUUUACAAGAUGGCAUUGUGGACCUACUAUAUAGCACUAGCCAGGUGGAUUACCUGUAGUUCUUUUGGUGCAAAAGGGUGAUGAUCUAAUCAUUUAUCAGCCUUACAUCACAUUGACUCCACAGUGGAUUCCAACUUAAUGCAUCCAAAUGACUCCACAGCCUUACAUCAUUAUUGUGUUAAAGAACCUUUGGAGAACACAUUAAUGCUCUUGUAAUCAUUACUUCUUCAUGAAAGGUAAAGCAGUGAGGCAACAAGUACAAGAGAGCUGCUUUGGUUCCAAUCUCUCUUCUCUUUUUCCCUAAUGGGUGUCCCAAAAGUCUGAUCUUUGUGAACUUGGAGCUCAUGUGUGAUGAUGGUACACUACUACUACUGCUUGAGCAAAAGUCUUAGUGGGAUAUUACAAAUAAAGGUGAUUUCUCCUUUAGAUUGCAUUAAGCAUGUCAACAAAUUGCAAUCCCUAUGAAGUUUAUUGGAAAGAAAGCUGGGAAUGCAUACAUGACAGUAGAUGCAAAAUAGAUCAUAUUUGAUAGUAAUAAUUGUUGAUUUAGAAACUUUAUUAUUAAAAACAAAUCAGCAGUAAUUAAGCCCUUUGCUACUAGUAGUAUUCUAAUCCAACUCUCUCUCUCUCUCUCUCUAUAUAUAUAUAUAUAUAUAAUUAGAUCGAAAUACUUCUAAUAGAACCAAGUAAUUAGUGCUAUUGGAUUUUCGGCUUUUGGAUGAAAAAAUGUGCAGUUAAGAUAAUAGUGGUCUAUUAGUGUUGAGUGGAUAGUAAUUGGUUGAAUAGUAUGACCUAACGGAUGAAAACAAUCAAAAAAUAAAUUUAAUGGUGAAAAUUUUGAUAGCACCAAACAUAUAAUGCUUUUAGAAGCACCCAAUCGGAUUCUCUCUCUCUCUCUCUAUAUAUAUUUUAGAAGCACCCAGUCGGAUUCUCUCUCUCUCUCUCUCUCUCUAUAUAUAUAUAUAUAUAUUCUAAAUAGUAGAAGUAUAAUAUGAUAUCAAAAUCAAUUAUAUAUACCUCUCAAUUUUCAUAGGAUGAUAUAGAUUUAAUCUUCCGUAUUUACCAUUCAAUAAGUUAAAUUCUUAUCAUUUACUUCUUUUGUUAAAUUAGUAUUCUUUCAUGCAGACCGAUUGUUUUUAUAAUGACAAAGAAUUUGGUGGUUGAUAUUCAAAGUCUCAAGUCCAAAUUCUAAUUGAUUUAUAUUUUCAACUAAAUUUAUUUUUAAAUAAAUAAAUGAAAAAAAUAGUAUACCACAUUUCUCUUUCAAAAAAAAAAAAAAAAUCUCUCACGCACUUAUGCUUUCUCUGGAAGACAUGGACUGGCAACAGAGAGAGAGAGGACGGUCCUACAGAAGAUGAUUGUAGGGGACAUUGCCUAAUCAGAAUGGCACUGAAGUUGAGAAAUCCAAGACAAGAACCAAAUGAUUCUCCUAUAAUAUUUUCAGCAGAUGGUACUAGUCCUUUGUACAGUUGCCAGCAGCAACUUUAGAAAAAGAAUUUUUUUUAGGUAAAAAUAAUAUACUAUCUGUUCCGUUCAUAUUUUUUUUAAAUAAAUUUAAUUUAAAAUAUAAAGUAAUUAGACUUAGAAUUUGAGAUCUCUGAUACUAAGUAUCAAGCCCUUCGCUACUUAUAUUAUAAACUGUCAUUUUUUUUUAUUAAGAUAUAAAUAUUGUAUACUGUCUAUCUUGUUCCUUUUUUAUAUAUAAAAAUAAAUUUAGUUGGAAAUGUAAAGCAACUAGAUUGUGAAUUUGAAACUCCGAGUAUCAACCAUCAAAUCUUUUAUCACUUGUCCUAGAAUUAGCCGGUUAUAAUUUUUUUUUUUGUCGUCAUCUAAUAAUUUUGCUUGUUACAGCUAAAGUUACUAAAAACAAAUGGUAGAGACCUUGUUCCAUGUUUCAUGUGGACAGGUCUCUCUCUCUCUCUCUCUCUCUCUCUCUCUCAUAUAUAUAUAUAUAUAUAUAUAUAUAUAUAUAUAUAUAUAUAUAUAUACACACAAGCACAUCUAAAGAAGCUGGGAGGCAAUUAAGCAUAGAGAGAAAAAGUUUGGAAACAAGCUAGCUGAAGAAGUGCUUGCUUCAUGAACCCUUAAGUUGGAGCUCAAGGUACCCAAUAUUAAUUACACUUUUGGAAAUGUAGGUGAAUGAAGAGUCCCCAUCAACACAACCCUUCUCAUUUGGACUCAUCCCUAAGAAGGCUAGUUUGGAAUCUAAACUAAACCAAAAUGCCCAUCCAAAUAAGCAAAUAAGGCUACUUGGUUUUUGUUGUUCGAAUUCUUAGACCCGACCCGAUCCGCUUUAUGCUGUGGUUUUCAAAAUGUUGGAAAAUUGCGAAAGAGGUCUAUGUAGGCCCAAAAUUCUUGAAUACUCUCCAACGGCGGUCCGUCAAUACUAUAAGAUAAGAUAAGAUAAUGGUUGAAGAUUAGUAGGUGAAUAGGAGGCCCAAUUUUGGCCCAUCAAUAAAACAAGUUUGAUUAAUUAGUAGGUGAGUAUCUUAGGGAGGUGGUUAAUCAUAGUGAGAUUGUUGAGGGUUCAUUCACUAUGUUAUGCUGCAAUUUUUAUUUAUUUCUUUUUCUUAAGAAAAAUAUAUCUAAGUGCUCGUUUGCUACGUACCUAGCUAAGAUUAGACAAAAUAUAAUAAAAUGAGAGGGAAAUAUUGGGAAAUGGGGAGGGGCUACGACUAUGACUAUUUUGAAUCUAGUUCAUUUCAAUCCCAAUUUAUCCGGUGAUAUUCAAUAAUUAUAUCCCAGCAUAACAAUCUAACCCGUUUAGGUUCAGUAAUCUAAAUUUCUUAAGACCCCUAACCCCUUAUGGGUCGCUAAAUUUCUCAUCCUUCAAUAUUGCCCUUUUGUCAUAUCCUAUUUUGCUUGAUCCUAGAUUUCAAACGAACCUAAGAAUAUAAUUUAGUAAGUGUAUAUGAUCAAUUUAGUGAAAUCUCUCUUUCAAAGUAAAAUACAAAACAUAUGUCAAUUGCUUUGACCAUAUGAUCAUUUUCUAGUAAAAUAAUGAUCGAAUUAGAAUUAGAAUUAGAAUUAUCCUCUUACAAGCUUCUAGUAGGGUCCAUUUUUAAAGUAUCAAACCUAAAAGUAAAUGUAUUAAACCUGGCUCCUAAUAUUCUAAUUCCUUCGUUUGACCAUUUACUCCCUUGCCAAGUAUAUAUAUAUAUAUAUAUAUAUAUAUAUAUAUAUAUAUAUAUAUAUAUAUAUAUGCCUCACUCAUGUGAUAACAACUCAUAUGUAGGAAAGGUUCAAUUAACUAUCACUGUCAAAAGUGUAACACCUUUUUGUUAAAACAUUAUCUUAAUGUAUCAUCAUUAUUCACUAGUGUAGAGACCCGCACGAUGUAGCAGAUAAAUAAUAGAAACAAAAUUUUAAAAUUUUAAUAAAAUUUGUAUUUACAGCUUAUUGAUGUAUAGAAAACCAUACCAUGUUAAAUACAGACAAUUUGCAUGACUAAAUUCAACUGCUAAAAAAAUAAAAUUAUAGUUAAAAACUUAUAUAAUUUUUUUAAAAUCAUCAAAAUACAAUAAGAGACAUACAAUUUUAUCGUAUAUGUGCCUCUUGAACAUUUCAUUGUGAAAGAUAAAAAAGAGUUAGCUCCAACGCAGCUAAAUCAACCUAGUGGGCACUUAUAUAUAUGAGCCAUGGCUCGACUUUGCGAGACAAUGCUUUUUGAAAGAGACAAUGUUCUUUGCAUGUUCUUCUUCUUCUUUUUCAUCGUCCUCAUCAUCUUCAUUAACACAAUAAGAGAGAGAGCUAGAUUAGUGUGGGGUGGGGGAUUAGAUGAUGUUCUUUUUUGCAUGAAAAAUAAUAGGCCAUGCAAAAGAGAGGGGGGCGUGGGGAUUAAUAGAGGUGGGGAGUGGAUUGGAGUUACAAAACCCACUCAUUAGUAAAAUAUGAUGUAUAUAAUUAAAUGUUGCAUUUUGGAUUAAGGGGAAGAAGAAAUGACAAAUAUUGAAGAGAAAAAUAAGUAACGUAUAAAUUAAAGAGUAAAUUGAUUAGAGAUUAUUGAAUAGAGAGGAAGGGAGGAGAAAAGCCAAGGUCAUUGAAUAGGAGGUGAGGUUGAAAUAAAACUUGCCAUGUGUCAAAAAUAUUAGGAAUUCAUAUAGGUUAAUAGAUAUUUAAAGCCGUAAUGGACUUCUAAACGUAAUUAACUUCACUUGUGAUUUAAUUAAUCACAAUUCAUUUGCUAGUUGUAAAUGGGUUAGGUUGGUCCAAAUUGAUUUGACCGGUUAGUAUAUUUGCCUAUAAUGUAACUUAAUAAGAACCAAUUAUUUUCCUUCGAGAAGGUAUAGAAGAAAAGAAAAAGAGAAAAAGAGAGAGAGUGUUUAUAAAAAAGAGAAAAAAAACACAAGGGUGUUGUGAUCAAUCAAGAAAUAACCUUCUAAUUCUGCUGCAAAAAAUAAACCAUCAAAUUUAGGAAGAAUCCGGCUCAUUAUUUUUUCUAAUAACAUUUUAAAAACAUAUAUAUAUUUUAUCAAACGGAAAGUACGAGUUAGGUUUGAAUCCAAAUUUUCAGAGUCAACAACUUCAAAUUCAGUAUAAUUAGCUUACUUUAGACCCAAACAAAUCUAACCCGAAUCUUGCCUUAUUUACAGUGGUAAGUAAUCGUUUUCUUUGAUUGAUUUCACUUCAUCUGAUCUGCAUUUCAAUAAUAUUUUAUUAUUGGAUUCGAAUUGAAAUAUACUAUAAAUCCGACCCGUUAGCACCUUUAAGUGGAUUUGACGUAAUGAGAUCACCCGAGGUUUCACGUUUAAUCAUAAACUUUAUUCUCGGGAGAGCAAUUUUAGCGGUCAACCGUUGACUCUUUUAGUGGUCAACCGUUGACUCGAGUCAAGUUGAAAAGUCAACGUGAGUUUUCACUAUUGGGCCGGGCCAUAUAAGUUGGGCCUCCAUGGACCGGCCCAACACAUUCACGCGUGUCACUCUCUUGUAACUGUGUGAUACAUUUCCGUUACACCGAAGAGCGCCUCACAUGGACAUACGCUCGACAGUGGGGCCCACACCGCAGUACGCUGUGGGGGAAACUUGAGCGAGCGUUAUGUGCUUUGCCGCAUCAAUAAAUGAAAGAAUAAUAAAUGAAUGAAUAAUAUACAUUUUAUUAAGAGUUAAUUUCACAUAAAUUUCUGUAAAUAUAGUUAAUGACAAAUAUACUUUUAUAAAAUUUAAUUUUUAUAUAUUAUUCUCGUAAAAGUUCUAAUACUUUCAAAUAUAUCAUUUUGAUUUAUUACCAUUAGAGAACGAUUAGAUAAUUAUUUAUAUUUUUAAUUUUACCAUCAUAAAUAUGUCUCUUCAAAAGUCAUAACAAUAUAAUAUAAUAAAAAUAAAAAUGUCAAAAACUAAUCAGAUUAAGUAUUUAAUCUAUAGUUAACUAAAUUUUUCUAAUGAAUAUAUUUAAAAAUAUCAGGACUUUUAUAAAAAUAAUAUAUAAAAAUUAAACUUUAUAGUAAUAUUUGUUAUUCACUGUAACCCUUUUUUGAAUUAUUCCCUUGGUGUAACGCUUUUUUUCGUCACGGGUUUGUUGGGCGCAAUCAAAGGUGGAGUGGAGGCCCACCCUCACAUCUUUAUGUUACUAUAUAUAAAUACAUUAACAAAAUUUAAGGAUUUAUUUGCAUAUUUACUUCUCUAAACAUACACAAAUUAUUUUAAAAAAUUAGCGCUAUGUUUAUAAUUUUUUUAAUUUUUUUUUGUAAACUUUUUAGAAUUGUUUAUGUAAAGUUGAUUUUUGCACAUAUAAAUCUGAAAACUUUAUUUUAAGUGUAUUAGAUUUUAGGUGUAGUCUCAUCCAAAUUAACUGAAAUGCUCGAGAUACGCUGGAUUAAAUUAAAUUUUUUUUUUUUUGAGUUGAACUAGAUUGAUUAAGGAGUUAAAAUUUAAAUUUGAAUUAAUUUUUUUAUCAAGCAACUAAUUUUCGAACUUCAUGGAUUGGAUCGAUUUUCAAAACACUGGAUCUAAACGGGUCGAAUUAGAAUUUAAAUACUAGUAUAUUCACAUGCUUUAAUAAGUGUGGAUAUAAUAUAUAUAUAUUAUAUUAUAUAUAUAUAUAUAUAAUAUAUAUAUAUAUAUAUAUAUAUAAUAUAUAUAUAUAUAUAUAUAUAAUAUAUUAUAUAUAUAUAUAGAGUGGGCUGGUAUGUUUCUAGAAGCACGGAGUCCUCUGUGCUUCUAAGUUGUUUUCGAUGUUCGGACUUUCGAAUUGACGAUCGGCUCUAUUAGAGUUGAUAUAGAGUAUUUGAAAUACCUAAAAAAUAAAUUUUGUGAUUUUUUGAUAUCAUUUGCCUAGUGAUUAAAGGGGCUCAAAAUCAAUAAUUUUAACGAUCGUGAUGAGCCGCUUGCAAGUUUAACGGUAUAGAAGUAUUCAAAUCAUAUAAACUUUUGAUAGAAAAUUCUUUAUACCGUAUAAAACAAGAUCAAUAAUUUUGAUCUAAAAUUUUAAUGCAAUAUCAUCAUAUUUUGUAAGAUUUUUAUUUUCAGUAGUUGAUUUUGAGCCAUUUCGAUCAUUAGGCAAAUAUUAUCAAAAAAUCGCAAAAUUUAUUUUCUAGAUACUUCAAAUACUCUAGAUCAAAUAUAACGGAGUCGAUCGUCGAUUCGAAAGUCCGAACAUCGAAAACAACUUGAAAAUACGGAACGCUCUGUAUUUCCAGAAGCAUACCAGAUGCACUAUAUAUAUUUUCAUUACACUCCUCUCCUUUCUCUCCUUUGCUCUCGAAUUCGGCAACAUCUGAUUGAAUGUUCACUCAUUAACGUCACCCCAAAAUUCCCCCCAAACUAAUAAACCAAAUGAGAGAAGAGCAAAAAAAAGUAAAGAGCGAGAAAAGUGGAAUAAAAACGAAUGAAAAGAUCUCUCGCUUUCUCUUUCUUUUCAUCUCUGUCGCUCUCUCCACUCGGCUAUUAAUGGCGGAAACGUAGAAAAAAAGAGGAGGAGGACGACGACGACGACCCCAUUUCUCCCGAAUCAAGUAGAGAAAAAGCUCCCUUUUUCUUUUCUUCUUCUCUUCUCUCCUAGAAGAUGCCGAUGAUUCGGUACCAGAUACGGAACGAGUACGGCUUAUCGGAUCCGGAUCUCUACCGCGCGGCGGAGAAGGAUGACCCCGAGGCCAUCCUCGAGGGCGUCGCCAUGGCCGGGCUCGUCGGCGUCCUGCGUCAGCUCGGGGAUCUCGCCGAGUAAGCUUGAUUUUAGCUUAAAUUUGGGGGUUUUGGUGUUUAUCUGUGUUUUUUUUAUGGAUUUUCUUUUCUUUUUUUUUUGGUGAUGGAUUGGUGGUAAAUUGGAGAAUUUUGUUGAGAAUUUGGAAGGGUUUGGGAGUGUGCUUUGGUAGAAUGCAUAAAUUGUGGGAAAAAGAUGGCUUUCCAUUACUAUCCAGCUUAUUUGGGCUUAUUUAGUUCUCAUUUGUGCUUUUUUGGGGAUUUUGGCUGUUGGGUUGUUGGUAGAAUUGGGGAUUUUCGAGGGAAUUUGGAAGGAACUGGGAGUUUUGGGCUAUUUUAAGCAUUUUAGUGGGAUAAAUGAGUGUGAGGAGCUUUUUAAUUUUGCUUGUGUUGUUAGUUGUAUUAAUGUAACGUAGAAAAAUGUUGUCUUUCCAUUUCUACGCAUCCUAAUUGGGCUCCUUUUAGUGCUUAUUUGUGCUUUUCUGGUGUUGGGUUGGUGGUGGAUAUGGGGAUUUUGUAGGUAAAUUGGAAUUUUAGGCGAUUUUUUUUACUACUUUAAUGUUAUUGUUAACAUUUUCUUAGGAUAUAUGAAUGUGAGCAAUGCUCUAGCUUAGCUUGCAUCCUUGUUAGCAUAAUUAAUUAAGUGGGGAAUUCUUGUUUUCUUUUUCUAUCUAGCUUCAUGCAUGCUUAAUAAUCACCAACUUUUAGAUAGUAAAAUCACCAUAUAAAAUGAGAACCAGAGGGUUGUGUUUUUUGGGACAGCUUUAUCGACAUUUUGAGGAGUGGGCACCAAAUUGAUUCUAAUAUGAGGGGUAUUUAGAUUGACGGAGAAAAGUUUCUAUCCAAGGAAUUAGAAAGAGAAACCAGGAAUAAAAAUUAAGCACAAACUUUUCCAUUUUCUGGCUAGCAUGAAUUUAAUGCAGCUACUUAAAGGGUCGUAUUUUGGUUAGCGAUUAGUGCCUGUUAAACCAGCAUGUCAAUUGUGUCAAUUGCAAAGUGGAAAUGAGAUUUCGACGUCCAAAUGCAGAAGCUCCUCUUCGGAGCUUCUAACUUUGCCAAAAACAGAUGUCGAGGGGAUGUUAUUAUAGUACUUCCCAUAGCAACAUUACUCAAAUAACACUUUGUCGAACAAUAUUGCACCCUACAGCAAGGUCAAACAUAUUCUGUUCUAGUUUUAGUAAGCUGUUAUUUAAAUGAUGGUUUGCCCCUCAAGGAAAUACAAAGAGUUUAGUUGUUAACAAGAUAAUUAAGGUAGACCCCAAAUCCUGAAAUGUGGCCACCUCCUUUUUUGCUAAUUAUUGAGAUGAGGCACAUAUCAAAUAUUUUGAUCUCUACUAUAACAUUUUAUUCUCUAGUUCUUAGUAAACUUACCACAAAACAUGUUUCCUGAUUCUUUUUUGUCCUCUUUACUUAGCCUUUUUUGGUAUUAUCGUACAUAAGACUGCCAUUCUUAUCUGCACUAUUAAGUGAUUUAUAUUUGUACUAGUUUAUAUGUAUAUGAAUACUCGCUUUUUUUGCAAUAGAUUUGCUGCAGAAAUUUUUCAUGAAUUGCAUGAAGAAGUGAUGGCCACUGCUUCUAGAGGGCAUGGAUUAAUGCUUCGUGUACAGCAGCUAGAGGCUGAAUUCCCAUCCGUCGAGAAAGCCCUCCUUUCUCAGAUUAGUAAUUCAAACAUUGAGUACAAUGAUGGUUAGCGUCCUUUUUUUUUCUUUCUUUCUUCUUUUCAGUAAAAAUUGUGCUAAUUACCCUUUUAGUAUUGCUGCUCCAUUUGGACUUUUCAGAUAUUGUUCUCAGACUAGAAUAUGCUGAAUGAUUUGAUUUUCCCUUUUUUUCUGCUUCAAGCUAAAUAUUAGUAGCUGCCGCGAAAAUGUAAUUGAACAUGGUUUAAUAAUGUAGGUUUGGUGUAUAUGUAUUGUUGUUUGAUGACUAUCGCAUCUCUCAUAAUUCAACUAUUUAUGAAGGAUCACAUUGCAAGCUAUUGAAUUAUCAAACUAACUUGUACUAAAAUAUCUUUGUGGUUUUUGCAUGCUCUUUCUUUUAAGGAUUCUUAUAAUGACCUUUUAUGCAGGUACUGAAUGGCAUGCUAAUCUUCAACUGGGUCAGAAUUUAAUCACACAAGGAGAUAUGCCCCGCUUUAUUUUGGACUCUUACGAAGAAUGCCGUGGCCUUCCUCAGUUGUUUACACUGGACAAGUAUGUUACUAAUAUUUGCCUUUUAGUUUACUAAAAUGCAGGAAACCCACAUAAAUACCACAAUAUUCAUAGUAACUGUCUAAGUGGAAUGUAUGGGGACAAAGUCGAACUAUCAGCAUAGUAAAAGGCUAUCCAUACAAUUACCCUAUUUCAUGGGUGCAAAAUGAAAAUUAUGAUACUUAUAGGGCAUUUCCUGCUAUCGAACUUUUUUUCUUUUAUCAGAUCAUAUCUCUUGAUCAUUUCUUGUUCAAUCGUGUAGGUUUGAUGUUGCUGGUGCUGGAGCAUGUUUAAAGAGAUACUCCGAUCCAUCUUUCUUCAAGACGGAGUUUGCCUCCUCCAACGUGAUGGAAACAGAUGUUCCAAGAGAAAAGAAAGUUCGUAAGAUCAAGGUAAAACUGUUCAACAGCAGAUUUGUAUCCUAAGGGUCUUUGACAUAUUAAUAUAACCGCAAUAUCAUUUUGUUUACAUGUGUCCUGUAAAAUCCCUUUUUUUCUGUGAAUGUUACCCUCCGAAGGAUGUCAGAUGAUUAUUUAUUAUGCUUGAUAUUUUAGAAUAUCUCUCAGAACAUUGUGAAGUUAUUAUUAUUAUUUUUUUCCU